UUUUUUUUUCACUUUCAAUCAUUUAAAGGCGGUCUUAAACCGCCACCAAACAUUUUCGUCAUUUUUUUUUUUCACUUUCAAUCAUUUAAAGGCGGUCUUAAACCGCCACCGCCACAAAGUUUUAGUAAUUAUUAAGUGAUAGUUUAAAAUUAUCGCUAAUAGAUUGAAAAAAAAAAUCGUUUAGCAUUGGUUUAAAAAAAACCAUUGAAAUUGAAGGGAAAAGAAACCACUCACUUACUGAAUCUCACGAUAGACAGCACUAUAGUACUAAUAGAUCUCUCAAGGUAGAGAGUACCACAUUACAUACCCAUAUACUAAAAGAAACAUAAGAAGUGUAAUUCGUACUACUAGUAUACACCAACAGAUCCAACGCAUUUCAUCCCCGAAACAAAUAUAAACAAACAAACAAUUAGAUAAAUCCAACUUUGCUUCACAUUUUGCACCUCUUCUUAAUGGCUUCUCCUUACGUUUCCUUCACGUCUCUCCCUUUGUAGGACCACCCUACACUUUACUACCUCUCCUACUAUAUUACCAUAAUAACACAUCCUGUUAACCUUAUUUACCUAACACUUUAACUCCCAAAUAAACACUAUAACAGCAACUUCACUUUGCCAGAAUGAAACACACUAUCUGACUCACACCUAAUUAUGACCUCAUCUAACUAAACUGUCCAAAAAAAAAACUUCAAAGUGGUAAAUAAAAGAGCCCUCAAAUUGUGCUUGACAACUUUGACUCUUUAUCUACAAUAGUUAUAGUUCAUUUUAGUAACAAAAAUGUACAAUGCUGUUAUAUAUACAGUAGUAGUUAAAUUACCGUUCAACUUAAGUCAAUGUAAUAUUUCAUAUUUCAUAUUUCAUAACUUUGUUCAAACGUGGCUGCUUUUCUGGUAAAGUAAAACGUGUCGGUGUCGUCUAUAAGAAAAUUAAAAACAAUGAGUGCAUGAAUAAAAAAAACAUAUUGUAGUGUAGUGUAGGUUCAAAAGAUAAGAGUAAGUUGUUUCACACCACACCUCAAAUAGCAACACUCUCCUUUCACUUUUCUUUAUCAAAAACUUUCUACACUUGUUUACUAAGCAAUUAUUAUAUACUCCAUUUUCAUUUUAAGAAAACCUUCAUUCUCAUUGUGCUCAUAAGUUUUACAAAAAUGGGAACAUCUCAAAGAACAACAUUAGUAAACACUGUGUGUUGUUUAAUUAUUGUGUUGUUUUCUCUCACUGUUACUGUUGUGGUUGGUGAUUUAAUAACAGAUCAGAAGAAUCUUACAGCUAAAUCUAAAGAUGAAGUGAAGUGCACGCCGUGUGGUGAAGUUUCGUCGCCGCCGCCACCUUCUCCUCCUCCGCCGUCUCCGCCUCCAGCUUCCACGAGUAACUGUCCUCCGCCUCCUUCUCCUCCGAGCUCCGGCGGUGGUGGUGGUGGUUCAAAUUAUUACUCUCCACCGCCGCCGUCUACUUAUUACUACUCAUCUCCACCACCACCGGCGACGUCCACCGGAGGAGGUGGAACAGGUGGUUUGUAUUAUUAUCCUCCGCCGAAUGGUGGGACUGGGAACGGGAACUAUCCUACUCCGCCGCCUCCAAAUCCAAUUGUACCGUACUUUCCUUUCUACUACCACACUCCGCCACCUUCCGCGGCGGCGCCUCCACUAUUUAAGGGAUCCGUAAUGCUCUGCGCCGUGUCGUUUCUGGUGUUGUUUUGAUAGAAAAAAGAAAACAAGAGAAACGAAAAUUGAGGUAAGUAAAUUAAGUACAUGGAAUUUUGCAGAUCUCGAAGAUUAGAAAGAAAAGUAAAAAAAAAGUGAGAUCGAUGAAAAUGGAAAGUGUACUUAUUUUUUGCUGUCUCUUUAAUUCUGAUGUAAUGUAGGUUCAUCGAUCUGCAAUUUGUUGCCAAUUUGUAAUUGUAUCUAGCUAUUUUAUUUUGUUUAGUAUGAACAAAUAUUAUUUAAAGAAUAAAUUAAGCAUUAUUCAUUUCCAUUUAUAUUGUGUUUAGUAUAGAUUAUUAUUAAUUAAGCGAGUUUAUACUUAUCUUAACCAUGGGUGUGCUAUGAUAAUUUAGUGUCCAUAUGAUUAAUCAGUCAAGUUUAUCAAAUUUAUGUUGUUAGUAAUCAAAUUCCAAUACUCUCUUUUAGCUUCCAUAUUUGAACUCAGAUAUAAACACGUUGUUUAUUCUGGUUCUUUCUGAAUAGAGAGAUUAAGUACUCUCUAGUAAUUCAAUUUCAAGUAAAGUUUAUUAGUUUGUUUGAAAUUAUAGUUUGGAUGUGGCUGAUGAAGAUUUUAGUAGUGUUUGACAGCUGGAAAAUGAGAGGGAUUAUGGUGCAUUGGAGGUAAUUGAAAGGAGUGGUGUCCACUAAAUUUAUCUUCAUCUGAUUCAAAUUGUUUGUUGUUGGGGGAGGGUCCUUGUGUAUUGAUUCGUGGCAGCUUUUAUUUUUGGGUACUAGUAAUAAUUUAGUAUAGGAAAAAUUACACUCUACUCUUUUAUGUUAGACCUAAAUAUCAAGUAUUUUAAGUUUUUUUUGCCUUAUACAUUGUUUGUUUGUUUCUAUCUAUUUUAUUACUUUUUUCCUCCAACUAGCUCACUCAAUAUAGGAGCGUUUCAUUAACGGGUUUCUACAAAUGAAUAAAAUACGAACAUUUGCAAUAAAAUAUUGAUAGUAAACUCUCAAUUUAAUUUAUAUAAUUUUUUCUAAAUAAAUAGAUACCUUUAGUUCCAUAGCAAAAAAAUAAAUUGAUCUUUUAUAAAAAACACAAGGAUUUAUGAAUUUUUAUGAAUAAUAAUGUUGUAAUUCAUAAUUCUAUAAAUGUAAUUUUUAAAAGAAUCGAUUUUACUAUUAAAAAGGAGUAGUGACACAUCUUGUUGUUACACGUUUAUCUUUUAUUUUUUAAUAAACUUUAUUAUAUUAUAAUGAAAUAUAUUUUAAGUAAAAAAUUAUUAUUAUUAUUAUUAUUAUUAUUAUUAUUAUUAUUAUUAUUAUUAUUAUUAUUAUUGUCGUCGGUAGUGUUUUUAGCAUGCAAUAGGACUAAAGACAACAUUCUCAAUCACAAGAAGCACAUCCAAAGGCAUAUAUUGAGUGGUCUCGUAAUCAAGAAGCCAACACUAAAUCUUUAUCGUCAAAUAUCAUCAAGAUCAAAGGAUCUCUUCUAUUCCAUGUCGGGUGACCUAUGGUGGUUCUAACCAUCUUCUAUAUAUAAAGUUCUGCAUGCGCCAAGAUUUAGGUAUUUUAUUCACUCUUACAUUCUAACUACUUCUCAUUCUCCUAUUAACUUGGAGCUAACCUUGUAAGUCCACCUCGCUUUGUUGUAUCAAAAGUACGCCCACCACAUUUGAAUUGUAUUUCACUCCGUCGUCAACUAUUUAUGGUUCUUAUACAAAAUAGAAGCGUUGUUUGUGGGAAUCAGCUUUUGAUUAUCACGAAUUUCCACUAUCAGAUCCUUCUGGUUUGAAAAUGACAUUUCUCCACAACGAUCUCGCUCGAAAAAAGACAAUGAUGUCUAAUCCAUUUGCGAAAAUCACCAUAGAUUCUCCGGCCUUAAAUCAUCACCUUAUCUCGUCGUCUCUCCGAUUGACGAUGAAUCAUCUAGCAAGGAGGAUAAAUUAAAUCAAUGUUUGAUGCAAAGCUCUUCAAAAUUACUAGUGACAACUAGAAGACAGACUUGUCCUAGGGUUCUGAGACAACGAUAAUGUGAAUGCAAUGUAACACUUACAUUGGUCAUAAAUGUUAUUUUAGUGAACCACUUGGUGUUAGGAAUCCUUAUUGAUAAUGGGAGUUCUUACGAUGUCAUGUACACCAACGUCUUUAUAAAUUUAGGGUUACAUGAUCGAAACCUCAUACCAUAUGAAAGCGAGAACCUUCUAGCAUUCAACUACUCCACCACUCACCCUAGCAGAGUCGUGGAAUUAUCAGUGUCUAUCAAGGAAGGGAAGGAUGAAAAGAUUGUGACUGUGUAUUUCUUGGUGAUUCCUAGCAGAAGCGUCUAUAAUUGCAUCUUAAGGAGAUCUUUCCUUGUAACGUUAGUUGUAGUGGCUUCUAUUAUCCACCUGAAGAUGAAGUAUCACAAUAAGUUUGGGGAAUCAAACUUCAUUCUAACUGAUCUAUGUAGAACACGUCUGAUACACCAAAUGAUACUAAAGAACCCUCGUGCAACCGUCCUCAUUUUCGAUAAGAAAAUGAAGACAACUCUUCCAUCAUCCAUCACCACACUCAACCUUGAUGUGCGAGAAGAUUAAGUUCUGCAAAAUGACAAACUUAACUCACCAACAAAGACCAAAAUAAAAAAUAUGGAGAUUUAUCCUAGAUGGAAACUUUGAUGUUAUACAAUUUGAUGAGAAUCCAACAAGAUCAAUCUAUGUGGGAGAUGAUUUGAUGGCCACAUUAAAAAAAAGGACUCGUUGAAUGCCUCAUAGCCAAUACUAGUCUUUUUGGAGUCUCUCUGAAAGAGAUGCUCGACAUAGAUCCAAGUGCAGCCUAUCACUGAUUGAAAAUCGACCCCUCUACCUGAUAGUGACCUAGAGAAGGAGACGACAAUCCCCCAAAGGCGAAGCGAUAAUGAAUAUGGUUCAGAACCUACUCAACGCCAAAUUUAUUUCCUAAGUAAUGUGGAUCGUUUUUGUGUCUUGAGAAGUGGGAGAGUUGGUGAGAAGUGGAGAAAUUAAUGUGAGUAGAACAGUUAAUGAGACGUGAAAAACUAUGAUCUUCUAGAAACUAGAAACAAUGAUGGGAUUCUGAAAAUAUUUUUAUGAAAAUGACAACACGCAAUAAAGUGGUAAUGAUGACGAUGGCGUCAGUGAAAGAGUUAGAGUGGUGUCGAAAAUACAUUAAAAAAUACCACCUUUCUCUAUUCUGAUCUAAAAUAGAAACAUGGCAUUUUGGGGGGCAAUUUGUUAUCUCAUAUUUUUUACACUGGCAUUAAUGUGAUAAAAAAUCAUAUAAUAAUGACUUUAGUGUAAAGCCAAAAUAGUGAAUAACGGCCAUAAGGAUUUCAACAAAUGUGACUUAUCGACAAGGAACGUCAUUGUGGUCGAAAUUACAAGCGAACAAGGACUAAGGAGUUGCGGACUUAGUAAAAUUCAGAGUUUCAAGACAUUCUACGUAGUCAAAUGAAGUGUAAAUGGAUAAGAUCAAACGGUUACUGAAAGACACGUGGAAGUUUGUCGAAGAGGAAAGCUGCAUGGAAUUGAAGACGUGGCAUGUUAUGUGUAGUCGACCGUUGUAGACACCUUAGGAUUAGUAUAUAAGUAGCGUUAACUUUGAGUUUUAGGGGUCCGAAAUUGUACGCAAUUCUACAUAACUCAAAGUAUCUGUGUGAUUGAGAAAAGAGUUUCAGAAUGUACGUAUGCGUUCCAUUUUUUAUGAAUUAAAACAUUUUAUAUUCAAACCAUUUCUGCAUUUUCAAUCACUUUAUUUCUUAUGUAUUUCGAUUUUAAUUUAAAUUCCAAUCAUUACUUUUAAACUUCAUUUUGAUUUUUAGUUAUUAUUUUCAAAUUACACAUUUUGACAUUUAUGUCAAAAUCAUUCAAGUUCAUGAUUCACACAAAAUAUGUCUUGAGAUAUUUUCGAUUUUAAUCCCUUAAGUAAAUUGAAACUUGUUUUUGUUUACUAAAUUUCACGGUAAAAAAAUUGGCACACCCGGUGGGACGAUUUUUGUGUGAAUUUGUACCUUUGUUUUUGAAAAUUCCUAUUUUUAAGUUCUGCAUUUAAGAAACUUCUUAUAUUGUGAGAGUGCAUAAGAUUGAGGAGUGGUAGGAUAACCAAAAUGGAAACUAAAAAUCCAGUGAGGAGAUACGUUAGGAAGAUGGUUAAUCCCAAAAACAAAAAUAAUAAUAAUAGAUAACAACCAGUCAAUAGCACUGGGGCAGGUACGAUUUCUGCAAGUUUGAAUGAACCAGUUGCCUCUAUUGCUAGCACGGCGACCAUACCGUCGACGAAGAUUAUACCAUCAAAUCCAAAAGAAGGGGCAUUUUCCCCUUUGAUAAUGCAGAGUCACCCAGUGACUCCUAGAACGAUUAUGACAACGGACUUUAUACCUUUUUCCACCAAUUUCACAAUGCCCAUGUCGGGGCGUGAACAACCUUAUGGUAUGCCAACAUCAAUGAUGGCAAGCCCAUAUACUAACCAUUCGACGUUUGCUGACAAUGUUGCGGAUGUAUAUUCACCAAUAUUGGCAUCUGGCUCAGCCAUAGGUAACCCCGAUCAAACCAUACAAUCCCAAGUAGGGAUGGGAUUUGGUUCCCAUGCAUUGCCAACACUUACUAUAAAUUAUGUGAUGGCGAUGAGACAUUAGAUGGACGAAAGUAACCAUGAUAUGGUUAAUACGCUUACUCAACAAAUGGGUACCAUAUUUAGUCCAUUAAUUAAAAAUAUGAACCAGAGUUACCAACAGUUGGCAACUCAAAUGAAUCGAAUUGUUGAUUUCUUUGGCGCUUCGCCGGAGUCGGUUCAACCCAUUGUACAACCUCAAUUGGACAAGCCAAUUCAAAACUAAGGGAUAGACCAUGAGGAAAACAUAGUGAAUCAGGGGCAACAAUUUGAGCCCCGGGUAGUCUAACAAGGGAGACCUAUAGAGGCCGAAUGACCAUCAAUUUUGAUAGUGAAUCGAGACCAAGACGCGGACCAAGUGGUUCGUCAAGUUAGACAAGAGAAUAUGUUAGGAGAAAACAAUCUUGCAGCCAUAGUCAAAAGAAUAAUGACACAAAAUAGUGUCAACAUGGGCCUACAGAGGCCAAAUUAUUAUCUCUUUUGUUGGAGUAUGUUUUACAAACCGAACUCCCAAGGGGAUGGGAAGUCCCUAAGUUUAUCAAGUUUGCUUGUGAUACUAAUGAGUCCACAGUCGGACAUAUUGCUCAAUAUUUGAAUGAGGCAAGGCACAUAACGAAUAAUAAAAACUUAAGGAUGAGAUACUUCCCUAGUUCCUUUACAAAAAAUUCUUUACAUGGUUUACCACCCUUCCUGAAAAUUCCAUAAAUGAUUGGACUCGUUUAAAAAGGUUGUUCCAUGAAUAGUUCUAUAUGGGGAAAUCUAAGAUCAGUCUAAAAGAAUUGUCGAGUGUGAAGCGAAAGUUGGCUGAAAUAAUUGAUGACUAACUUAAUAGGUUUUGAUUGUUAAAAACAAUUUGCUUUAAUCAAGUUACUGAACAUGAAGUAGUCGAAAUGGCCGCCAGGGGAUUAUAUUAUUCUAUUAGGAAGAAAUUAGAUACACAAUGUCUCAGAGACAUGGCUUAGCUGGCGGAUAGAGUUCAACGGGUUGAGCGCUUGAAGGCUGAGAAAGCCGGAGUGUACAAAGGUAAGGAGUGAAUGACUUAUGCCAAUAUGUAAAAAAGUGACUUGAUGUCAGAUGUCGAAUAUGACCAUAUCGAAGAAAGUGAGGUUGAUGUGCCUGAGUUAAAACCAGGCCCUCCAAAUCUGUGUAAACUACUUACACCUGUAAACGGGAAGAACGCUUCUGAACUUGAGAAAAAUGAUAAGUUCCCUAAGAAAACAUAUACCUUCGACGUGACCAAAUGUGAUGAAAUUUUUGACUUAUUGGUUGCAGAUGGCCAAGUACUAGUGCCACCAGGCACAAAAGUGCCACCAUUAGAGUAAAGAAAGAAACGGGGGUUUUGUAAAUGUCAUAAUUAUCUAGGGCAUAAAACCUCACAAUGUUUUCUUUUCAGGGGUCCUGUUUAUAACACUUUGAAUGACGGAAGGAUCAAGUUCACUAAAGGCAAAGCUCCUAUGAAGAUUGACUCUGGCCCACUGCAAGUCGGGGAAGCCAAUGUUGCUUAGCUUAUAGGAACUAACAUGGUCGAGAUCAUUGAUUUCGACAUGGAGGCAGAGGGUGAAGCUUUCGAGAGCAAUGAGAUUCAAGUUGUUUAUCCUAAGGCUGGUGAAGGUUUGCUUGAAUUCCUCCAUUGAUGUAAAGCUAAGGAUUCAGAAGUUAUGUUGUGCCCUAGGUGCAAUGUUGGUUUUUACAAGAGGGAUGCAAAUAAAGUGGAGAGUGCCCAGCAGGCGAAGAAGAAGGAAAACUAGAGGAGGAGCAAGCCUGAGUUCUAUUUUGACAAGAGGGGAGUCCCUUAGAAGAAGGAGCGAUUUCCCAACCAUCGGAGAGGCAAGCCUCACACUUACAUGUCAGCGUAUAAUGCUCCCCAAGGAAGGUGGUUGAGGCUUGUUAUAAAGGAGCUGUCUGGAAAUCAGAGGUGGGGGAAUUUCGAAAUCGGUUGAUACUCUUCAAUGACCUAUCGAGAAAAUUUCCAGGUAUCGAAGAGGCGCUCAUAUGGUCCCAAUAACUAUAAGGGGAAGAACCCAAUGUCACAUACUCAAUUGAGAAGACUUCAGAGGAAGAAUAAGGCAGAGAAGGAAACUACUGAAUCAAGCAAUAACAAACCAUACCAUAGUCGAGUAAGUGAUCAGACUAAGAAGUCAGUUGAAAGACAAUUGUUUUCCCCUAAACAAGUUAAGUCGAAGGGAAAAGAGAAUGAGGAAGUACCAUCUAAGAAGGAUGAAUUAGUUAUUGAUAAUUUUGAGUCGGGGUCAGAAGACGAUUUUUAUGUGUUGUAUAAUGUCGUAUCGGUACUCCCAAGGGAAUAUGAUUGUGCCACAGAAGUUUCUGAGCUAACAGAUUAUGAAGAGGAGGAAAUGAUGAAGCACAAGCUUGUGUACUAUUUCGUCACGAACGAUGGUUGCAUUGAAUAGCUAACUAUUGUUGAGGUCGGCUUAUCAAGUCGUGAGCCUUCAUCAUCUCCUUCUCCCAUCAAGAGGAAUCUUGGUGAUAGCCCGUCCACUCCUAUUGAAGGAAGUUCUCCCAAUCAGGAUUUCCUAUCGCAAGGUGUUGAGUUUGAGGCUCUUACUUCUUUCUUUCAGGUUCCUGCAAUCCUUCCUUCUUGGGUACCAAGCACCCCGAAGGAAUUUGUUGCUACUCUGGAUAACGAUGACCUGGCCUUCAUCCGAAGCUUGUUUGUAACUGACAUAUGGAGUAUUUUUACACAUGCCCCCAUACCCUUUUUAGGGAAUGGAUCUUUGGAUUCAAUAGUAGUUGUCGACCAUGACGAUGUAUUAUGCUCUAGAGAUCUUUAUAGGGAGUGGGUCGGGCUGAAAAAUAAAUGUGAGGACCUUGAGUGCGAAAAUUAUGAGGUUGAGAAGGAGUUAUCCGAGCUACAGGCCGAGCUUGUCGAUUCUUUGUAGAAAGAGGUAAAUUGGUAUGGUUCUUAGUCAUCAUUGGUUGCUCAGAUAAUGAGAUUGAAGGAUUCGCUUAUUGGGGUAAAGAAACAUUAUAAGAAGGAUUUUGAAGAUACUACGGAAGUGUGUCGUGCACUCGAAGCAAAUCGAAUUGUUCUUCAACAAAAGAAGAAUGGUCAGAUCAAUUCUUUGAAAAUUCUUGAAGAGAAAGUGGUUGUUGCAUGGCAUAAGUCUCAGGAGUUCUAUUCAACGUGUUAUGGAUGUCGUGUAUCGGAUCCAGGAUAAGAGGUUGGAGCAUGCUAAAGGAUUUUGUCUCGGCCUUUCUACUAUUGUCGAUCAGUUGGAUCCUUUCUGAGAAAUUCCCAUAGAGCAUUUUGGAUGUGGCCCAGCUGCUUCAAGGUCGGGCGCUGAUGUUUGAGAAUCUUUGUGUUCCCAUUUAUUUAAUUUUUGCUCCUGCAAAAAUUUUCCAGGCUUUGUGCCUCAGUUUGUAAAUAAUAUUUAAAUUUAUUUAUAUCGCUACCUUUAUCAUAUUUAUGCUUUCCGAUUUCGUAUUGCAGUAUUUCAAUCGUUGACUCUAGUCGACUGAGAUCUGAGGAAAGUUAGGGAUUGCUUUCGAGCCUUACAAUUUGCACAAUUUGUUCGCUAUAGAGAGAAGUAAAUAUUAUUCACUUAAAGUUUAAAUAACCUAAAGUUAUCUGCAAGGUCAUGUAUAACUUCUUUGUUUGUUAGCACGUCAUGUUAAGAUGUACGCGUUGUCAAGGCGACAUGUCGAACCACUCAAAUGUGACUGUGAUUGGAAUGUACAUGUGUAAGGGAAGCAUUAGUUCAAUUUGAUGUGUGUGUAUAUUGGAUUUGUGUUGGUGAGGCAUGAGCUUGACUUUGGGUGUUUAUGUUUCAAGGUGCACCUGUAAUUAUUUAGCAUGGAACCGCCAGACAUGGUUAUGCUUUGGAUCAUAUUCAUAAGAAUAUAGAUGAGUCCAAAUAAAUGUGGUUAUGCUUUGAAUCAUACUUAUAGACGAGGGACAUGAAACUGGUUAGAUGUGACCAUGCUUUUUUAAUAGUGCUCUAUGUCAUAAAGGAUCAUUCCCCGAACAAGGGUAGAGGAUCCUCGUCCCUCUCCCCAAGGUGCUAGAUCGAAUCAAGGUGGAUGGCUCUAGGCUCCACCACUCAUAUCCUUUGCAUUGGCUAGAUCUGAAGGGGGUGCGCCAGCUACGCAGGAUUGUGUGUAGUUCUUCGACAAUGGGUAUUUGAGUGAUGUAUUGGAACGUGAAAAACGUCUCCAAUAGCACACCUGGUGGAAUUUGUUACUAAAGUCAUACGUAUAAAGCGUCUCCGAUAGCUCCCCUGAAUUUUGAAGACGCACAAGACGCUGCAGAGAAUUGUUUGUGUAGUCGGACGUGCGAAGCAUCUCCAACAGCACCUCUGAACUUUGGAGGCACACUCGAUGCUAAAGGGAUUUGAUUGCUUUGGUCAGAAAUACAAAGCGUCUUCAAUAACACCCCUGAAUUUUGAAAGCAUGCUCGACGUUUAGGGGACUUGAUUGCUUUGGUCAGACAAACAAAUACUCUCCAAAAUCACCCCUAGACUUUGAGUCAGUGUCAAUUGCAUUGGUUGUACCCUGGUUCGUUAUCACGUUCAUUCAUGUCUUGGCUUCCUCAAGAAUGGACAGGGCAGAAAGCAUAGUAGAAAGAAUAUAAUAGAAAAUAUACAUAUGUAUUUCAUUUCACUCUUAUAUAAUAGUUUACAACUACAUUAAUUAAAUCUCGCGGUCGACCGCAAGUGUAUAUCAAGCGAUCACCCUCAGAUGUAUUAUUCGGGUGGCUUAAUGACCAAUUGACUUGAAGUAUUGGGUCCUUGGCUUAAGAGAUAACAAGCCUAUGAUGAGUAUGAUUGAUUUGGCUUCUCAGGGUCAAGGUGGACUAGCUCUUUUGGACUCGGAUCUUCUUCGGGAUGUCUCAGAUGCUCGGCCAGACUGGAAGAUUGGGGAUGAUACACCCUGACUUGUUCAUUCCCUUUUGUUCCCGUAGAAAUAUUCACUGACCGUUCUAAUUGAAGAUCUCACGGACCCGACCUCUCUCUACCCAGAAUCAGCUGGGCCGUUUAGCUUUGCUUAACUUAUCAUCUUUAGAAGUUGUUUCUAAUACCGCGUGUCGUUCCCUUCCAUCAGAACAUGAUCGGCUUGUGGCUUGCAUGCCGAUUGAAAGUUAAGUCACGUUAUUGUAUGGUAUUGUUUACUAGUUUUGAUUUUUUUGCUAAUUUGGUUAUUGUUGUUAGAAUUUGUUUGCGUAUUCGUAAUUUGCUUACCAUUUAAUAUUUGUAUGUUUGUAAUAUAUUCGCAUUUGAAUCCUAUUGUAAUUGAUUCGUCUAUUAUAAAAUUGUAGCAUUAAGAUCCCACGGUAUUCAAUGUAUUUAGAGAGUUUGAUUCCUUGAUAAUGUCUCUUUUUUAGCCUAUCAAGUUAUCCUUUUGUCAUUUCAUCAAACUUGACUUGAAUCAUAAGUUAGAACUAUUAAAAUUAAGAUGUUAAGUGUUUGAUUUGAAUCAUGUACUAAAUGUGAGUCGAAUCAUAAACUUAUAAAAAUUGGGAUUUUUUUCUGGACUGCUUGAUCCGAAUCAUAAAAUAAACCUAAUCUGAAUCACAAACUCUUGUGACUCAAAUCAAGUGUUAUCCAUGAGUUGAAUCACAUGUCUGAAAGAAGUCGUAUUUGGGUUCUUCCUUCAUUGACUCGAACCAGGAAUCUAACUUGAUUUUAAUCAUGAUUUUCUCUUGACUCAAAUCAUGACACUACAAAACCCGUUUUUUCCAUCUUUGAUAUAUAUAGUUGUUUCUUUUGUGAAAGUAAUAAAGUGUGUGAAAACCCAAAAAAGGUGAAAAACAUUUUUGAGACAAAAUACAAUUUAUCUUCUUUUCUUUAGUGAGCCUAUACCCAGCAGCAUUAUUCUUUAUAUUCUUCUCUAUAAAAACUUCUUAAGUAUUAAUCUAUGUCAUAUUCACUUAUUUUUAUUGCACUUUAUUCUUGUGCAAUUUUUUUUGUUGUUGCUUGUAAUUAGAGAGAGUUAGUUGAUUUAUCUUGUGUGUUCAUCAUGAUCAAUAAAGCUCAUGAUAUCAAUUAAGAACCAAGACCCAUUUACCCAAAAAUUAGAGAGAACAUUAUGUGUGUCUUCUUCUUUCACCUACAUCUAACUACUUGACUAACACCUUGUGAAUUAGAGUGCUUGUGAGAUAUUCUAGCACUAUUCAUCAUCUUCAUCCUUAGUAUUUUCCCAUUUUUUAGUAUUUUCAUCUCUAAAUAUUGAGUGUUAAGGGAGACUAGUGGUACAUUAGAGUAUUUAAUGUUUUUGUGUGAAGUUUGUUAUUUGUAACCAGUGCAAAUAUCAUUUCUUGAAUGAAGUUUGGUCCUCAUUGUUAUCUAUCAACAAGAGAGUUUCAAUAUAGUCCAAGUAAUACUUUGGCGAGAUCAAUUAUUAAUGUUUCAUAAGGGGAGUUGGAAGUUGUCCUUCUUUGGUGGCAUUCGAGAAAGAUGGAUCGCAUACAAAGUUGGGAGUUGUCCAAUAAAUGCUUAGUUAAUGGAAAUCGCUCAGACAAGAUAUCGGUGGGAUCAAUAUUUCCACACACAAAUACUUGGAGCAUGUUAUUAUGAAUAGAAAGGUUAUUAGAUCAAGAUCUUUAGUGAUCUUGUUUUGUUAGCAGUUUGAGUGUUUGCAUCAACAGAGGGAACUAUUAUGUGAUAGUUCAUUGUAAUCAAAGUGCUUGUAUCAAACUUAUCAAAAUAGAGGAAGAUCGUGAUUAUCUUCCAGUGGUUGAUUAACACCAUUGAAGAAUGGAGUAGGCAAAGCGAGGACAAAUGUUGAACCACUAUAUAUCUGUGUGUAUCUUUUCUUCUUCCCUUAUCUCCUUUUAAUUUACUAGUAUCUAAUAAUAUUAUUAUUACAUUAGUGCAUUACUGCAUCAAUUGUAUGUUAUAUAGGUUAGACUUUACUUAUAGAGUUUUAAUGUAUAAGCUUAGGCAUGUGAUGCAUCAAUCUUAUUGGAUUAUCAUAGACACAAUCAUGUCUUGAAUGAACAUCUAUGUAAAGUGUUUUUAAAUCGCUUUGUUUAAAGCGACUUUGGUAUUCUUGUAAUUUACUUGCAUUAGAAGCAACAAAGUAUUUAGUUAUAUCAUGUAUUAUUUCAUUUUUUUAAUUCAUUGAGAUGCUUCCAAGCUCUCCACUUUUGUAUUUUUCAUUUGCGCUUCUUAAAAUCUCUGAUUUCGUUUAUAAAACCUAAAAUGCCUUUGAAAUUUUCUUAAAGGGAGAAGGUUUAUUCAACCCCAUUCUAGACUUCUUUGUGUCCAUAUUCUCAUCCAACAAUUGAUAUCAGAUCCUAGUUGAUCAAAGUCUUGUGACUCCAAAAGUUAAGGAUAUGGUUCUUUUGAUCCUAGACGAUUUUUUAUAAUCGUUUGGAAGCUUAUGCAAUUCAAUGAUAUUACAUUGAUGUACUAAUGUCUGAUUAUUCAUUGCAUGCAUUAAAUAGAUUAAAUUAAAGUAGAAACUUAUUAGAAUACCCUUCAAACAUUAAUUAUAUUUAAGAUAUUCUCUAAGUUUUGAUUCAUCUAUGAUUGAUUGACAAUAUUUCGAGGUAUGUGCAGUGAAACUGGGAACCUGUACUAUAUCUUGAAGUUAGCUCUUGAUUAAUCCUAAUUAAAGAUGAAAAUACAAUUCACACUAUAAUAUGUUGGAAUUUAUGUGAGAUAAAAUUAAAGAAACAAAAAAACAUCUUCUAAGUGACCUAUUUUUCCAAGGUUAUCGUAAAAAGAAGAUAAAGGCAGCUUGCGGCUAUUGGAAAUGAUUCUCCUAAGUUUCAACAAUUACAAAAGAUUCAAGGAUAGAUUGUUCUCCUUGAAGUUCUAUUGAUCUUCAAAGAGUUGAACAGUUAGUCGGGAUUGACAAAGUGUGUCAAUUAGUGAAAAAUAAACCAUCAUCAUUCAAAGUUCAUCUGAAACCUUAUGAAGAAGAGUGUGAUAGUAUACUUCAGACGUGCAAGAGGAGUUGUAUCAAAUUAGUAUAUGAUUGAUCGUGUUAUUAUCUUAUGAUGUUUUUUUUUGUUGAUUACUAAUCGUUCUCAUGUGCAGCAAGUUAAGCCUAGAUCGUCUAAAUUUGGUAUGAUCAUUCCAACCCUUUUUUAUUUCUUUUUUAGUAUACAUAGUUGUAAUUAUUCCAAUGUCUAUAUGCGUUGUAUGUUUGAAACAUGUAUGUGUAUGUGAGAUGUUUGUACAUUUCAUGCUUUAAUUUUUCAAUCAUUUAUGCAUCGGUUUAACUUUAUUUUCGUCUGUUCAUUGCAUAUAUACAUUUGCAUUUAAAUUCAUUCAUACGUGCAUCAUCAUCAAUAUAAAUUUCCAUUCAUUAAAGAUUUAGCAUUUUCGUUAUAUAUAUAUAUAUAAUAUAUAUAUAUAUAUAUAAUAAUAUAUAUAUAUAUAAUAUAUAUAUAUAUAUAUAUAUAUAUAUAUAUAUAUAUAUAUAUAUAAUAUAUAUAUAUAUAUAUAUAAUAUAUUGCAUUUUAUCAAAAAUCAACUUUUUUCAUGCAUUAAAAUAUUUUUUUAAAAUAAUGCUUCAUGAUUUGAAUCAUGAAGGUAACUUAGUUCGAAUCAAACAAAUUGAAAUUUCAAGUUUUGGGUGUUGUUGAAGUCUGAUUCGAGUCACGACUACAACGUGAUUCGAAUCACUGCUCAUUCUUUGAAUUUUUCAAAUACAUGAUUCGAAACACAAAAAUUACCUGAUUCGAACCAUGAAACAAAAAGUCAUGCAUUAAGUCCGUUUUCAACAGUAACGGUCCACUUUUUCGUUUUUCUCUUCAUAUCAUUUCAUUUCCCUCAUGCAUCCACACUCUCAUUUCUCAAAACUCAUUUUUUAAAACACCAUAACAAUUCAUUAUUCAUAAACAUUCAUUCAUUCCAUUUCAUCUCAUCAUCAUCAACCAUUCCCAAACCCACUUUCAUCAUCAUGGACUCAACAUGUAUGUUCAAGCUCUAAAAAGCAAGUUAUCUGAGAAACAAAAGGGGAAGAGAUAAGUUCCUACUUCAAAUUCAUCUCCUUCUUAAGUUCCCAAAAGGCCGAGAACAAAAGUUUGAACAAACAAAGAAUCAUCUAAUGAGGUUCAGAAAAAGGAAAAAAUGGGUACUUCUCGUCAAGGCUCAAUCAAAGAUGUUUCUCUGAUCAAUAUGAAAGUUUGCAUGAUGCACCCUGAAGAAAGUCUAUUGAGGUGCGUGUGUAAAUUUUCAGUCAAGCCAGUUGAUUCUGAGUAUUUUGUUGAAAAUUAGUUUGAAACCAAGCUAGGAAUUAAGUUUUUGACUCCAUUUGAGAAUCAUGGUAUGUUUAAGUUCUUGAGUUUGAAAAAGGAUUAUGACCUUGAGUUGGUUAAAGAAUUCUAUUGAAAUUUUAAUAUUACUAAAGAUGGAUUAGAAUGUCACCUUAAGGAUAAGCUGAUUACAUUUUCUAUCAAUAAUUUUAAUUCUCACUUUGGUGUGCCUGCUGGAGGUAAUGAAGUUAACACCGGUAACACCUCUGCCUCUCCAAGAUUCCAAAAGCUUGAUUUUGUGAAAACAAUUUCUAAGUUAAUUUUUAUUGAUCGACUAGAUAUGGUCAAUUUCAACAUUAAUCAUAUUACUUUUGAAAUGUGAACUUUGCACUGGAUUGCUUCCAAGAUGUUGUACAGGAAACCUCACAACUGGGCUAGGGCAGAUGAUCUUGAUCUUAUGUUGAUGUGGGUGAUGUUAGGUGACAAGCAUAAUAAUUGGGUCACAUUCAUUUUUAUAAGGAUGGAUCAUUGUAGGUCCACUUUUAAUGUCUCACUCUUCUACUAAUUUUUUAUUCAGUACACCCUUGAACUGAACGGCAUUACUCCAUUUGAUUCUUAUAUGAUGAAAUCACCAAAUCCUGUUGACGACUCUACUAUUAAUUUGAUGAGGUACUACAAAGAUAAAUAUGGGCAGUGCUACUUUUUACAUACAUAUGGGACUCUAAUUUAUGAGGACAUGAUUGUGAAACCCUCUGAUGAAGGGGUAGGUUAAUCGUCUGUUGGUUUGCUUUCUCCUGAUGUGAAAGUCUAUCUUGAUGAAUUAGUUGGAAGAAUUUUGGCUGAUAAUCAGAUACGGGAAGAAAGGAUCAUGGCAAGAAUUUAAAGGGUUGCAAAGGAAAUUUAAGAUAGCAUGAUAAAGCUAGAGGAAGCAUUGAAGGCCGAGAUGCAGAGUGGUGAAGCCCAGAUCAUUGCUCAGGUUGAUUCUAUGAAAGUUUUAGUUGAGCACCUUGGUAAAACCUAUAUAGUCUUUCCUCUUGGUUCUCCUGAUCUUGAUAUAAAGUCUUUUAACCCCUUUCCAAAUCUUGCAACUCCUCCACCUCCUCAUGUAGAAGCAACUGAUCUUACUUGAUUUAGUUUUCUUUUCUUUUUCAUGAAUAUCAUAACAUUAGCAUAUCAUGGAUAACUAUGUUAUUUUGGUGUCUGUCUAUUUUAUGACCCUUGACUAUACUUUGGAGUAUGUAUCUUGUGACAAGUCUUUUAGUCACGUAUAUAUGAUAUCUCUGUAAUUCUCAUUAUGUUAUCGUUUUCUUGAUAUCUUUAUUAGAUUUUGUGUUUGCGAUAAUUGGUUUCGUAUGCAAUUUAUUUGGUGCUUGUUUAAUUCACUAAGUAUGACAUUCUAAUUUUGGAUUUCAUAUUAUCAUGGAUUCAACUAUUUUGGCGUGUGUUUUCUCUUUGUCUUUUAUCUCUUUUUUAUAUUUGUCAAAGGGAGAGAAGGUAUUGAGAUAAUAUCAAUAUUUAUGUGCAUUAAAUGUUUAAUGCAUGUGGCUUUAGAGCUUUUACAACUCAAGUGGAGUGGAGUACACUAAUCACAUGAACACUAAAGAAACUAAACAUAUUCAUUUCAUCCAUAAAAUUUCAAAUAAUGCUCAAAUAGAUUGAUCAACAAUAUAAUAUAUCCAAACUUGUCAAACAUCAAAAAGGGGGAGACUGAAAGUGCAGUCAUGUUAUCGUAUGGUAUCUUUUACUUGUUUUGAUGUUUUUACUAAUUUAAGUAUUGCUGUUAGAGUAUUUUUGGAUAUUUUAAAUUUGCUUACUGUUCUGGACUGGGCCAUGACACUAGGCACGGCACGGCCCAAUGCUCGCCAAGCCCACGUCCAAACGACCAUGUCCAAACGACCACGAGGACAAGUCAGGUGAACGACCGUCCGCCCGAAGCACGUCUCCCCGGCCCCUUAAAUACGUGUCGGACAACGAGCGGGUCCUCCCCAUACGAUCUCCAUCCACUCAUCGUCAACCCACGCCGCGGACACCUAAGUUGUGUCGGGCAGAGCCAUAACGGCAUCUCACUCACCACGUCACCCAACUCCCCUAUAUUGUCUCCUUAGGGAUAGGGGCAGUUGGACCAGGGGGCAGACCUUGGUCUAGGUCUUAACGCUUCUUACGCGUCCCCUGGCAGCUCCUCCUUGGGCCUAGCUAAUCCAGCCCAUUAGGAGCCUUGGCCCAGCGCUGGGGGCUCAAUAUAAAUACCCCUUUCAUGGCAAAGGGGCAGGUAUUCUAACUCACACUCUGAUAACCUCAUUCUGUACCUUUUCUGACUUAAGCAUUGGAGCACCUUGCAGGUACACCCCCCUCUCAUUUCAUUCUCCGGCCCAUUCACCAAGACCUUGGAAGGCCCUCCUGAUCAGGUAAGAUCAGUGGCGCCGUCUGUGGGAACUAGCUAUCCCCAUCUUCAUCAAACGAGGAUCAAAAGCUCAUUUAUUUCUGUCCUUCCAACAUGGCCGGAGAACAACAUAGCGAUCACAGCCGUCCCCUCGUCAACUACAAUAUGGACGACGGCCCGCCAUCCCAUGAAGCGGACGUUCGGGACGGUCAUCCAUCCACCCCGUCUCCAGAGCCCCAAAACAACGGAGAUGCCUCUCACGCCCACAAUUUAGGGGCAGAGACAUUUCAUCCCAUUCCCGUUCCCGUUGAAGGAGACGCCGUAAUGAUUGCCAUGGUGAAUGCCCUCAAUCAGGCCGGUUCUAUGCUCCACCAGCAGCACGAACGAAUCAUGGCCCUCGAAGCCGAACGACAAGAGGCCCGGCCCCAGCCGGUGAGUAGGAUACAACAACGUUCGGAGCCAACGAAGAAGCGAGGACGUCGCUCUCCAGAACCCCACGUCAGCAGGGCCCGCGCCCGUCGUGACGCGUGGUCGAGCGGGAACAUCACCAAGGCGGACGCAGCCCGACAAACAACGAACUGUCUCCCUUAAGGAGCGACGAGGAAGAUUUGCAUGCCCCCGUUCUGCGGCAAUAAUGGAAGCCCGCUCCCCAAAGGCAUGGAGAAACCACCAAAUCUAGCUGUGUACGACGGGACUACAGAUCCCGACGAUCACGUCGACACGUCAACGCGAUGCUCGACUACCGCAAUGAUAUAACCGGGCACUCAAAUGCCGACUGUUCUCAACGACCCUCAGGAAAGCCAUGGCUUGGUACAAAAGCUUGGCCCCUGAGUCCAUUACGUCAUGGAGAGUCAUGAGGUCCAUGUUCACCAGGCACUUACAGCUUCCCGUCGUCACCCCAAGACUGAGGCGACCCUGAAGCCAUAGUGCAGAAGAAGAAUGAAAACACUGCGCUCAUACAUCGAGCGAUUCAACCAGGAAGCUGUCGAGGUAGAUACCACGAGCACAUGAAGAAGUAUCUCCUCGAGAGAGGUCUCUUGCCGGCAGUGAACUUAGCAGAGCCGUAGGGAUCGAGCCUCCCGCACCUUAAACGAGCUCCUGCAUAAAGCCCAGCCUACAUCAGAUACGAGGAAAAGCAAGUUGGACACAAUGCCGCAGCGGACGUAACGCUGGGGAGACCGAGCACUCGAACGCGAGGACACGAGCAUUUCCGUCGCAACGGAGACAAACGAAGAGAAGAAAGACCUCGCGAGCUCCGGAAGGAAAGAGCCCCGCGGGCAGAUAUAGCGAGUACACCUUACUGACAGCUCCUCGAGAGCGUAUCCUCGCAGAAUGUAUCAACUCUGAAUUUAAGCAGGCAGGGUCAGGUUUCCAAAACCGUCUGCACCAAAGCCCCACACCGACAAAUCAAAGUACUGCCGGUUCCACAGAAGUCACGGCACGUGACCGAAGACUGCGUCCACCUGAAGGAUGCGAUAGAAAUUUUAAUCCAAGAGGGGCACCUGAAGCAGUAUACGAGGAAGAACGAAGCUCCCAGACACGGCGAGCCAGAGAAGAAGAGACCCCGGGAAGACACGCCCCCUGAAACUCUCCCUAUCAAGUGGCCCUCUGCGUGUCACGACGGAAAUUUCUUCCUCCCGAACCAUUGCCCGAGGGCAAGAUCACUGCACUCAGCCCCUGGGAAAACUUCCCUUCCACACUGGUGAUAUCAGGAGGAGGAACUAACGGGGAAUCCGCGGCCCUCUCCGUCAAACGUAAGUUCGACGAACUCCUACUGACUGCCCCCGAGCAGAAAGCGACAUUGACAAAAUACCGGGGAAAAUCCAACCCAAUAUCCUUCUUCCUGGAGAACUCCCGGGCGGAUCCCCGAACUCGGGAUCCCACUAUUGAUAAGGCAAAGAUGGCCCAAUUCGACGUACGACGCAUCCUGGUCGACCAAGGCAGCUCAUGGAUAUCAUUACGUCCACCUCUUCAAGACUCUGAAGCUAGACAAGACCAACCUAGCCCCCUACGUCGGAUCAGAUCUCCAAGGAUUCAACGGAGCGACAACCAGACCGUGGGGAUAUGUUGAGCUCCUCGUCACCUUCGGCGAACAGGAAACGGCCAGGAAGUCAAAAUCCAAUUCCUGGUCGUAGACUGUCCGUCUUCUCUACAAUUGCAUCUUUGGACGCCCGACACUGGCCGAACUCACCGCUGGGCCCAUCCACCGUCCACCUAAAGAUGAAAUACUACACCAAAUUGGGACGUGUGGUCACCAUCCAUGGUGACAUCGAAGCAGCCCGGCGAUGCUACGACGCCGCAGUAAAAGGACAGGCCGUAGUCAGCACGAAGAGCAACUGCAACAACAAAAAACUCAGGACCGGGGAUCCUGCCCGAGGAAUCAACGCCAUCACCUCGACUGUCGCAUCGGGCUGGACGAGACCGAAGAGGGAGGUUCCCCAAGGAACGCUCUCGCGGACACCCGGUCCGACCAAUCCCGACGGAGGAGUUCGAACUCAUUCCUCUUGGGACGAUCCGGAAAGGACGGUGAAGAUAGGUAAAGACUACCCGAGAAACAAGAGAAGAGCUAGAGCAUGCCUCAAAGAGAACUCGGACCUCUUCGCGUGGAAUGCCGCAGGAAAUGCCCGGGCUGGACCCCGAGAUCGCGUGUCAUAAGCUAGCUUUAGACCGGGCAGCCAAGCCCAUAGCACACGUAGACGCAAGCAAUCGCCCGAAAAGGCAGAAGCUGCCGAGCGAGCUGUAAAGACCUCUUAGAGGCAAAUUUAUUUCUGAAGCCCAGUACACAACCUGGCUCUCUAAUGUAGUCCUCGUAAGAAAAAUAAUGGAAAAAUGGGCAUGUGUGUUGAUUAUACUGAUCUUAAUAGGGCUUGCCCGAAAAUGCUUUCCCCCUCCUAAUAUAGACAUGCUCGUUGACAACUCUGCAGGUUUUAAACUCUUGUCCUUCAUGGACGCAUUAGUGGAUACAACCAGAUCCCUAUGUCGCCCACAGACAAGAAACACACAGCGUUCAUGACCCCAACGGGCAAUUACUAUUACAACGUGAUGCCGUUCGGCUCAAGAAACGCUGGCGCUACAUACCAACGCAUGAUGAACAAAGUCUUCAAGGACGAAAUUAGGACAUGCUCGAAGUAUACAUGGACGACUGAUCGUCAAAUCACACGAGGAGGACAACGGGACACAAUUCACGGACGGAGGAUUCCAGGACUUCAUCGCCAGCCUGGGCACCACACAGCAUUUCACGUCUGUCGAGCAUCCGCAGACGAACGGGCAAGCAGAGCGGCCAAUAGGGUAAUCUUACGUGGCCUCAAACGCAGACUCGGUGAGGCAAAGAGGGCAUGGGUCGAGGAGCUACAUAGCGUGCUAUGGGCCUACCGCACGACACCACAUUCUACCACCGGGGAAACCCCGUUCCGACUAACUUACGGCACCGAGGCAGUCAUCCCGGUGAGAGAUACGGGCGCGCCAACGAGGAGGACGGAGGAGCCCCUAGACGAGGAAAUGAACGAUGAAACCCUUAGAGCGCGAGCUCGACCUAGUCGAGGAGAUACGUUCCGAAGCAGCUCUCAGGGAAACAACCCUCAAACAAAAAUAGCACUACGCCAUGACGCGAAAUCAUAAAAAGAGAGUUCCAGGGUCGGCACCCCUGGUCCUCAGAAGAAACCAGAAAAACCCGGAGAGAGGGGCAACUACUGGCGGCCAACUGGGAAGGCCCUUACCGCGUCCGCGACAAAACGAGCAACGGGGCCUAUUACCUAGAAAACCUACAAGGAGAACAACUCGCUCGACCAUGGAACGCAGAAAAACUUAGACAAUAUUACAGCUAAAUACACCACGGAAGCUGGCAGGUACGACCACGCUCUUCGUCCCCAAAACCCCAGGGGAACCACGAGACCCGGGAACGAUCCGGGUCACAUAACAAAACAAACCCUCCCGACGCGUUGGGAUUCUUGACCAAGACUAACGUCGAAGUACCAUGACUGGCAGGGCACCCAGCUCGCGAUGGGAGGGCCCAAGCCUCGGGACCAGGGUUCGAACAACGGACCCGGGCCUCGAUACCCACGGGCCACAAAGCCCGACACUUCGUCGGUUCCCUAAACCGAGGAGAUUAACAAAGUCGAGCAGAGUACGAACUCAUACAAACAAGUAUCAAACACAAACGAGCACAAUGAAUGAUAACGUAAAUAUUCAUACAUUAAAAACGAUAAGAGCGGCCGAAGCCAAGUACGCCGAAGGCCAUAUUACAACGCCCGAAGGCCAAAUACAUAAGGCACGCAGGCCAUGAUAACUAAAAUCAAAGAAACACAAAUAAACUAAGACCUCCGCUCGGAGCACCUCUUCAUCCUCUUCUUCUUCUUCUCCCCCAGCUCCUCCUCCGCUUCAAACGGGCAGAUAAUCUCACCAUCCCGGACGCAGCAGUUAUAGGCCGACCCUACUGUCACCAACUCAGGGUUCAGAAGCCCGAGCUGCUCGACAGCAUUGUCGAAACCCUCUUUGAGCAGGCCACAGAUCUGGUUGAGAGUCCGAAUAUGCCCUAGCAGCUCACCGCGCGAACAACAAGGGCGCGUUCCUCCUCGGUCUCAUCUGCCAGAGGACGGACCUUUCCCUCGAGAGAACUCAACCUGAGCCCGUAGGCAGCGGUGUCCUCGGUCAGCUUCUGAUGUCGACCACCUGCUCUCCAAGCUCGCCUUAGCAGCCUUCAACUGGUCCCUCUCCUUUUCCACCUCCUCCAGCUUCGGCUCAGCCCUUCCUGCAGCUGAUGCUCUCUUUGAGUCGACAGAUCUAGAUAGGCUUCCUUCUCCGUCCGAACCUGCAAAAGGGCAUCCUCCAGCGAGCGGUGGGAGACGAAGUGUCGGUCAAAACCAUGGCCGUCUCCAUCACCGCGGAUGACAGCAGCAAUAUCCUGGCCAGAUCUUUCCGGGCAGCAACAUCCUGGUCCAGAAUAGCCUUGCCUCAGGCGCAGGCACAGCAAUCGACUCCUCGGCCCUGAAGAACGACCGUUCCACAUAGCAGGGAGGAAGAAGAUAGCUGCCCGGUCCAUUCGAACUUCCUGGAGACGACUGGGAAGGGCCCCAGCCGGACGCUUCCGUUUAUGGAGGGGAGAAGCCGCUGGCGACGGACUGCUAUCAGGAAUGUUGAUCGGGUUAGAUCGAGGAGGAGAGGAAGGAAUCACGCUCGCCGCCUGCGAGGACUAAGCCCCGCAUCGCCAGCAGUCUCCAAGGGACGGGCCACAGUUUUCUUCUUCUUCUUGGGCACCGCGUCAGGAGCGCCGACCUGAUUCGCUAGCUUCAGCACCCGAUCACGAGCAUUCGGCAUGCACCUGCAAAUAAAUUACACACCAACAUUAGCGAGCGAAGUCAUAAACAGAAAUAAAAGCUAAACAAAGUCUGCCUACUCAAUAACGCCAGAGCUUCCUCCUCGGUAUCACACUCGAGCAGAGCCUUCGUAUUGAUAUAACGCGCCUCGGUGAUUAGUUCCCGGCCUCAUCCAGGUAGGGCACGCCCUGUCGAUUCGCCCAGAACCCCAAGCUGAAGCUCGCACGUAAUCGACCAGCUUCUUGUACGCGAGCCUAUCCUCCUGCCGGAGCAUCGCAUACUUGACUCGGUAAUGCGCCGUGGAGAGAUCGAAAUGAAUCACGCUGCCACCUCAGCGGUAUCUUCGACAUCAGCGUCUCCUCCCCAUUGGGUUUCCGCUGAUAGUAGUAUAGAGAGUGAAGGGCAGCCCGGGAAUCGGCAUCACACGUACCACCGGUUUUAAAUGGCGAACAGAAUCCUCGUACGUCUUGAACAGACGCACGGGCUGCUUGAAGAAACCCAACUGUGCGACCACGGGAACCGGACCUCUGGAGAUGGAAACGUGGAAGAGAAAGCCCGGGUGCAACCAAUGCGAGGAACUGGCAAACUAACUCGAAUGCCCGCAUAAAUGCGAGAGCAUUAGGAUGUAGUUGGGACGGCGCCAGCCGGAGCCACUUGAAGACCGACAUCUGGAAGGAGUUGAAGGGCAGUCUAAUCCCCGCCUCACGGAAAGCAAAUUCAUACAUGGUGAACUGCUUCCCCGGGAAAUGAUGGCAAAUGCGGUCUUCUUCAUUGGGGCGCAGCAAUACCAGUUUGGGGAUCCUCCGGCUUAUGGUCUCGACCAUAGCGUAAGCAAUGAUGGCCUCGUCACAGAAGUCUGAUCCUCCUCCAAGGGCUCGUCGCAACCCAUGAGAAGUCGACCUGCCGGAAGAGGAGGCGUGUUCGGUACCAUCUCGGACACUCCAUCCCCGACAGGAGACGAGCGAUUGUCGCGUCUUCGGUGGAAGAACCCAGAAUCUUCCCUCCUCGGUCGUAAGCGCCCGGUAGCAGCCUGAAACGCAGACAGAAGAGUGAAUCGACGUCAUAUCAAAUCCACCCUUCCACCGCAGGUCAAGUGAAAGGCGUAGCGGCGACGGACACUAACCGUGCUCAACUCGGUGACGCGCGCAUUCAUGGAGACCGGCAUAAACUUCAUACAGCCUAUGCAAGUAUUGCCCGCAUAUGAAUUUAUGCCCGAUACAGCAUGAUCCCAACCCUAUUUUCUACCAUCUAAUAUACACCUACAGUCCACUACACUAUUCCUAAGUUAAACCUAACACAUUUCUACAAAAUAGCAUGCGUUUGACAGAAAACAACAAGGAAAAACAGUGGAUCACAGUGGAAAUCAUACCUGACAUAGUUAAGUUGAAAGGGGUACGGUGGUGCCCGAGCAGAAGACGGUGGUUCAGAUAGGAGGACGGGCGGAGACGGCGGUCCAGACGGUAGAGCGAGCAAACGAGGGAGAAUGUGGAGAACUCCGGUGAACGUGUGAGCGAAAAAAGUGGAAAUGAAGUUACUCAACCCCUGUUUAUAGGGCUUGGCACGUGGACCAACACGCUAGUCAUCAUUGCCUAGCCUGCCUACGCCGUCUUUGCACACGAAACGAAGCGACCCCACUAAUUCUGAGACACGUCUAUCAAAGAUAAGAAACUGAAACGACCGAGCACCUAUCACGUCUCCUCGACUCACCAAGACGCCACCUCCCCGCGUCAUACCCACGUUUACCACAAGGAAGGUGCAGACCAACCGAUCACCUCCAUCCCCGACAUUCCCGGAGAAAGGGUCGGUCAUGAACAGGUCUGUUACGACCUCACCUGUCUAACGAUCAAGCUUCCCAUCGUCUCGGGAACCCUUAGUUGAAACAUAAGUCAUCUCUCUGGCUCAGAGACUCGACUUGGGGGGCCUGUUCUGGACGGGCCAUGACACUAGGCACGGCACGGCCCAAUGCUCGCCAAGCCCACGUCCAAACGACCAUGUCCAAACGACCACGAGGACAAGUCAGGUGAACGACCGUCCGCCGAAGCACGUCUCCCCGGCCCCUUAAAUACGUGUCGGACAACGACGGGUCCUCCCCAUACGACUCCAUCCACUCAUCGUCAACCCACGCCGCGGACACCUAAGUUGUGUCGGGCAGAGCCAUAACGGCAUCUCACUCACCACGUCACCCAACUCCCCUAUAUUUGUCUCCUUAGGGAUAGGGGCAGUUGGACCAGGGGCAGACCUUGGUCUAGGUCUUAACGCUUCUUACGCGUCCCCUGGCACUGGCAGCUCCUCCUUGGGCCUAGCUAAUCCAGCCCAUUAGGAGCCUUGGCCCAGCGCUGGGGGCUCAAUAUAAAUACCCCUUUCAUGGCAAAGGGGCAGGGAUUCUAACUCACACUCUGAUAACCUUAUUCUGUACCUUUUCUGACUUAAGCAUUGGAGCACCUUGCAGGUACACCCCCCUCUCAUUUCAUUCUCCGGCCCAUUCACCAAGACCUUGGAAGGCCCUCCUGACCAGGUAAGAUCACUUACCAUUUAAUAUUCGUGUGUUUGUACUUUAUUCUCAUUCAAAUUUUAUUGUAAUCGUUUCGGCUAUCUAGAAAAUUGUACCAUUAAGAUCCCUCAGUAUUCAAUAUAUUUAGAGAGUUUGAUUCCUUGAUAAUAUCUCUUUUUGAGCCUAGCAAGUUGUCCUUUUGCCAUUUCAUCAAACUUGGCUUAAAUCAUAAGUUAGAAGUAUUAAAAUCAAGAUGAUAAGUGUUUGAUUCUAAUCAUAUACUAAAUGUGAGUUGAAUCAUAAACUUUUGAAAAUUUGGGAUUUGCUUCUAGACUGCUUGAUUCAAAUCAUAAAACAAACCUGAUUCAAAUCACAUACUCUUGUGACUCGAAUCAAGUGUUAUCCAUGAGUCGAAUCAUAUAUUUAAAAGAAGUCAUAUUUGGGCUCUGCUUUCAUUGACUCGAAUCAGGAAUCUAACUUGAUUUGAAUCAUGAUUUUCUCUUGACUCAAAUCAUGACAUCACAAAACUCAAUCUUUCCAUCUUUGAUAUAUAUAGUUGUUUCUUUGGUGAAAGUAACAAAGUGUGUGAAAAACCAAAAAGGGUGAAAACCAUUUUAGAGAUAAAACACAAUUUGUCUUCUCUUCUUUAGUGUGUCUAUACCAGCAUUAUUAUUCUUUCUCUUCUUCUCUAUAACAACUUCUUGAGUGUUAAUCCAUGUCAGAUUCACUUCUUUUUCUUUCACUUUGUUCUUGUGAAAUUUUGUUUUUGUUGCUUGUGAAUUAGAAAGAGUGAGUUCAUUCAUCUUGUGUGUUCAUUGGGAUUAAUCAAGCUCAUGCUAUAUAUAUCAAUAACAUUAGUUAGGGGUUAAAUAUGGUUUUAGUCCCUAUAAAUAUGUCAACAUUCAAUAUUAGACCCUCUAAAAUUUUUCUUCAAAUAAUAGUCCUCCUAAUAUUUUUCAUCCACACUUUUGAUUUCUCCUGUUAACGGGCGUUAACAGAAGCUGGCGUAGUAUGCUACAUGGAAUUUUGCGAUGACGGGGCAUACAUGUGGCAAUGUCAGGGUGGCAAAAAAUGCUGACAUGGAUGUCACAUGGCAUUUGUUUCCAUUUUUUAUUUUUAUAUUAAUUAAAAUUAUAGUGACAGAAAGACUGUCGCUAAAUUUGUUGCUAAGAUGAACAUCGUACCUAAACUCAUAAAUGAUAGCUAAUUUGUAGUUAAUUCCUAACUAAUCCCUAACUAAUUUAAACACAUCAUUCUUCUGACCUAAAAUUCGAUUGUUUUUUCAUGAUUUUUUGCAUAUAAGUUUAUAACCUUAUAAGGAUUUCUCACACAAAUAAUUUUUUUACUUGAGAUGAAUUAAAUAUGAUUUUUUUGAACAUCGAUUUUCCAUGAAACGGAAACAAUGCAAACGUUGGCAUAUGAUUAAAUUUUGAAAUAAUAUUUUGUAGAGACUUAUAUAAUAACACAUAAAAUCAAUCUGCAAAGUUUUAUGUUAUUCCGAAUAAAUCUCGAUUUAUUUUGAUUUUUUUAUCGAAACACAUAUAAAUGUAUUUUUAUAUAGAGGCGAAAAUGAUUAUUAUGACCUAUACUUUAUUUUUUUCAUGAUUUUUGUCGUUUAUCCCAUCAUAAGGAUCUUUUCCACCAAAAUUGAAAUCGGUUUGACAUGAGAUAAAUUAAAUAUGAUUUUUUUAAGCACCGAUUUUUUAUGAUACGAAAACAAUGCAAAGGUUUGCAUAUGAUUGAAUUUUGAGCUAAUAUUUUGCAUAGACUUAUCUCAUAAGACAAGAAAUUGGUUUUCAAUGCUUCAUGGAAUUUUGAAAAAGUCUCGAUUUAUUUUAAGUUUUCUAUCGAAACACUUUUUUUUUCUAGAGGCGAAAAUCAUUAUUAUGACCUAGACUUCGUUUUUUCUUUCAUGAUUUUUGGCCUGAAUGUUUAUCACAUUAUAAGGAUCUCCCACAAAAAUUAAACUUUUUUUGACAUGAUAUAAAUUAAAUAUGAAUUUUUUAAGCGUCGAUUUUCCAUUAAACUGAAACAAUACAAACGUUGGUAUAUCAUUGAAUUUUGAGUUAAUAGUGUGCAUAGACAAAUCUUAUAACACAUAAAAAGGAUAUGCAAAGUUUAAUGGCAUUCUGAAUAAGUCUCAAUUUAUUUUGAUUUUUCGAUUUAAACACGUGUAUAUAUAAUAUAUAUAUAUGUGUGUGUGUUUCGAUGGAAAUAUCAAAAUAAAUUAAGACUUAUUCGGAAUGCCAAGAAACUAUGCAGAUCCCAGUCAUGUGUUAUCAUAUAGGUCUCUGCGAAAGAUUAUCUCAAAAUUCAAUUCAAUUCAAUCAUAUGUCAACGUUUACGAUGUUUCUGUUUCAUAGAAAAUCGGCAUUUGUCAAUAUUUUUUGUCACGCUGUCAUUGCCACAUGUAUGCCACAUCAUCAAAAAAAUUCGCAGGCCACGUAAACCUCUGUCGGUGAAAACUAACGCGAGGAACCAAUUUUAGAGACAAAAUUUUUUUAAAAGGAUUAAAAUUGAAUGUUGGCAUAUUUAUGAUGACUCUUUUGUUGAAAAUGUAUGUAGUAUGGACAAUAGUCUCACAUUGGUAGUAAAUGUGGAGACUUGAGCAUUUAUAAGUGAGAGAAUCCACUCAUUUAUAACCUUAGAGUUUUAGGUGAAUAUGUGGUGUGUCUCUCAUAAAGAUAUUGCUUGAGCUUCUGGUUUCAGAAAGGGAUCGGCUUACUUGUAUUGAAAGUCAACAGCGUCAGUAUGGUAAAUAAGAAACGUUCCGUUGAAGAGUGUCAAAGGCGUCAGUGUGGUAAAUAUACUUCCUAGUGAAAAAACUCCCCCAACAUCUUUAUUUAUUUAAUUCAUUAAAUUUUAUAUUAUAUAAUAUAUUAAAUCAAUCUUGAAAGUUCUUGUAUAAUUUUUUUUAAAGAGUUUAAUAUAGAGAGUUACACAUAGAGAGUGUGAGAAACAAAGAAUCACAAGUUAAAAUCCAUGUGGGCCUCCAACAUAUUAAAUGUAUAUAAAACUCUUUUAAUAUUUGAAAUGUAUUUAAGUCUAUUUUUAAAGUAUUAAGAAAUCAUAACAAAUACAUGUCUGUUGAUCUGAUUCUAAAAUUUCUAUUUUCAUAAAUUAAUGGUGAAUUAUGUCCAAUUCAGUUGAAUAUUGAGGUGAAACCCACUACACUAUUUAUAAUUCUACAACAUAGUUAUAUGUUGAUUUAAAAAUUUUCAACUAUCAUUUUAUAUUUAUUCUUCCAUACUCCAGUCUAAUAACAAACUAUAUUAUCUUUAAAUUUUUUGUAAAUUAUAUUAUCAAUAAAUUUAUAGACAAAAAUUUUUUAUGGUAAUGGAUUGCAUUUUUCAAUAUGAUAAGCUAAUUAACAUAGAGUAGUAUUUGAAGAUGGCCAAAAAUAAAUAUAGAAAUAAUUUUUUUUUUAAUACAACCAUAAUGAUAUUUUUAUGGGUAAGGUUAACUUCUGUCCUUGGGACACAAGUUAAGAGAUCAAUAUAGAAAUAAAUUUUUAGAAAUUGUGUAUUAAAUUUAUUAGAAAUUUAUAAUUAAUAAUUUUAUUUAUUUUUUCAAUACAAAUUUUUUAUUUGUGGUUUUCUUAACAUGUGCCAUUUAUUAAUGAUAUUUUUUUCAAUAUAUUUCUAUUAUUUAUUAUUUUAUUUUUUUCAAUUUUUUAAGUUUUUUUAUUUAUUUGAAAUAAAUGAAGGAUAAUAUUAUAAAAUUAUAUAUAAUUUUUUUUUCAUAUAUAAUUUAUUAUAUUUUUUAAUUCAUAUGAAAAAUAUAAAACAUCAUAAUUUAAGACGGAUAAUUUAAGACGGAUGUAGUAAUAAAUUAGAAAUAUAAUGUUAACAUUUUAUUUCAAUUUCUGUCAACCACACAUAUUGUUAAUAUAUAUUAUUUUGCUAAAAUUUAUAAAAUAAUAUUAUUUUUUUCUGAUUACUUUUUAGUUAUAAAAAUGAGAGAUAAGAAAUUUUGAUAUAUCUUUCUAAAAUAAUUUUAGAAUAUUUUUAUUUUAAAAAAUUGAAUAUCAUUAUAUAUUUUUAUCAUAUUGUUGUCAACAAAAAAUACUCUCAAAACUUAACUUAACACGUUACAAUAAUUUAUUUUCAAUUUUGAAAAAGAUAAAUUUCAGACUCAUUUUAAAUUAAAUAUUUUAAUGAAGCAAAUAUCUUAAAUCUUAAAGUAGUUAUUGCAAACUCUUAGUUGAUCUAAUAUAUAACUCUUUUACGAUAUCCCUAUGUUUCACUAUUAUAUUUUUCAUUAAAUAAAAUAAAAACAAACAAUACAAUUAUUGGUCUCUCACGUAUAAAAAAUAAAGAAUUUGUCCAUAAUUUUUUUAUAAUAAUGAUGGUAGGAAGUAUAAUAAAAACUAUAAAUAAGUGAAUUUUAAAUAUACUUUAAAUUUUAUUUAAAAAUUAAAAAGUAAAUACAUAUUGUUAAUAUCUUAAAAUUAAAUAUUUUAAAAAAAAGGCAUAAGUAUUAAAAAGGCAUAAGAGUCAAAAUUUAAAAAUAUAAAAAAAAAAUCAUAAGUUAUAUCUUUUUGAGAUAUUUUUCAAAUUUAAUUCUAGAUAUCACUUAAAAGUAUUUUUUCCUUUUAAAUAAAAUAAAAUAAAAUGUAUUCAAUUAUAAUUUUCAUAAGUUAGCAUAAAAUAAACUUAUUAACCAUAUUUAUUAAAAAUUCUUAAUAUAAUUUAAAUUUAAUAUAAAAAAUUAACUAACAAUCCCAUAUUGGAUGGUCUUAAUCUAAUUAUCUAUUAAUUAAAUUAAUAUUAUUUAAUUGGUCACGAAUGCACUUACUUUUUAAAAAAAAUACAUAUUCUUAAAAUGCAAGAUCCGAACAGUUUUUAAUUAGUUCUUUAUUGUUUGUGAUAGUUGGAUUUUUUUUAUGCAUAUUCAUGCUACAAAUUUGUGGAGACUCCCGUUUCAUCCUGAAUUUGUCGGCAUAAAUGGUAAAUGUAUGAACAGUAAAACUUUCUACUUUUUCAAACUUGUGUGACUCAGUAGUACUAGUAUUAUUAUGCUGAUAUAUUAUGUGGUGUGAUUUACUCCUCUAUUUAAAAUAAUUUAUUUAUUUAAAAUAAAAGAGUAUUUUAAAAUAAAUAAUUAAUUUUAAUUUUUAAUAUAUUUUUUUAAUUUUACUUUUUAAUUAAUAUUAUUUUUAUUAUUUUCAAUAUAUAAUAUGAUAUUUUAGUAAAAAUAUUAUUCUCGAUAGAGAAGUAAAAUUGGCAAGUUGUAAUCCAUAAACAAAAGCCAUAAUGGAUCAUGUGCUUGAAAGAAGGAUAGUCGCCAUAACCACCCAAUCAGAAUCCUUGUUUAGCUGUCAGAAUGAUCAACUAGAUAUCUUGACAUCAAUAACUCAUUUCUCUUUAAAUUUAGAAUUCACAUUCAAAGUUUUGAAAACAAAAUUCUUCUGCAAAAAGUUAAGGGAUCCAGCUCGGCUGCCGUCCACCUUCACCGAUCUAUACCCUUCUCUUAGAGUAAACUGCCACAUUAGUUAUGUAUGUAUGCCACACUAGUUAUGCAGUUACUAGUAUUGAAUAUUUUAUGAUGAGGUCUUUGACUCAGUCAAAUUUUACCCAUAUUAAUCCUUCAAUAUUAACAUUAAAGACUAUAUGGAUACUAUGUCAAAAAAACAUUUACCCAUGUUAAUCUUUUAAGGAAUAAUAUUGAUAAUAACUUGUUAAAUAUAAUAACUAAAUUGAUAAUAAUUUGUUAAAUAUAAUAACUAAAUUGAUUAUAAAUCAAUCCUUCUAUUUCAAAAUAAUGUUCAAAUAGAUAUUUUUUUAAAUAAUCAUUUUUAAAUAACAAAAUCGAAAAUAAUCAAUUAUUCAAAAAAAAAAACCAAAAUAACUGUGUUUUGAAGAGGAUGCGUCAGAUGAAUUGGCGCAUCCCCAAUGCAUGAAGAGGAGGCGUCAAUAGCAUUGGCGCAUGCAUUGGGCUCCUCAUGAGGAGGCGUCAAUGCUAGUGGCGCCUGCAUUGGCCCUCGUGAGGAGGCGUCAAUGCUAGUGGCGCCUAUGUGUGCUUGGUUGUGUGGGCGCCAAUUCAUCUGGCGUCUGCUUGCAUAUCAUUGUGGGCGACAAUCCCUCAGGCGCCCACGUGUUUUUUACAAUUGAUGUUUCGUCUCUAUAAAUACCACGCCUUGGAUACAAUAUUUUUCACUCAAACUCAUCUCCUAACACCAUAAUUUGUCUAGUUCAACCACCAUGAAUUUCAAUUUUUCUCUGUUUCAACAAUGACUGCAUACAUUCAGAAACGAAAUGUUGAUGUAAUAUUUUCCGUUGUUGCGGCUCCGAUACAGAUUCGACUUUGGAACACAGAUACGUUUGAAUGUCUUAAUCGGACGUUGUACAAUUGGUUAGAUGGAGAAAUUGGAGAGGGUGAACGGAUUAGAAGAAUACAAUGGCUUGUGUCCACGUUCAACCAAAACGGAGAAGUGCGCAAAUGGAUGGAUAUUAAGAAUGACCAAGACGCUCGUAGGAUGAUGCAUUACAUGUUUAAAAUUAUUUUGAUGGUUGUAAUUGCAUAGUUCUUGUAUUGUAUUUGUUAUAAUUAUUUGUGUUACUAUUUAUGUAAUGGUACUUUCGUCACAGACGUCUAAUAUGAAAUAAAUUUAGUUUCUCAUAUAUUGCAAUAGAGGUACAUGUAAAUUUAUCUGGUUGUGCUCGUUCCAACACUAGGACAGUUAUUACGAUUGUGACCUGGUUGACGGCAUGAACUACAUAGUCUAACCAUUUUGUUCACCGUAUCCAUUUCGGUUCGAAUCCGGGUGCUGUUUGGGUGACCCUUUUUCUUCCUUCGCAUAACUUCAUUGUGCCAGACGAUGUCCCCUUGAUAUUCUGGCCAAUAAUCCUUUUUUUCCAUUACGGAAAAACUAAUUUUAUAAACAUUUGAAAUGCUGGCGACUUUGUAAACUUCAGAUAGCAAGUAGGAUGGAUCCCUUCGAACCUUUGAGCAUGCCGCAAUGACAUGGGAGCAGGGGGUACGAAAGGCUUGGAACUUUCCGCAGUCGCACCAACCUCUAUCAUCAGAUAGCAAGUAGGAUGGAUCCCUUCGAACCUUUGAGCAUGCCGCAAUGACAUGGGAGCAGGGGGUACGAAAGGCUUGGAACUUUCCGCAGUCGCACCAACCUCUAUCUAGUUCGACUCUGUACUAUCCCAUCGGCAUGCCCUCAUUGUGAUCCAUGGACUCGGCAACACUAUACCAACCUUUAGUUCGGUCAAAGAUUGUAACCACGUGUGUGUUUGCUUUGGCAGCUUCAUGUCUGAUGAAUUUCAUUGAAGCAUCAUUGAACAACUGUUCAGAUUGCAACACUGAACUCCAUUUUGAGCGUCUGGUUUCAAACAACGCCCCUAGCUUGAAGCAUGUUGCCUGCACCAAAGCGGUUAUAGGUAGGUUACGGAUGCCUUUGAAGACAGAGUUCAUUGAUUCCACAAGAUUUAUUGUCAUGUGGCCCCAACGCUGACCGUUGUCGUAUGCCCUAGUCCACUUCUCCAAUGGAAUACUAUCGAUCCACCGUACCGCAUCUUCGUUUGACAACCUUAUUUCAUCGCGGUAGUGUUUGAAAGAAGGUUCUGAUAAUGCGUAACCUGCAUUGACAACCUUCUUCCGCAACAUCUUAUCUUUGAUUUCCCGCAUGAAAUUCUGAGCAAUAUGUCUAAUACAUAACACAUGCGUCGAUGGAGGAUUUUUCCAGCCGUUAUCAAUGUUAUUAUAUGCACUGGUGAUGAAGGGUGUCUGUCGGAGAUCAAAUAUAAGUUAGGCUGAGGUGCAACGUGCAAUCGAAGAUUUCUUAGGAAAAAAACUCCAUCCCUCGCAGUCUCCCCUUCAACUAGGGCAAAGGCGAUUGGAAAAAUAUUGUUGUUCUCAUCUUGUGUCACUGCCAUCAGUAACGUUCCUUUGUAUUUUCCGUACAAUCAUAUACCAUCAAUUUGUAUAAUUAGUUUACAAAAAGAAAACCCUAUGAUACAUGGUUGAUACCCUCAGAAGCGACGGUGAAAUAUUCUAUUUCCAACAGCACACGUACCAUCUGGUGUAUAGGCGGGCAAUGUUUCUGUUCUGGACUGGGCCAUGACACUAGGCACGGCACGGCCCAAUGCUCGCCAAGCCCACGUCCAAACGACCAUGUCCAAACGACCACGAGGACAAGUCAGGUGAACGACCGUCCGCCCGAUGACGUCUCUCCCCGGCCCCUUUAAAAUACGUGUCGGACAACGAGCGGGUCCUCCCCAUACGAUCUCCAUCCACUCAUCGUCAACCCACGCGCUGCGGACACCUAAGUUGUGUCGGCAGAGCCAUAACGGCAUCUCACUCACCACGUCACCCAACUCCCUAUAUUGUCUCCUUAGGGAUAGGGGCAGUUGGAACCAGGGGGCAGACCUUGGUCUAGGUCUUACGCUUCUUACGCGUCCCCUGGCAGCUCCUCCUUGGGCCUAGCUAAUCCAGCCCAUUAGGAGCCUUGGCCCAGCGCUGGGGGCUCAAUAUAAAUACCCCUUUCAUGGCAAAGGGGCAGGUAUUCUAACUCACACUCUGAUAACCUCAUUCUGUACCUUUUCUGACUUAAGCAUUGGAGCACCUUGCAGGUACACCCCCCUCUCAUUUCAUUCUCCGGCCCAUUCACCAAGCCUUGGAAGGCCCUCCUGACCAGGUAAGAUCAGUGGCGCGUCUGUGGGAAUCAGCUAUCCCCAUCUUCAUCAAACGAGGAUCAAAAGCUCAUUUAUUUCUGUCCUUCCAACAUGCCGGAGAACAACAUAGCGAUCACAGCCGUCCCUCGCAACCACAAUAUGGACGACGGCCCGCAUCCCACGAACGGACGCUCGGGACGGUCAUCCAUCCACCCCGUCUCCAGAGCCCCAAAACAACGGGGAUGCCUCUCACGCCCACAAUUUAGGGCAGAGACAUUUCAUCCCAUCCCGUUCCCGUUGAAGGAAGACGCCGUAAUGAUUGCCAUGGUGAAUGCCCUCAAUCAGGCCGGUUCUAUGCUCCACCAGCAACACGAACGAAUCAUGGCCCUCGAAGCCGAACGACAAGAGGCCCGACCCCAGCCGGUGAGAGAUGCAACAACGUUCGGAGCCAACGAAGAAGCGAGGACGUCGCUCUCCAGAACCCCACCGUCAGCAGGGCCGCGCCGUCGUGACGGUGGUCGAGCGGGAACAUCACCAAGGCGCGGACGCAGCCCCGACAACAACGAACUGUCUCCCUUAAGGAGCGACGAGGAAGAUUUGCAUUGCCCCCUGUCUCGGGCAAUAAUGGAAGCCCCGCUCCCCAACAGGCAUGGAGAAACCACCAAAUCUAGCUGUGUACGACGGGACUACAGAUCCCGACGAUCACGUCGACAACGUCAACGCGAUGCUCGACUACCGCAAUGAUAUAACCGGCACCUCAAAUGCCGACUGUUCUCAACGACCCUCAGGAAAGGCCAUGGCUUGGUACAAAGCUUGGCCCCUGAGUCAUUACGUCAUGGAGAGUCAUGAGGUCCAUGUUCACCAGGCACUUACAGCUUCCCGUCGUCACCCCAAGACUGAGGCGACCUUGAAGCCAUAGUGCAGAAGAAGAAUGAAACACUGCGCUCAUACAUCGAGCGAUUCAACCAGGAAGCUGUCGAGGUAGAUACCACCGAGCACAUGAAGAAGUAUCUCCUCGAGAGAGGUCUCUUGCCGCGGCAGUGAACUUAGCAGAGCCGUAGGGAUCGAGCCUCCCGCACCUUAAACGAGCUCCUGCAUAAAGCCCAGGCCUACAUCAGAUACGAGGAAAGCAAGUGGCACACAAUGCCGCAGCGGACGUAACGCUGGGAGACCGAGCACUCGAAACGCGAGGACACGAGCAUUUCCGUCGCAACGGAGACAAACGAAGAGAAGAAAGACCUCGCGAGCUCCGGGAAGGAAGAGGCCCCGCGGGCAGAUAUAGCGAGUACACCUACUGACAGCUCCUCGAGAGCGUACCUCGCAGAAUGUAUCAACUCUGAAUUUAAGCAGGGCAGGUCAGGUUCCCAAAACCGUCUGCACCAAAGCCCCACACCGACAAAUCAAAGUACUGCCGGUUCCACAGAAGUCACGGCACGUGACCGAAGACUGCGUCCACCUGAAGGAUGCGAUAGAAAUUUUAAUCCAAGAGGGGCACCUGAAGCAGUAUACGAGGAAGAACGAAGCUCCCAGACACGGCGAGCCAGAGAAGAAGAGACCCCGGGAAGACACGCCCCCUGACAACUCUCCCUAUCAAGUGGCCCUCUGCGUGUCACGACCGGAAGAUUUCUUCCUCCCCGAACCAUUGCCCGAGGCAAGAUCACUGCACUCAGCCCCUGGGAAAACUUCCCUUCCACACUGGUGAUAUCAGGAGAGGAACUAACGGGGAAUCCGCGGCCCUCUCCGUCAAACGUAAGUUCGACGAACUCCUACUGACUGCCCCCGAGCAGAAAGCGACAUUGACAAAUACCGGGGAAAAUCCAACCCAAUAUCCUUCUUCCUGGAGAACUCCCGGGCGGAUCCCCGAACUCGGGCAUCCCACUAUUGAUAAGGGCAAAGAUGGCCCAAUUCGACGUACGACGCAUCCUGGUCGACCAAGGCAGCUCAGUGGAUAUCAUGUACGUCCACCUCUUCAAGACUCUGAAGCUAGACAAGACCAACCUAGCCCCCUACGUCGGAUCAGAUCUCCAAGGAUUCAACGGAGCGACAACCAGACCGUGGGAUAUGUUGAGCUCCUCGUCCACCUUCGAGCGAGGAACGGCCAGGAAGUCAAAAUCCAAUUCCUGGUCGUAGACUGUCCGUCUCUCUACAAUUGCAUCUUUGGACCGCCCGACACUGGCCGAACUCACCGCGGUCCCAUCCACCGUCCACCUAAAGAUGAAAUACUACACCAAAUUGGACUGUGGUCACCAUCAUGGUGACAUCGAAGCAGCCCGGCGAUGCUACGACGCCCGCAGUAAAAGGACAGGCCGUAGUCAGCACGAAGAGCAACUGCAACAACAAAAAACUCAGGACCGGGGAUCCUGCCCGAGGAAUCAACGCCAUCGACCUCGACUGUCGCAUCGGGCUGGACGAGACCGAAGAGGGGAGUUCCCCAAGGACGCUCUCUCGGACCACCCGGUCCGACCAAUCCCGCGACGGAGAGUUCGAACUCAUUCCUCUGGGGACGAUCCCGGAAAGGACGGUGAAGAUAGGUAAAGGACUACCCGAGGAAACAAGAGAAGAGCUAGUAGCAUGCCUCAAAGAGAACUCGGACCUCUUCGCGUUUGGAAUGCCGCAGAAAUGCCCGGGCUGGACCCCGAGAUCGCGUGUCAUAAGCUAGCUUUAGACCGGGCAGCCAAGCCCAUAGCACAGCGUAGACGCAAGCAAUCGCCCGAAAAGGCAGAAGCUGCCGAGCGAGCUGUAAAAGACCUCUUAGAGGCAAAUUUUAUUUCUGAAGCCCAGUAACACAACCUGGCUCUCUAAUGUAGUCCUCGUUAAGAAAAAUAAUGGAAAAUGGCGCAUGUGUGUUGAUUAUACUGAUCUUAAUAGGGCUUGCCCGAAAGAUGCUUUCCCCCUCCCUAAUAUAGACAUGCUCGUUGACAACUCUGCAGGUUUUAAACUCUUGUCCUUCAUGGACGCAUAUAGUGGAUACAACCAGAUCCCUAUGUCGCCCACAGACAAGAAACACACAGCGUUCAUGACCCCAACGGGCAAUUACUAUUACAACGUGAUGCCGUUCGGGCUCAAGAACGCUGGCGCUACAUACCAACGCAUGAUGAACAAAGUCUUCAAGGACGAAAUAGGGGACAUGCUCGAAGUAUACAUGGACGACAUGAUCGUCAAAUCACACGAGGAGACAACGGGACACAAUUCACGGACGGAGGAUUCCAGGACUUCAUCGCCAGCCUGGGCACCACACAGCAUUUCACGUCUGUCGAGCAUCCGCAGACGAACGGGCAAGCAGAGGCGGCCAAUAGGGUAAUCUUACGUGGCCUCAAACGCAGACUCGGUGAGGCAAAGAGGGCAUGGGUCGAGGAGCUACAUAGCGUGCUAUGGGCCUACGCGCACGACACACAUUCUACCACCGGGGAACCCCGUUCCGACUAACUUACGGCACCGAGGCAGUCAUCCCGGGUGAGAUACGGGCCGCCAACGAGGAGGACGGAGGAGCCCCUAGACGAGGAAAUGAACGAUGAAACCCUUAGAGCCGAGCUCGACCUAGUCGAGGAGAUACGUUCCGAAGCAGCUUCUCAGGGAAACAACCCUCAAACAAAAAAUAGCACUACGCCAUGACGCGAAAGUCAUAAAAGAGAGUUCCAGGUCGGCACCCUGGUCCUCAGAAGAAACCAGAAAAACCGAGAGAGGGCAAACUGGCGGCCAACUGGGAAGGCCCUUACCGCGUCCGCGACAAAACGAGCAACGGGGCCUAUUACCUAGAAAACCUACAAGGAGAACAACUCGCUCGACCAUGGAACGCAGAAAAACUUAGACAAUAUUACAGCUAAAUACACCACGGGGAGACGUGGCAGGUACGACCACGCUCUUCGUCCCCAAAACCCCAGGGAGGACCACGAGACCCGGGAACGAUCCGGGGUCACAUAACAACACAACCUCCCCGACGGUUGGGAUCUUGACCAAGACUCACGUCGAAGUACCAUGACUGGCAGGGCACCCAGCUCGCGAUGGAGGGCCCAAGCCUCGGGACCAGGGUUCGAACAACGGACCCGGGCCUCGAUACCCACGGGCACAAAGCCCGACACUUCGUCGGUUCCCUAAACCGAGGAGAUUAACAAAGUCGAGCAGAGUACGAACUCAUACAAACAAGUAUCAAACACAAACGAGCACAAUGAAUGAUAACGUAAAUAUUCAUACAUUAAAAACGAUAAGAGCGGCCGAAGCCAAGUACGCCGAAGGCCAUAUUACAACGCCCGAAGGCCAAAUACAUAAGGCACGCAGGCCAUGAUAACUAAAAUCAAAGAAACACAAAAUAAACUAAGACUCCGCUCGGAGCACCUCUUCAUCCUCUUCUUCUUCUUCUCCCCCCAGCUCCUCCUCCGCUUCAAACGGGCAGAUAAUCUCACCAUCCCGGACGCAGCAGUUAUAGCCGACCCUACUGUCACCAACUCAGGGUUCAGAAGCCCGAGCUGCUCGACAGCAUUGUCGAAACCCUCUUUGAAGCAGGCCACGAGAUCUUGGUUGAGAGUCCGAAUAUGCCCUAGCAGCUCACCGCGCGAACCAAGGGCGCGUUCCUCCUCGGUCUCAUCUGCCAGAGGACGGACCUUUCCCUCGAGAGACUCAACCUGAGCCCGUAGGCCAGCGUUGUCCUCGGUCAGCUUCUGAUGGUCGACCACCUGCUCUUCCAAGCUCGCCUUAGCAGCCUUCAACUGGUCCUCUCCUUUUCCACCUCCUCCAGCUUCUGGCUCAGCCCUUCCUGCAGCUGAUGCUCUUCUUUGUAGUCCGACAGAUCUUUAGAUAGUCUUUCCUUCUCCGUCCGAACCUGCAAAAGGGCAUCCUCCAGCGAGGCGGUGGAGACCGAAGUGUCGGUCAAAACCAUGGCCGUCUCCAUCACCCGGAUGACAGCAAGCAAUAUCCUGGCCAGAUCUUUCUCCGGGCAGCAACAUCCUGGUCCAGAAUAGCCUUGGCCUCAGGCGCAGGCACAGCAAUCGACUCCUCGGCCUUGAAGAACGACCGUUCCACAUAGCAGGAGGUAGAAGAUAGCUGCCCGGUCCAUUCGAACUUCCUGGAGACGACCUGGUAAGGGCCCCAGCCGGACGCUUCCGUUAUGGAGGGGAGAAGCCGCUGGCGACGGACUGCUAUCAGGAAUGUUGAUCGGGUUAGAUCGAGGAGGAGAGGAAGGAAUCACGCUCGCCGCCUGCGAGGACUAGCCCCGGCAUCGCCAGCAGUCUCCAAGGGACGGGCCACAGUUUUCUUCUUCUUCUUGGCACCCGUCAGGAGCGCCGACCUGAUUCGCUAGCUUCAGCAACCCGAUCACGAGCAUUCGGCAUGGCACCUGCAAAUAAAUUACACACCAACAUUAGCGAGCGAAGUCAUAAACAGAAAUAAAAAGCUAAACAAAGUCUGCCUACUCAAUAACGCCAGAGCUUCCUCCUCGGUAUCACACUCGAGCAGAGCCUUCGUAUUGAUAUAACGCGCCUCGGUGAUUAGUUCCCCGGCCUCAUCCAGGUAGGGCCGCCCUGUCGAUUCGCCCAGAACCCCAAGCUGAAGCUGCUGCACGUAAUCGACCAGCUUCUUGUACGCGAGCCUAUCCUCCUCGCCGAGCAUCGCAUACUUGACUCGGUAAUGCGCCGUGGAGAGAUCGAAAUGAUCACGCUGCCACCUCAGCGGUAUCUUCGACAUCAGCGUCUCCUCCCCAUUGGGUUUCCGCUGAUAGUAGUAUAGAGAGUGAAGGGCAGCCCGGGUAAUCGGCAUCACCACGUACCACCGGUUUUUGAAAUGGCGAACAGAAUCCUCGUACGUCUUGAACAGACGCACGGGCUGCUUGAAAGAAACCCAACUGUGGCGACCACGGGAACCGGACCUCUGGAGAUGGAAAACGUGGAAGAAGAGAGCCCGGGUGCAACCAAUGCCGAGGAACUGGCCAAACUAACUCGAAUGCCCGCAUAAAUGCGAGAGCAUUAGGAUGUAGUUGGGACGGCGCCAGCCGGAGCCACUUGAAGACCGACAUCUGGAAGGAGUUGAAGGGCAGUCUAAUCCCCGCCUCACGGAAAGCAAAUUCAUACAUGGUGAACUGCUUCCCCGGGAAAUGAUGGCAAAUGCGGUCUUCUUCCUUGGGGGCGCAGCAAUACCAGUUUGGUGGAUCCUCCCGGCUUAUGGUCUCGACCAUAGCGUAAGCAAUGAUGGCCUCGUCACAGAAGUCUGAUUCCUCCUCCAAGGGCUCGUCCGCAACCCAUGAGAAGUCGACCUGCCGGAAGAGGAGGCGUGUUCGGUACCAUCUCGGACACUCCCAUCCCCGACAGGGAGACGAGCGAUUGUCGCGUCUUCGGUGGAGAACCCAGAAUCUUCCCUCCUCGGUCGUAAGCGCCCGUAGCACCUGAAACGCAGACAGAAAGAGUGAAUUCGACGUCAUAUCAAAUCCACCCUUCCACCGCAGGUCAAGUGAAAGGGCGUAGCGGCGACGGACACUAACCGUGCUCAACUCGGUGACGCGCGCAUUCUAUGGAGACCGGGCAUAAACUUCAUACAGCCUAUGCAAGUAUUGCCCGGCAUAUGAAAUUUAUGCCGCGAUACAGCAUGAUCCCAACCCUAUUUUCUACCAUCUAAUAUACACCUACAGUCCACUACACUAUUCCUAAGUUAAACCUAACCACAUUUCUACAAAAAUAGCAUGCGUUUGACAGAAAACAACAAGGAAAAACAGUGGAUCACAGUGGAAAAUCAUACUGACAUAGUUAAGUUGAAAGGGGUACGGUGGUGCCCGAGCAGAAGAGCGGUGGUUCAGAUAGGAGGACGGGCGGAGACGGCGGUCCAGACGGUAGAGCGAGCAAACGAGGGAGAAUGUGGAGAACUCCGGUGAACGUGUGAGCGAAAAAAGUGAAAUGAAGUUACUCAACCCCUGUUUUAUAGGGCUUGGCACGUGGACCAACACGCUAGGUCAUCAUUGCCUAGCCUGCCUACGCCGUCUUUGCACACGAAACGAAGCGACCCCACUAAUUCUGAGACACGUCUAUCAAAGAUAAGAAACUGAAACGACCCGAGCACCUAUCCGUCUCCUCGACUCACCAAGACCCACCUCCCCGCGUCAUACCCACGUUUACCACAAGGAAGGUGCAGACCAACCGAUCACUCCAUCCCCGACAUUCCCGGAGAAAGGGUCGGUCAUGAACAGGUGCUGUUACGACCUCACCUGUCUAACGAUCAAGCUUCCCCAUCGUCUCGGGGAACCCUUAGUUGAAACAUAAGUCAUCUCUCUGGCUCAGAGACUCGACUUGGGGGCUCCUGUUCUGGACUGGGCCAUGACACUAGGCACGCACGGCCCAAUGCUCGCCAAGCCCACGUCCAAACGACCAUGUCCAAACGACCACGAGACAAGUCAGGUGAACGACCGUCCGCCGAAGCACGUCUCCCCGGCCCCUUAAAUACGUGUCGGACAACGAGCGGUCCUCCCCAUACGAUCUCCAUCCACUCAUCGUCAACCCACGCCGCGGACACCUAAGUUGUGUCGGGCAGAGCCAUAACGGCAUCUCCACCCCACGUCACCCACUCCCUUAUAUUGUCUCCUUAGGGAUAGGGGCAGUUGGACCAGGGGGCAGACCUUGGUCUAGGUCUUAACGCUUCUUACGCGUCCCCUGGCAGCUCCUCCUUGGGCCUAGCUAAUCCAGCCCAUUAGGAGCCUUGCCCAGCGCUGGGGGCUCAAUAUAAAUACCCCUUUCAUGGCAAAGGGGCAGGUAUUCUAACUCACACUCUGAUAACCUCAUUCUGUACCUUUUCUGACUUAAGCAUUGGAGCACCUUGCAGGUACACACCCCCUCUCAUUUCAUUCUCCGGCCCAUUCACCAAGACCUUGGAAGGCCCUCCUGACCAGGUAAGAGAUCAGUUUCCAUCUUGACAAUUGUCCCGGGAGCAUAUUGUUUUAGAGCCAACAGGUACUUCGGAAGUUGUUUGUAAGACUCCUCCCAAUUGUCAAACACUUUUCAACAGUUUUUGUCCUAGCUCUCCAUGCCUUCCUAUAUGAUGGAGUGUACUCGUACUCUACCCAAAUAUGCAAGAUUAUGUACUCACCUUUAACGACGAUUAUCGCCAAUGACAGACAAUAUUUCAUCGCAUAUUAGUUGAGAGCUUAAUUUACGAUGAUCCUGCAUUGGGUUUGUCAGCAUGCAUGUGUGAUCUGGACCCAUUGAUCCAAUCUCCCAAGACUCGUUCCUCUUCCGGUACGAAGCUGAAAACCUAAAAAGGCAGUGCUCAUUCGGACAAUAAACUUUAUACCUCGAUGCGUCAGUUCUGUCAACUCUAAAAUCAGCUGAUAGUUGCAUGUGGAAUUUCUUAAUGGCUUUUACACAUUCCUCUUUUGUACGAAAUGUGUCUCCUUGUUUCAAAGAUCAGUGUAUCUGCACGUAAGGAUUGUACCAUACAUCUGUUGAAGGUUUAUCUGAACCCAAAUUCAACCUUGUCAUGUGUUGGGGUGGGCAGUAUACAUGACUUGCUAGUAUUGACUCCUCUUCCUCUUCAGCGUUCACCAUCAAAUCAACCAUGAUCUCAGCUUCUUCUUCUUCGUCAUCUGGAACAUUCACCUCAUCUUGUUCGUCAUCAGUCUCACAAAACACUUGUGACUGAUCAAUAAACUGAGACAUCUGUUCUUGAUGUGGUAAUAUAUAAAACUCUAUAUCGUUAUAACCGGAUUGUUCGUGACUUACAAACAUAUGUUGAACAUCGUCAUCAUCUCGAAUCUUCUUUUGAUAAAAUUUUACCUGGUUUUCUGCAAACCAAACCGGAUUUUUAUAGAUGAUUUGGCCCACAUUACUGCAUUGCAAUUUCUUUACUAUACUUUGUUUCAGAUGUGAAAAAUUUGAUCGUCGAUUUAUUGUAAACCGAGUUACCUCUAUGUUUCGAAAACAAAAACCGAACAACUGAUGAUCAAAUAUUUCACCUUCGACAUGGGCAUUAAUCAUGUAAUGUUGUGUGGAAGAAAUUUUGUUCAAAUAUUAAAUAUGUAAAUAGCUUUACUGGAAUUGAAUGCAUUGGUAAGUUGUUCAUCUGCACAGCAUAAAUAGCGUUGCAUUGAUAACUUGAUCGUUGCAUUGAUAAUGUGGUCAUUGUCUGUACAGACUUGACCAUGUAUGCAGUAAAAAGAAUCUAACAUGCAGUGAAAAGAGUGACAAAAACACACAUGCGCCAGGGAAUCAAGGAAUCUCUGAACCCUGGGCCCUAAUAUUCCCAACAAGCGCCCAUUCCCUAGGCGCCAUAAAGUAACUUGGGCGCCAAGAGGAAAGGCGCCCUUUCACAAAAUUUGUACCUAGGCGCCACUAGGAAGGGCGCCCCUUCUCAUUGCCCUACACUAAGGCGCCAAGAGGAAUGUCGCCUCUUCCUUGCAUGUGAAGAAUCACAUGCAGGCGCCAAGAGGAAGGGCGCCUCUUCCCUUUGCAUUUGGAUUCUUCACAUGCGCCUAGAAGAAAGAUUCUUCACAUGCUUUCUGAAUUUUGUCAUUCCCUUGUCUUCUCUUGCUAUUGCAUGCAAUCAAUCCCAUUCUUCUUAGGUUGAAAACCUACUCACUCAUUCAUCUAUAAAUAGCCUCUCAUAUCAAUAAUAUCAAAUCAUCUUCAUCAAUACUCAAUUAUAUUCUUCUUUGUCACACUAAUCCUCUACCGCACUCAAGCUUUGCAAAAUCAAAUCAUGUCUUUGUUGACUAUGGGUGAUGAACACAGAGGCACACUCGAGAAUAUCUCGGCAUUUGUAUGUUAUCUCUCUCUUUUUACUUUUUCUGUUUUUAGUCUUAUACCUUUGUUAUCUAUGUUUUUCUUACUUCUUAUAGAGUUGUGUUUGUUGAUUAAUAUCUCUCUCUUUUUACUUUUUCUGUUUUUAGUCUUAUACCUUUGUUAUCUAUGUUUUUCUUACUUCUUAUAGAGUUGUGUUUGUUGAUUAUGUAUUUCUUCUUCUUAUUGUAUUUUCUUACUUUUUUGUUAUUAGGAUCCGAAGCGGUUUAGAUGUCGUGUACAUGAAUAUGUACCCCACGAUCCUUUAAUAGAACCAUAUAUUAGAGGAUGUGGAUUUGGAAAUCUACUUAACAUUGUUUCGUACUCGGUGGACUACAAGUUCAUUUUGGCUUUGUUGGAGAGGUGGAGACCCGAGACCCACACAUUUCACCUUUCGAUUGGUGAGUGUAUCGUCACACUUGAGGACGUGUACGUGUUGUUGGGUCUCCGUAUAGAUGGAAAGGCGGUGAAUGGUAGAGUUAACCAAGACAACAAUAUCUGCAAUGAAUUAUUGGGUGCCCCUUUGUUAGACGACGAAACUGAGGGAGACACAUCAGGUCAAGCAAGGGGGCAAGGUAUAAAUUUAAAAUACCUUAAACAAUAUUAUGCCAGUAUAGUAUUGUCGAAGAUUCAAUCGAGUAUGAGAAAAUAAUAAAAGCUCAGUGUUAUAUUAUGAUUUUAUUUGGUAAUUUUUUGUUUCCAAAAAGUACAAGUAAUUCUGUAAAUAUAAUGUGUUUACCUUUAUUACGCAACAUUAAUAAGGUAAACACUUAUAGUUGUGGUUCAGUUGUGUUGACCCAUUUAUAUAGUGCAAUGUGUAAAACUGUAAAAAAGAAUACCUGUACUUUUUUUUCAUGUGUGUAUUUGCUUCAAGCUUGGGGUUAGUCAAGAAUGUCGUCGCUCGCCCCGAUAAAUGAGCGUCCAUUCGUGUUCCCGUUUGCAACCAAGUAAGUCUAACACUUUACCAUUUACCAUUUAGUUAAUUAUAUUUUAUAUUAUAAUUAACAGUAAAUAAUAUUUUUCACUUCUUUUUUAUCUUAGGUCGUUAGUAAUGGGAAUGAACUACAACAGGUGUCUGAAACACACUAUUGUAGUCUAUCGCAAUCUAUUGGACCACAUUGGACAUGACGAUGUAAUAAUCCUACCCAACUAUAUUUUAAUUUAAAAAUACUUCUCAAAUUAUUUUUCAUCUAAUCGUUUCGUAUUGUUUUACAGUUUGUCUGGAGGCCAUAUCUGGGUCUGGAUCAUGAUGUGAACCAUGACGAUGUUGUAGUUUGGACAGCGAAGACACCGAUUAUCCGAUUCACUACGGUGGAAAUGCACCAGAGUGAUCGGGUCAAACUGUAGUUCGGAAUGCUACAACAGAUUCCAGAAUCUCCUACGUGUUUGGGAAAUUGGCAUCAAAAAAGGGUUGAUGCAUAAGGGAUUAUUCUGACUUAGAGACUUUGCAAAAGAGAUGCGUCGUCAAUGGAGGAAUCGACGACAACACAUCUUAAACGAACCAGCCAUUCAUGGUGCAAGACCGACUCAACAAUAUAUGGCAUGGUUUAGGUCGGUAACAACUCAACAAUUUGUAUCUGAGCCACGGUAUUUGAUGGAUCCACGCCAACUUGCUUCGUCAUCGUACGCCCUACAACAAUUCACCACCCAACACCAAUGUGAACCCACCCAAACCCAACAACCAACCACAUACACACAACAACCAAACACCCAACAUCGCAAUUCGUUCAUGCCAACCACCCAACAACCAACCAUCCAACGUCGCAAUCCAUUCAUACCACCCCCCAAACACAAAACCAAGAAUCAAACCCCGCAACCACAACCGUCUAUAGCCCAGAUGAUUCAUAUGGGUCACUUCAUCGUAGCCCCCCACCAAUGACCAUCCAAAUAUCCCAUCAACAUAACACCCAACCAUUGUUUAACUAUAGUACGCCCCAGGAAUCAUUGCUUCGUUUCCAAAAUGACUCAAUUGCCCAAUUUUGGCAACUAUGUCGUCCCCAAUUCACUCAACCCCAACGACCUAACUACGAUGACAUGGGCACCGAACUCCAUUACGGAAGCGUCGUUGGCCAGAGUCCCUCCGGAUAUUGGGAGCAAAUGAUGACACAUCUGUCAAAUACCGCUGGAACUUCCGUCGGACCUUCCAACCAUCCAUCGCUCGAUCAGGUCAGCACACAAAGACCCCAAACACCUCAAGAAAAUUGUGGGAGACCUCGGAGACAAACUAACGCACCGGGAUGUGGAACAGGGGGACGUUAUAAUCGGGUCGGUCAUUAGUUUAUUGUCAGUCCAAUGUAACCAAUUAUUAUAUCAUCAAUGAAUUUAUUUUUUUCAUUACUAUUUCUUAUUUAUUAAAUAAUGAAAAUUAAUAAUUAAUAAUUAAAAAAAUUAAAAAAACUAAAAAAUUUAAAAAAUUUAAAAAAAGUUACAGGGGUGUAUGCGCAAGAUGAAUUGGCGCAUACACCAACCAAAUACACAUAGGCGCCACUAGCAUUGGCGCCUCCUCAUGAGGGUCAAUGCAUGCGGCACUAGCAUUGGCGCCUCCUCAUGAGGAGCCCAAUGCAUGCGUCAAUGCUAUUGACGCUUCCUCUUCCUGCAUUGGGGGUGCGCCAAUUCAUCUGGCGCAUCCUCUACAAAACCUGGUUUUUUUUUUAAUAAUUGAUUAUUUUUGAAAAUUUUUUUUAAAAAUUGAUUAUUUUAAAAAAAAUCUUCAAAAUAACCGUCAUUUAGAAAUAAUUAUUAUUUUAUUUUUUAAUAUAAAAAUAAUUAUUAUUUUUUAAUUAUACCAUUUAAUUAUUACUUUACACACUACUUCUAACACAUUAAUAAAGAUAAUAUCUUAUUAUAAUAUAAUGACAAAAUUAUUCUAAAAAAAAAUUAAAUUACUUUUGUGUAAUAGAUCGAUCGUUUAAUUUAUAUCUUUUAAUUUGGUCCUUUAAAUUAUCAAAUGUAUAUAAUGUUAUUCUUUAAAGGAUAAUUUAGAAAUAACCCUAAACAACUAAAUUAUUACCAACAAAAAGACUUAAAUAACCAAUCUAUUAAAAAAACAACUUAAAAAUUCUCUAUUAUAAUUUUGCCUAAUAUUAUUGUAUUCUUCAAUUUGUAUAAAAACCUUAUUAUUUUGAAAUAUAAGUAAUAAUAAGUGGUUACAUUAUUUUAAUAGAAUAGGAAACCUUUAUAAAACAUUCAUCAAAUUAUCAACCAAUUUUAGUGUGUUAAGUAGGCACAAUGUUGGAUGAUUUUAAACCAAAUAUUACUCGUUAAAAUAAAAUUUAUUUUAAAAUAAUUCUCAUUUUUACCUUGCAAUAUAAAAAUAAUUGUUAAAUUUUAAAUUGUAUUUUUUAAUUAUUAAUCUGUAUAUUACUUUCAAAACAUAAUAAUUCUCAUUUUCACCUUUCAAUAUAAAAAUAAUUGUUAUUUUUUUAAUUGUAUCUUUUAAUUAGAUUAUAUUUCUUAAUUUGUGUAAAAUUUAUUUAAUAGUUAGAGCGUGUUAUAUCGACACACAGUACUAACUUGUUAGUUUAUCCGACUUACCUCCAAACUGUUGCAACCACUCAUUCCAAAAGUCCUCCAACCUGUUGAACCAUCCCAACUCAUUUUAUAGGCGGGAGUGCCUUCAGACUAUUUUGACAAUUAUCUAUUUUCACUAAUAAGGUGGUUUACAAAAAAAAGGGUUGCAUCAAAUUUGAUUAGAGUGUGACUCUUCUCUAGUUGUCAACUUCCUGAUAUUGUUGUUGCUUUGCAGAUUUUAGAGAAUGAUGGAACAAAAGGCUUCUUCUUCCUCUUUUCAAGGUCCACCACAACAUUGGUUUUCCUAUAUGCCUUCUAGUAGUGGACAACUCAUCAGAACUUUUGUCAUUCUAUACAUUAAAAGAAAGUGGUUUCAUUGCCCACAGAAUUGAAAUCAACUUUUCUGUUAACAACUAAUCAUAGGUUUCUGGUUUUACUUAACCAAUUCUAUUUUCGGAAAGCAAUUUUAACUAUUAAAGGUGGAGAUUAAAUAGCUCUAUUUUUUUCACUAGAAUACAACAUAAAAUUUGGUUCUGAACACUGUAUUCACUCAAUAAAUACUGACUCGGUCGGUAUAAAUUACCAAUACAAACUACGACUCAAUAAAAAAUAGGACUCAAUUCCGCUUCAAAGAAAAACCCCUUCGCCCAUUGCCACACAACACAGGUCCUUGCUACUGCAACAUAAUUUCUCCCCAGCAAAAUAUAUUUCCUGCACAAGAUACAAUGCUCAUAUUAUGCUGCUAACUGAACCCACCACCCCCCUCCUUAUUCGGACAUGGCAGUUAAGACUGACCCACCCCAGCACUUCAUUACAGACACUAGACCCGACUGACACCAGACACCAUGAAGUACAUGGACCGACCCCACCCCACCCCACCCCCACCCAGACUCAACCCCCAACAGUCACCCUAGAUCAACCCUGCUCCUCCAACCAAGUUACCACCCCCACCCAGACUCAACCCCCAACAGUCACCCUAGAUCAACCCUGCUCCUCCAACCAAGUUCCUACAAUUAGAGAAAGCAAUUGGUUUAGAGAACACAAUAAUUGGAUGUAAACCACGAUUGUAACCCCCAGAGGGAAAAAAGAUAACUGAGACAUAUACACACUCAAUAGAAGUCUUCAACUGAAGUUGAAUCCACCAGAUGGGACCGGAAGGUCAUUGGCUCCAAAAUUAAAACCAGAUUGAGAACCAUCGCCUGGAGGUAGUGUCUCAUCUUCAUCUUCCAACCAAUAUGUCUCGAGAAUUUUAACAGCUUUCUCAUAAAUUUCAUUGUUGUCAUGACUCUGCAAAUUUUCAAUCUUUUCCAAUCCCUCGGCAUCGUCAAUAGCUUGAGCAUACGCAUUGACAUCUCCCGUGUUACCAAAGCUUUUCUCUGCUUCUCCAACCUUCAGAAUAUUUUCAAGACCUUCUAGACAGACAGUAACAAUUCUUGGAUCAGGGCAAACAAGCAAAUCACACAGAGGCUUAAUGCAACCCUGGCUCACCAAGUACCUUGUAACAACAACAUUUGGUAAGUUAAUACAUAAACUCCCAUGUUGUCAACAUGAAACAGAGCCAGAAAAUAACAAUAAAAAAACCGCUUCACAUACUUGAUUUGGUCAUGUGUACCGCCAGAUGUACCAUUAGAGAGUGCCCAUGCAGCUUCUUUUUUAAUGUCAAACUCAGCAUUUUGAAGAAGAUUAACUAAGGGAGCAAUCAGACCAGCUUCAAUAACAGCCUACAUUAUACACAAUAAAAGGUGGCGUUCAGAGCAUUUUUUCAGUAAACAAGCAAACUAAAAAUCACAUGCAAACAAAAGACUAGACCUGAAACAGAAAACAUAACAAUAAUGCCAUCCUUCAAACGAACACACCACAUUCCCUUCAGUGAUGUACUUACAGUCAAAUAACAAUCCAUGCUAUCCAAAUAUUACCCUAAUUGGUGUAACAUGACUACAUGAGAACUAAAUCUAUCUACAAGACUACAAUGAUUAUUAUUGCAUCACAUCUCUAUGUUAAACAGGAUGUAGCUCCCAAUAUUGCAGAAACAAAGUAACAGUAGUGUAUAUUUAGAUGACACGAAACUGGGAACACUAUCAGUUUAUACUUUAAAAUGAGCACCAAGAAAUUCAAUUUAAAUGCGUACCCAAAAAUCAAACUUGAAGAAAAGCAUAAAAAAUUUAAAAAUCUAACACCAUACUUUAUAAAACAUAAUAUUCAACAUUAAAUGCAUAUAAAGAAAGGGGAUUCACUAGUUUACCUGUAUCUGCUCUUUGUUUCCGGCUGUGAUGUUUGAUAUAGUCCAGCAAGCUUCUUUCUUGAUACUUUUCUUAUGAUUAUGGGUCAACAGGCUCAAAAGGCAUGGGAGUGCACCAUGAUUGAUAAUAGCCUGACAGAGUCACACCAAAAUCAGGCAAGUCUCACAGGUGAUGUGUGACAAAACACCAGUGGCGCCGAGAAGAGACUAUGUUCACGGUAAUAAAUAGUAGUGAAUCAACAGCAAUGACUAUGAAAGUGUAACUUUCGCUCUUCCCAGACCAAAAUUCCUCCACCAGUAUAACUUUUCGUUCUUCCCAGACCAAAAUUCCCCCACCACCUCAAAACAAAAUUAUUCCUAGACUAAUAUUUCUAAAUACGUCAAUGAAACUUCAACAACCACAUACUAUUGUAGCAUUUUGGUAUUCUCUAUUAAUCAAAUUAGAAUUACAAAAUUUACCUACCAAUAAUUUCAGGUUUUGAUGUGUUUCCAAAAUUUGUAACACAGCACUUAUUUGAUACUUCACUCAAUAAAAGCUAAAUUUAUUAGAAAUAAUUAGGUAGCAACUAAUUAUUGCAACAACUCAUAAGCCAUUCUAAUUUGACAUUACCUGAGUCUGCAUAUCAUCUCCAGUUACAAUAUUUCCCACCGUGCGAAGUGCGGGAAUCAGCACUGAAGGAGAUGGGUGCCUACAAAACACAGAUUUAGAGACAAGACAGCCAAAAAUUGAAUCAGGAUAUUUGUUGACCAUGAAUAGAUGGGAAUAGGCACUCACAGAAGGAGCUGCACAAGUCUGCCACAUACACCUGCCUCAAUCACAGCUUGAAUUUUGUCAUUUGUCCCAUCAGAGAGAUAUGAGAGAGCCCAGCAUGCAUCUGUCAAGACUUCUUCAUCAUUGGAAAAAACCAAACGCUCAAGAGCAGGGAGCGCCGGCCUUACCUGUCCAUCCAAAUUCCAAUAUUAAUACACAGAAAAAGUCCUCUGCAAGAUAAGCUUGAAUUAACAAAAAUUACCUGCUCAAAUGGAGGCUGUGGCUUGCCCCGACAAAAGUUUGACAGGGUCCAUGUGGCAUUUCUCAGCAUAGAAAGCUUUGCUUGUUCAUUCAACUGGGAUAACAGCGGGAUCAGGGCACCAUUGCUUAGAACAAGAUCACGGCACCUAGGGGAGUCACCAGCAACGUUUCCCAAUGCCCACACAGCCUACAAUUUAAGAGUUUUGGUUUUAACCAUAGUUUAGCAAAAAAAUCAUAUCAAGUAUGAUGCCUGAUCUAGUGCUAUCACAAUUCAGUAUGAACAUACCUGCUCCCGAACAUCAUCACUAGGUGAACUAAGUAGCUUGACAAAUAUUGGCACUGCCCCGUGAUCAAUUACUACCUUAGUGUUCUCAGAAGUUCCAGAUGCUAUGUUUGUGAGUGCCCAAGCAGCCUCAAACUAAACAAACGUAUCAUAACAAUAAAUUUCAACAAUAAAACACUGCACCACAUUACCUGAAAUUCCAGAAUGAAAAAAAAACAAAAAAAAAACGAAGUUUCAAACCUGAAGUUGAGGAAAAUCCUCCCUCACUAGAAACUCAACAAAACGAGGAACAACGCCAGAUUGAAUUACUUCUUCGAUUGGAGGGCUACGUUCUACAGAACAAAAAAAGAUUUUUAACACUAAGAAUCACAAACAUAUGCAUUAAAAACAUCAAAAGUGAAUAAAAAAUUACCAAUUGAAAGCAAUUUCCGAAAUUGAGUAGUUGCUUCGAGUUGUUGGCUAUUAUCAUCCGAUAAAACCCCAGCAAUCAUUGCAGGAAGACUCUCUAACUGCAACAAAUAAACAUAAAUAACUGUCAAAAUCCGUUUUCAUAACUAACUACCACUGAACCGAACAUCACAAACCCCAAUUAAAUCUAAACUGAGAACCCUAUUGGGGAUCGGAUCAUGACCGAAUCAAACAUCAGAAUCUUAAAUCUUAAAUCUUAAAUCCACAUCAAACCCUAAAUUACCACGAUCGAAAGUUACCUUUUUCUCGACAAUGGAGGAUGACUGAAGAGGAGUAGGGAACUGAGCUUGAAGACCUUCACGUCUCUUCUUCAAUAGACUCUCUUCACGCUUACUUUUACGGAUCUCAACCAUGUUGUCCUCUCUUCUCCGGCGACCCUCGUCAGCGUCGACGGCAACCUUGUAACGGUUGCGACGAACUUCGGUUCUAGCAUUGGGUCUGAGCGACAUCGUAUCUUAGGGCUAGGUGGCACCAAUCGAAGCUGAGAAUUGAAAUGCAAAACCCUAAAUUACGAUUGAGAUUUUAGAACUCUGAUGAGAGAGAGAGAGAGAGAGAGAGAGAGAGAGAGAAGAAAGAUUAGAGGAAAUUUAAAUAGCUGUAUAGUAGUGGGAUGUGGGGUUGUAUUACGUGUGGAGGUGGAGGUGGUGGCGGUGACCGGAGUUUUACUUAGGAAUGUCGUUUAUGAUGAUAAUGAUAUGAUUCGGUGCGUCGUUUCGUGUUGAUUUAUUUUUAUGGAUUUUGCCGACUAGAUGAAACGGGUUACGGUUUUGGGGUAAUAUGAUCCUCACUCUUUAAUCAUAUCAUCACGAUCCAAUCCACUUCAAGUGUUAAAUGGUUAAAUGGGGGCAUGUGUGUUCCAAGAAUAUCCCAUUUCAAACCAAUGAUGGUUUUUUUUUGUACUAAAAACGUUUUUUUUAUGUUCCUUAUUUUUACUUUUAUUUAACGAUCAAAGUAGCCACAUAUAUAUAUAUAUAUAUAUAUAUAUAUUAUAUAUAUAUAUUAUAUAAUAUAUAUAUAUAUAUUAUUAUAUAUAUAUAUAUAAUAUAUAUAUAUAUAUAUAUAUAUUAUAUAUAUAUAUUAUAUAUAUAUAUAUAUAUAAUAUAUAAUAUAUAUAUAUAUAUAUUAGUGAAAAAUUUGAGUGAGUUGAGUUAGGUGGAUUCACUAGGGUUAUGACAUGUCUUAAGGUGGUUGAAUUGUCUCUCAACAAAUUUGUUAUUUUUUACUUCAUUUAUUUUUUUUAUAUGUUUUGUGAUAUUUAUGGAUUAGGCGAAUCAAAGUGUCUUUAGUGGUAUUGUCAUUUAUCUAAAUACGGAUUUUUUAGAUUUGAAGAGUAAUGGUUUGUAUGUGUCAUUUUGUCUUUCUCUAUCAAACAUAUACAAUACGACCUCCUGAUCAUGCUUUUUUAUUGACAUUUGUUUUAUCCAUGUCAAUAUCAUUCUUGCGGUUUGCAUGAGUGGUCGUCCAGAAAUUAGAGAAACUUAUGGAUUCUCCUUAAUAUCCAUUAUCAUAAAUUCAAACGGGAAGGACAAGGUGUUCGCUUGUAUUAUUACAUUUUAUGCAACCCUAGUUGGUUGUUUGACAAUUUUGUUGGUGAAUUGCAAUAUUUACUUUGUUUCUUUUAUCUCUAUAUAUCUAAGUUUUACGACUACUAAUAGGGAUAUUGGGUUAAUGUUUACCCAAAAAUCUACAAGAGCUUCUCCAACAUUCAUGCCUCUAAUUGAGUUUGCACAAGGCGAUUCUCCAUGGACCAAUUGCCUUUUCUAAUAUAGUUUCUUGGAUCAUUAUACUACAAAUUGCUUUGUCCUGGACAAGUGUUGGUUCAAGACGUUUAUCCUUGUGUGUGAAGAAAUUUAAGAACCUUUGUUUCGCUUUAGUCAAGUUUUCAUUAAACUCAUCAACUGAGUCAUCAACCUAUUCAUUUUGUCGUGCAACAACAACAUCAUAAAAAAAACUGAAUGUUUGUAUAUAAGGAUGUUCACUUACCAUGUCAUCCAUUUUUUAUUGCAAUGUUUUUUCAAAUUUGGCUUGGUGUUAGUGGUGAAUGUACCUCCUGAUUUAUCAUUUAUGUGCUUGAAGAUUUGUCCCAUUUACACGUUUCUAAUGAAGUUUUCAGCUUAUUUUUUAUUAGCCAUAAACAUUUGGACAAAUUGGUUUUGAGUAUCUUCAAGCUUCCUUUAAGUUUGGGUUGGAUCUAAUAACUCUAAAAUUGUUGUUUAUUUGAUGGUUCAGCAUCAUGUAUCCAUCCUUGGUCGUAGUUAUUUCCACUUUGAAAGUUAUUCCCUCUUUGGAAAUUGUUGUUCCCUUCAUGGUAAGGAUUAUAUCUUUGGUAGUUCACAUAAUUGAUUUCCUCGUCACCAUAGGGACGAUACACGAGUGGGGUGGUCACCUUCAUAUAAGUCACAUAAAGAAAUUUCAUUUGGGCUUACUUGAAGUUUCUUGCAUCUAUUUUGAAUUGUUGUGGAGGUUUGGAUGGUUGCUUUAAUAGUUCGUUCUUCCAAAGGCUGUGUCAGAAGUUUGUUUUCAGCAAGCAUUGCAUCAUUUGUAUUCAGUUCCAGCAUUCAUAGUUUGCUUUGGCUGGUACUUGGGUUGUAUUAACCUUGAUGGUCGUUAAGUGUCGUUCUUUCGAUUAUUGUUAUUCCAUCUUCAACACUUCUGGCUAUUGACAACCCACUAGAAAUAAUGUCUAGUAUCAACUUCAGUUGUUGCAAAGUCUGGUUUGAAAAUAGGAUAGCUUUUAAACUUAAUGAUGGUGAUCUAACUAGAAAAACAUCUCAUGCCUCAUCAACAAAAGGAAACUCAAGAUAUAAGUGCUUAUAUGAUCAUAAGCAAUCUAGCAAAGAAUCUUGAAGCCUCAGAUAAAGUGUGAAAGCUCGUCAGGUCAUGUUUGUCUAUCUGUCUGAUUGACUCGAGUAUUGUAAAAGUAAGGAAGUAGAUUAGAAGUACUAAGACAAGUCACACACACACACACACACAACUAAAAAUAUAUUUACUAAGCCAAGACAAGUGAUUAAAAAGUUGUCCAAAAAAUUUCCAAACUAUUUUUGAACUAACCAAUUGAUUAGUAAGUUAUGUCAAUUGAUUGGAUCAUUAAGCCAAUCAAUGGGAGAAAAGCUAAUCGAUUAACCAAGCAAUUAAGACAACACAUUUAUGAAUUGCAAUGAAUCUAUAUCCAAUACUUCCUAUUUGGGCAUGUUAGUCAAUUAAAAUGAGUUGACAAUUAAUUAGAGCUUUUUGCUAAUCGAUUGGCUUAUUAGUUCAGCCCAUGGAUCAUUUUCUGUUUUGGUGUUUCCAAAACUUAUAUAAAAGAGGCUCGUAUCCACUUGUUUUCACGCCACUUUCCGAUGAUUUACAUUUUUUGGAAUUUAUCUCUCUAAGUUUUCUCUCCCUCUAUUUAGAAAAUAUUCAUUUCACUUAAAAUUGUCUUGGUGCUUGCGAGUGAAACUUUGAUUGUGAGGAAGAGUUCUGUAAGUUGUCAUGUUGUUUGUUUAACUCUUGGGAGUGUGAUACUCUUGAGAAGAUUGAGUUUAAUUCGUGAGAUAAACCGAUCUUAAAAUCUAUGUUGUGGUUUAUUGAGCUUUGUUGAAAAAAGUUUUGUUUUGGUUAUUGAGAUCAACUUUAAAAUCUCUAAGAAGGUUCUAGUUUAGCCUGUGGUAAAAGUUAUUUAUGGUUGGGGAUAAACCUGUAAAAAAAUAAAAAUCAACUUGUAUAAAUAUUUAUGGGCAUAGCUUAUAAAAUUUUAUAAGUUUAUAGUCAAAAUCUCAAGAAUACCUUUUGGGGACAGGAUUAUGCCAACGUUCGACCAAACAUGUACAACUUUCUAGUGCAAUCUCUCUAACCUUAUCCUUUUUAAAAAAAAAAUCUAUUUACUUUGCAUUACUUAUCUUUGUUGUGGUUUACUCAAACAAAAUUACUAACACGGUCUUAAUCGAAAAAAGUAUAAAAUUAGUCACGAAUUUUAAAUACCAUAUUCACCAUAUCUCUUCUACUUGAAGUCACUUGUCCAACAAGUGGAAUCAGAUCCUAACUCCUAUUAAGGACUAAUCUUCUCAAGGAGGAAAAAUGACUUUAAGUUAUUCACUAAACAUGCAUUUAUUCUUCAAUGGAGAAGGGUAUAGUUUAUGGAAAGAUAAAAUGAAGUUUUUCAUAUAAGGGAUAGAUCAUGGUAUUUGGAAAGUUGUGAAUGAAGUUCAGUUUGUUCCUACACACAAAAUUAAUGGUGUCGUAGAAAACAAACCUGAAAAGGAUUGGACCAAAGAUGAUGAUGAAAAUGUGCAACAUAGUUUAAAAGUGAAAGUUGUCAUCACUGCCGCUCUUGGUCUUGAUGAGUUUUUGCGAGUUUCUCACGGCGAGACUGCAAAAGAAAUAUGGGCACCCUCCAAAUCACAUGUGAAGGUACUACUAAGGUGAAAAUGGCAAGGUUGGGCACAUUAAUCAAUGAGUACGAACUCUUCAUAAUGAAACCUGAAUAUAACAUUAAUCCUAUGCAAAUACGAUUUACCCAUAUCGUGAAUCAUAUGAGAACUCUGGAAAAACCAUUUUCAAAUGAAGAAUUGGUUAUAACUAUCAAGACAUAUUCUUAUCAAGUGUCACUUGUUGAAAUUAUUUUCUAAUAGGUAACUGUAUUGCAAUUUAUAAUUAAUCAGAAAGCAAAAAUCAUUAAGAACCAAUAGAAAUAAAUAAUACUAGAAUAAAAGACUUGAUCGUUACAAUUAUCAAUUCAGUACUAUAAAAUUCAUCUAAGAUGGUGACUCGUCCUUAACAUAUAGGAGUUUAGUUACUCAUAUCUUUAACAAAAUACAUCAAAUAAAUAAUGAACAUUACACAAUAGUCACAGAUGAGGAAGCUUUAACACAAAAUUUUGUUGAAUGUUUGCUCAUUUUGCUCCUAUAGCGUUUUCCUUGCUUCAAAUUAUUUAUUCGCCAUUAAAAUCCAAGAUAAAAACAAAAAAUAAGGUUUCCUUCCUUAAAAUACAACAAUAGUCAUCCAUACUAGAUCUGAGUGUUUGGAUGUUUUUCCAAAUAUCUUUAGAAAUGCAUAUGACCAAAGGAGAAUUUUAUCUUGGUAUGUGCAUGAACGUGUUUGAAGGCAUUUAGAUGUUUGGAAAUUUUCUAAAACAUGUUUAGAAACACAUAUGAUCAUAUGGGAAUUUCACCUUGGUAGGUACAUGGACAGUUUUAGAGGCAUUUGGGUACAUGAAUGCUUUGCUAAACACAUUUAGCAGCUCUCGAACGCGUUUGGCCAGAGUUUGCAUCUUUUGGCCAGAGUUUGCUUUCCUUUUUGUUUUAACUCCUGUAACAUAGACAAAAUAUUUUCUAAAACAUCAUCUUGAUAAAAAAAAUAUUUUUUGGUAUCGCAUAAACUAGAAAACACGUCAGAAAUAACAAGAAAGAUAAAUAUGAACAAAUAAAAAUAAAAAGUUAAGUUAGUAAUAAAUAUACGAAAAAUCACAAUGACUUAAAAUUAUAAUAAUCAUAAAUAAGUUAAAAUUUUAUGAUGAUUGGGGUAGCUCAACUCGUAUGUGAUAAUUGAUUUAAGGGGGUAUAAGCUCCUUGUGUGGAAUUUAAAUAGAAAAUAUUAUAAUGAUUAUGUCAAUAAAAAUUACAAUGUAGUGAGUCAAUUUAUCAUAUCUACGGGGAAUGAGAAAUAUAAUGUAUUUGCAAUUAUAAGUAAUAAAAAGUAUUUUAUUCGUUUGAAAAUAUUUUAUGUCCAUAAAAAGUAAAAGAAAGUAAAAUAGUAUAAUUAUAAGUGAUAACAAGUCUUUGGGUUAUGUGAUCGCGACUUAGUAUGUUUGUCGAAAUAGCUGACUGCAAGUGCACAGUCGUAUCAUGUAGUUUUAAAAGGAUAUCGAACCCAAAUGACCAAAAACCAAACUAUGUUAUCUAAAGUUACUAUGUAAAGGUAAAACUAAUGAAUAUUUUCUUUUUUAGAUUAGAUUAAGGGAAACUAGGAAUAAAAUUGAACGGUAAAUAAUAAUAAAAUGAAAAUAUUCAAUAAAGAGACAUCGGUAUGUAAAUUACAUCAUUCUUCGAGGAUUCGAUAAAUAAUUAACACAAAAUAAGGUAAAUCAUUUUUCAGUAGAAAAUAUCAAAUUAAAAUUUUUUGCCUCACACUCUCGUGUUAUUGACUCGGACUAUACUCUUAAGCCAAAAUAUUUUGUUCUCGCUCACCCACCUGAAUCAAAAGUAAUUUUUGGAAAUUGAUAAAUCUUAAUUAAUCCUAAAGUGUUCUCGCUGUAUUUAAGAUUAAUCCCUAGAAACCACUAUCCAGUUAAAAUCUCAAACUCUCCCUCUGUUGAUUUAUAACCUUAAUGACUUUUCACUCUUGUGCAAAAACUUUUUUAAAUUAGAAUUGGAAACUACAUCCAGGAAAAAAAUUAUAAACAUUAACACUUAUUAUUACCGAAUCACGUCGGAACGACGAUCCUUACAUACUGAUGUCAAAAGGUUUAGACAGACAUGGUUUGAAACUUAAUCAUACAAUUAUAAUUAUUAAACAUAAACAUAAUCAUGAUCGAAAUUCAAAAUUUCAAGCAUACAAAUAAUAUUAUGCAAUUAGGCCAAAUGAAAGCGGAAAGUAAAGAAUUAUGCAAUUAAAAAAACCCUGAUGAGUAAUAAAAAUUGGAUUAAACUUCAGAGAAAUCUUCAAGUAUAAAUAACAACUGGAAAAUACAAUGAUGUCGACACGUUUGAUCCAAGCAACAAGUAAACUUAAGAACAAAGGUGCAAUAGCCUCCCGGUGUUGAAGAACUAUCACUUUUAAGGUAUUUCUGCUUAAGCUAAGAAUCAAAAUUACACGAUAAAAACUUGGAUACUUUUUUUCUUUUGGUUCUGCCUUUUUAUACUGGUAAAGAGGAACUGAACUUCCCUAAAUUCGUGUGGAAAUGGUUGUGGAAAAAUAAGGGGACUCUUGACCAUAUUUUGUGCAGUUGUUGAAAAACUGCAUUGCGUGCCUGUGGCAAACGCCACAGGGCCAUGGCAAAUGUCAUGGUACUAAAAGUUUGAAGUGACGUGGCAAGGGGGUCGUGGCGAACGCCACAUGCCCAAAACCUGCAUUUUCAGCAUUUUUCUUCCCUUUUUCUUCAUUUCUUCUCUUUUCUUUAAUUAUUUCUCACAUGUGAGUUCUGCAUCGACAAAUACCUGAAACAGGGCAACAACAUCAACAUAAUACAAUAAAACAUACACAUAAUUAUACUAAAAUACAUGCGAAUCGAGUCAAAUAAACGGUAGUUUCACGUUAUCAAAAUCCCCCAUACUUGAACGUUUGCUUGUUCUCAAGCAAAUGCUACACUUGUGACAUGAAAAUUCGGAGACUCGUAGCAUGUAGAUCCAUGGAAAGCACAUAAACAAUUAAUUAAUCAUUCUAAAGCUACAAACUUUGCUUUGGUUAUAAUUGCUUAAAUAGGUACUAAUCGGUACACUAAGGAUAUCGUAAUAACGUUAUUUCGCAAUUACGGUCAUGAAUCUCCCUACAUGCAAACAGAUAUAAAUGAUGUCAUUAUAUCGCAAAUUUGUCAACUCGCCUUUUAUUUUUUCGUUCAAGUGUGAUCACAUUAAUCCCGUUAUCUUUCACACUUAUAGUAGGAAGUUCUGUUAGUGACUUUGGUCUUAUCUUGUAUCUUCGGUUUCCCGGUUCAGGGGUUGAUUAUGGCAUCUAAGCGGUUUAAGCCCACGCCUAAAUUGUAAUUGCGGGGGAUCGGACCGUAGUCCGCCCUACCAAGUUUAGCGCCAAAUACCACUAAACCAAUUACGAUUGGUAUUGGUAAUUUAAGCUCAACAUAUUUCAUUCAAUGUCAUUUUUAUUCUUUGGACCAAACACUUAUUUGCAUCAAUCUCCCACAUAAAGCAUUUAAAUUAUCCUCAAAUCACUUCAAACCAUUUUCAUAACUAAAAUCUGAAGAAAAAGAUUACCCUGGAUGGAAUAUCUAAUCGUAAUCCCGAAUAUUAGGCCUAAGUUGUAAGAGCUUGUAAGCCCUAUGUAUUUGUAUUCUCUUCAAAACACUUGUAAUUAUUCAAACUUCUUUUCUCAAUAAAAUUGGAAGAAAAAGAUUACUCUGGAUGGAAUAUCCAAUCGUAAUCCCGAAUAUUAGGCCCAAGUUGUAAGAGUUUGUAAGUCCUAUGUAUUCGUCUUCUCUUAAAAACACUUGUAAUUAUUCAAACUUCUUUUCUCAAUAAAAUUGGAAAAAAAAAGAUUACCCUGGAUGGAAUAUCCAAUCGUAAUCCUGAAUAUUAGACCCAAGUUGUAAGAGCUCGUAAUCCCUAUGUACUCGUCUUCUCUUCAAAAUAUUUAUAAAUAUUCAAACGUCUUUUCUCAAUAAAAUUGAAAGAAAAAGACUACCUGGAUGGAAUAUCCAUUCGUAGUCCCGAAUAUUAGACCCAAGUUGUAAGAGCUUGCAAGUCAUAAAUACUCGUCUUUCAAGGCCAAAAGUACAUCCAACCAAUCAAACUUUUUUCGCCGUCGUGCGAUUGAUCAAGAAAACCUUUUCAUAAGCAAAGGUUAUCUUGUCUUAAGAUGAUGUAAAGCAAUGCUUCGUCCAUAAUUGUUGAGUUGAGAUAAGUGACAUUUUUCCGAAUGUUGAUUUGUAAAUCCAUUCGGUGUGUGGUAUACGUCCGCUCCUCAUCUGUUUUGAGUAAAACAGUGUUUCUCGUUGAUUAAUACAAGAUAGAUUUCGCUAAAAUCGACCAACAAACAAACAUUUUCUAUCCAGAACUAUGUAAGUCUUGAGUUCUCUAUUGCACCCGGAGAUACGUAGGAGCAAGAUUUGUAAAUCUUGUCAGACCCAUUAAUAAAAAACUUAGGUUUAGUCCCCUUUGUUGCAAAAUCCAAAAACAUUCUUCUCUCUUCUAUUCUUUCUUUCCCACCUAAUAACUCGAGAAGCCUAACAUUUCUAAGCUAACACUAACGCGCACAAAUAACCUAAUGGGUCCCGUUGAGUACAACGGACGUGGGGGGUGCUAAUACCUUCCCCUUGUGUAAUCGACUCCCGAACCCUGAUUUGGUUGCGACGAGCAUAAUCAUUGUCGUUCUUUCUUGGGUUUUAUCAAUAUUUCCCUUUUCCUUUUUAGGAAUAAAUAAAGUUCGGUGGCGACUAUGUUUAGUCCAUCAUGUGAGCGUGCGAUUGCGCUUUGCUAAGUCGUGCUCUCAUUUUUUGAGGUGCGACAUUGAGCAAUAAUGCUAAUGAGUGCAAGAAUAAUGUUUUGAGGUGCUUUAAGUGUGGGAAGACAUGCCACUAUGCAGUAGAUUGUAUGAGUGAUUAACCAAUUUGUUAUAAUUAUAACGAGCAUGGUCGUAUCAGUAUCAAUUGUUAGUAGUGGAAUAAGGCACAGUCUGGAGGAAGGGUCUUUACUUUGACUAAGACAUAGACUACUAGUGCUGACUGCUUGAUUUGAGGUAUAUGGUUUAUAAAUAGCAUUCCUUUGAUUGCUAAUAUUGACACAGAUGCAACACAUUCAUUUGUUUCGCUUGAUUGUGCUGAGAGGUUGGGUUUGAGAUUGUCUUCUAUGGAUGAGAGUAUGAUUGUUGAUACCCCGACUCUAGGUCUGGUAACCACUUUAUGGGUUUGUUUGAAUUAUUCGCUUACUAUUUAUGGUAAGAGUUUUGGGAUGUAUUUAGUAUGUCUACCUUUGAGGAAUCUUGAUGUUACCCUUAGAAUGAAUUGAUUGGAGUUCAACCAUGUUCAUAUCAACUCUUUAUACAAGACGAUGUCAUUUUCAGAGUUUGAUGCAAGUGAUAAGUUGUUCGUCUAUGCCAAGAAAUUGAAUGAGUUUGUGAAGGAUGAUGCUACAAUGUUUAUAAUAUUAGCUUCUAUAAAGGCUAAGAGUAAAGUUGUGACUGGUGAGUUGCUGCUGGUGUGUGAUUUUCCCGAAUUGUUUCCAGAUGAUAUCAGUGAAUUUAUGCUAGAGCAAGAAGUUGAGUUUACUAUAGACUUAGUAACUGGUACUAGUCCGGUGUCAAUGAAUCCUUAUAGAAUGUAUGCUUCAGAGUUGAGUCAAUUGAAGAAGCAACUGGAAGAUCUGCUUGAAAAGAAGCUUGUUAGAUUAAGUGUUUCGUUGUGGGGUGUGCCACUGUUGUUAGUGAAGAAGAAUGACGGUAGUAUAAGGCUAUGUGUUGACUACCGACAUCUGAAUAAGGUUUCUAUCAAGAACAGGUAUCCAUUUAUGAGGAUUAAUGAUUUUAUGGAUUAGUUGGUAGGUAUUUGUGUGUUUAGAAAGAUAGAUUUGCAUUCGGGUUAUCAUCAAAUUCGUGUGAAGCCUGAAGAUAUUCAGAAGACUGCUUUCAGAACGAGGUAUGGUCCUUACGAGUAUUUGUUCAUGCCGUUUGGGGUGUCUAAUGUGCCUGGAGUGUUCAUGGAGUACACGGAUAAAAUCUUUCAUCCGUAUUUAUACCAGUUCGUGGUUGUGUUUAUAGAUGACAUCUUGAUAUAUUCGAAGUCUAAUAAAGAGCAUAUGGAACAUCUGAGAGUUAUAUUGAAGACAUUGAAAGAGAACCAAUUGUACACAAAGUUGUCCAAAUGCGAGUUCUGCUUGCGAGAAGUGAGUUUCCUUGGCAAUGCGAUUUCUAGUGGUGGUAUAGAUGUUGAUCCAUUGAAGAUAUAUGUUGCAUUACAAUGGGAGACUCCGAAGUCUGUUACUGAAAUUAAAAGUUUUCUUGGGUUGGCUGGUUACUACAUGAAAUUCAUUGAAGGUUUUCGAAGUUAAUGUUACCUUUGACUCAGUUGACUUGAAAGGGUUAAGCCUAUGUUUGGGAUGUGAAUUAUGAAGAGAGUUUCCAAGAACUCAAGAAGAAGUUGACGUCUACUUUAGUUUUGAUUUUUACGAAUCCAAGUGAGCCAUUCAUUAUAUAUUCUUAUGCUUCAAAUAUUGUUCUAGGAGGUGUGUUGAUGCAUAAUGGUUAGGUUGUGGCUUACGGAUCUCGAUAGUUGAGAGUUCAUGAAAGGAAUUAUGCAUGAUGUUGAGUUAGCAACUAUGAUGUUCGUGUUGAAGAUAUGAAGACAUUAUUUGUUUGACUCCAGAUUUGAGGUGUUCAGUGAUCACAAGAGUUUGAAGUAUUUAUUUGAUCAAAAGGAAUUGAAUAUGAUGUAUAAGGCUCUAAUUUAUAAAAGAUUAUUAUUUUGGAUUGAGUUAUUAUCCGAAUAAAUCUAACAUUGUAGCUGAUGCAUUGAGUAUGAAGUUAUUGCAUAUGUCAACGUUGAUGGUUCGAGAGUUAGAAUUGACUGAGCAGUUAAGAGACAUGAGUUUGAUAUGUGAAAAGGCUCGUAAUAGUGUGAAGUUGGGUAUGUUGAAGAUGAUCAGUGGCAUCCUUAAAGAUAUCAUAGAGGGUCAUAAGGUAGAUGUGGGAUUGGUUAACUAAGUUAUGUUAAUAAAUCAAGGCAAGGGAGGUGACUUCAAAAUUGUUGAGAAUGGUAUGAUAAGGUUCAGAGACAGGGUUAUGUACCUGAUGUGCCAAAGCUUAAGAAGAUUAUUCUCUAGGAAGGUCAUAAAAUUGGUUUGAGUAUUCAUCCUGGUGCCAUUAAGAUGUAUCAAGACUUGAAGAAAUUAUUUUGGUGGCCAUGAAUGAGGAAGGAAGUAAGUGAGUUUGUGUAUGUUUGUUUGACUUGCCAGAAGUUGUAGAUUGAACAUCAGAAGUCGUUGGGUAUGAUGCAACCGUUAGUAUUCCAUAGUGGAAGUGGGAUAACAUUUCUAUGAAUUUUGUUACAAGUCUUCCAAGGAUGACGAAGAGAUGUGAUUCCAUUUGGGUGAUUGUUGAUAGGCUGACUAAAUUGGCUCAUUUCAUAUCGAUUAUGAUCAAUUAUACUUUGCAGAAUUUAUUUGAGUUGUAUAUUGAGAAAAUUGUUAGCCUGCAUGGUAUUCCGUCGAGCAUUGUGUCAUAUAAAGAUCUGAGGUUCACGUUGAGGUUUUGGCAGAGUUUGCAAGAAGCUUUGGGUACUAAGCUGAAGUUAAGUUUCGCUUAUCACCCAUAGACUGAUGGGCAAACAGAAAGGGUUAUCCAAUCCUUGGAGGAUCUGUUGAGGGCUUGUGUUCUAGAAUAAGGAGGUGCUUGGGAUAACUACUUCCCUCUAAUUGAGUUCACUUAAAAUAACAAUUUCCACUCAGGUAUUGGGAUUGUCCUGUUUGAGGAGUUAUAUGGUAUGAGGUGUAUGACACCUUUGUGUUGGUAUGAGUCUGGAGAGAGUAUGGUGAUUGGACAUGAGAUUGUGCAACAAACUUAUAAGAAGAUCAAGAUGAUCCAAGAGAAGAUGAAAGCUUCACAGAGUCACCAUAAGAGUUACCAUGAUAAGAGGAGGAAAACACUUGAGGUCCAAGAGUGAGACCAUAUGUUUUUGAGAGUUACUCAAAUAACCAGUGUUGGCUGAGCUUUGAAGUCUCGAAAGCUUACGCCAUAUUUUGUUGGUCCAUACCAUAUCUUGUAGAGGAUAGGAGAGUUCGCAUAUUGGAUUGCCUUUCCACUACCACUUGCUAAUCUUCAUGAUGUGUUUCAUGUGUCUCAGUUGAGGAGAUACAUUUAAGAUAUGUCUCAUGUGAUCCAAGUGGAUGAUAUACAGGUGAGAGAGAGAACCUGAUUAUUGAAGUAUCACCCAUGUGAAUAGAGGAUCGGGAAGUGAAGCAAUUGCAUGGUAAUGAGAUUGCCUUGGUGAAGGUAGUGUGGGGAAGACCAGCGGGUGGAAGCAUAACUUGGGAGAUGGGGAGCCAGAUGAGAGAGUCCUAUCCAACUUUGUUUCCUUCAGGUAAUUUUCGAGGGCAAAUUUUUUUCUAAGUGGGGGAGAGUUGUAACACCUCAAAUUUGAUUAAAUGAUUUAAUUGAAUUAUUGGGAUUUAUUUAAUUUAAUUGUUUGAUCAUAGUGUGCAUUUAAAUAAAUAAUAUGAUCUUAUGUGUUGACGAGGUGUAGUGGAAUUAGUAGGGUGUGGUGAGAACAUAUAAUAAAUCGAUUAAUAAUUAGAAUAAUCAGAAUUUUAAGUAUUAUUAUUAAUAAAAUAAGAAAUUGGAGAAAAAUAAGAGUUAGUAGAGAAAUAAGGGGUAAUGAGGGAAUUUAGAGAACCACUUGGGGAUAAUGAGGGAAAAACCUAAAUGGGAGGAUUUAACUUAUUUUUAUAAAUAGAGGGAUAAGAGAAUUGAGAUAGUUUAUAGUACAUGAAGACAAAAGUUGGAGAAAAAGGGAGAAACACAAAGCUAGGGUUUGAGAGAAGAAUUCCUUAGAAGUUGAUGUUGUUUUGCUGGAAAAUCAAGAUAAUGGGGGGAUAAAGGGCUAUUAAUUGUGUAUUGAUGACGGGGGUAGAGAAUGAGAAGUCCUUACUCUCAUUAGGAUUCUAGGGUUUUCUUUGAUGAUUCAUUAUAAUAUGGAAAUCUGUAAAAUUAUUGGUUGAUUGUGUGUCUCUAUGUAUGAACCGUCAUGAUUAUGUAUCUAUAAAUUUCUACCAUUGAUGAAUGCUUGAAUGCUUGAGUGUACCCAUGAAUAAUGAUGAGAAUAAUUGCUGAUUUUACUGAUGAGUUAUUAUAGAUUGUGAUGCUAUAGAUGUUUUAUGUUGAUGAUCAUGAUAAUAUGAUUCACUGUCAGUUUAUGUUUUGGGUCUGUUGAAUUUAUGUGGAUCGAUUGGGAUAGUGAAUGGAAGCUAGGGGAUGAAGGGAUUACUGAAAGUAAUGAAAAAUUAAGUUUAUGGGGAAAAUUACCUAGAUCAAUCGAUUGGUCCAGGGGUGUAAUUGAUUGGUUCAUCACAAAUAAGAAAGAAAAUUUUGACAGAAACUUGAGAGCAAACGAUUGGCCAAACCAUGUAAUCGAUUGUUCCAUUGAAAAAAUUGAAAUAAAAUGAAGGGAAAAUUCUUUGGUUGGAAGGUGUAAUCGAUUGGUCCAUCAAAAAUUCGAAAAAAUUGAAGUUAGUGGGCUUGGGAUAAUCGAUUGAUCCCUUGGAGCAAUCAAUUAGUCCAUGUUUCGGUUGCUUGAUCCACUUGUCAAUUUUGGCUAUAACUUUUGUUUAGUAAGUCCAAAUGAGACGUUGUUUGAAGCGUUGGAAAGCUAACGCGUAGAGAUACCUCAAGGUGCUACUUAGUGAACUGUUUGAUUUAUAAUCAUAUGCCUUAUGUGGCAAUGUUUAUGCUGACUUUUGUGAUAGGUUAGCGAAUUGUUAUGUUUAUAUAAUGUUGUGUUGUUAUUUUGGUGAAGUAACAUGAAUGAAUGUCUAUGAAGUUACAUUUGUUGAGUUUCUACUGUUUAUGUUGUUUAUUGAUGUUGUAAUAUUGAUUAAUUAUUGUGCAUGAUAAAUGAUGUGUUGCAUAAAUGGUGAUAUGUGCAUGGUGAUCCUUUUGGUGAACCUUGUGGUGGUAAUGCAUGUUGUUGAGAGUCAUACAUCAUGGUGUACGAAUUUAGGUCAAGUUUUUACGUGCUCCGAUCUUAUGGCGGGGAUCGAGAGUCAGUAGUCGGUUUUAUAUGGGAACUGGUGAAACAUUACAUAUGAUGAUGGUAAUGAUUUGGUGAUCGAGAGUCAGUAGUCGGUUUUAUAUGGGAACUGGUGAAACAUUACAUAUGAUGAUGGUAAUGAUUUGGUGUGCUUCGAUCCUAAGGCGGGGAUAAAGAGCAAGAUGAACCCGAGUGUUCAUGAAUGGUACCGCAUGCAUAAUGAGUCUGUUGUGGAGUACAUUUUCAUAAAUGAUUGCAUAUAUUAUUGAUUGUUCAUGAUGUUGUUGUGAUGGGCGUGAGACUAUGUAGUUGUUGAUUGAGUAAUGAAUGUGUGCUUGUUGUAUGUUCUCUAUUUUAUCAUUCUUUACAUUGUUUAUAUUAUUAUUAUUAUUAUUUUCUCACCACCUUUGCUUUCAUGUUGUCCACCAUUGACAUCUUACAGAUACUCAGAAGUAGAGUUUACUGAUGUAAGUGGAAGUUAGCUCUUGGAGUUAAUUAAUUUAAUUUCAUCGUUGUUUAUAAGUCUUGUUCUGAUCUUCUAACAUCGAGGUUGGGAAUAUUUUUUUGCUUGUUAUGUUUUGUUGGAGUUUAACUGUUUUAUUUGAUUCAUGUUGAACAUGAUAACUCAAUAUUUUGAUAGAUGCUUAUAUAGUUUUUGAAGUUGAGACUAAGUGUCUAAGUUAUGAUGUUCUAUUUAAUUAAAACAAGAUCGAUACUGCCGCAAUGAUACCAUAAGUGAAGGUGAGCGUGCGAUGACAGGUGUUGUCUGACGUUGAUAUUUCCUAUGCAUGUUUGUUAAAUGUUUGAUUUAUUAAAGGAUUUGUCAUUAGUGACACCUUAUAUUGUAGUGUAAAGCUUAAUAUAUAUAUAUAUAUGUAUCAGGGUUUAUGGUGUUACAUAUGACAUUCUGCUUUAAUGUGUCCAAAGCCUUCACACUCAAAAUAUUGAGUACCCUAUCAUCAUUGGGCUUGUCUUCACUUUUGCUUUUGAUCUAGAGACUUGUCCUCCACUUUUUAUUUAGAUAUUUCAAGGAAUUGUUGAACCUAUUACUCAGGAGAGCUAUGUCAUCUGACACAUUCUCUUCUAUGUCCCAUUGACUUUCUUCAGUAUGGGAAUCAAAAGUUAUCCCUUUGUUUUUCUUUUCAUGCCUUUCAUUGAUAGAUAUCUCAAAGGUUUGCAGGAAACCAAUGAGUUCAUCAACCUUUAUACUGCUAAGGUCUUGAGCUUAUUCAAUAUCAAUCACUUUCCUAUCAAACCUCUUAGGUAAUAAUCUGAGAUUUUUUAGCAAACUUUUCUUCAGACAUCUUUUCACCUAAGGCAAAGGAAGUGUUGGAAAUAUCAUGCAAUUUGAUAUGGAAUUCAUAGAUAAAUUCAUCUUCAUUAAAAUCCGAAUUAAUCUUUAUCUAGCUGUCAAAUAAAUCACCUAAUCACAUUGCUAAGUCAAUUAACAAUAAAAUAGAAUUGAAUCUUCUCAAAAGAUUAAUUCAAAAUGCAACAAUCUGGUGCCUGUUGAGCAAAGCCCAGAUGUGGUACCAACAUGUGUCCCUUAUACAACUUAAACAAGCUAGACCAAUUUUGAACACUUAGACACUUCUCCAUGUUGUUAUUUUGCUAAGUGCAACCAAUCCAGUGAGUCAUUCCAAUAAGAACUACAAUUUUUGUAUCUCUAUUGUUAUUUAUUUUUCCUCAUUUUUGAUAAUGGAAAAUAGGGGAUAAGUAUACUCUCAUAGGGAAUAUCUUCAUUAUUUUUUAAGGGAAAUUAAAACUCCCCUUUCUUUUCUUCUUCUCUAACCAUCAUAUUAAGCCACCUCCCAAGAUAUGUUUUGUCAUCACUAAAAAGGGGUAGAACGUGGUUCUAUGUUUUAAUAAGAUUUGAUUAUUGAAUUAACAAGAUAAUAUAUUAUGAACAUCAUCAAAUAAUGAAAUGGAGUAAAAAGCGUGACAUAAUUUUUUUGAUGAUUGAUUCAACAAGAUCAAAUACUAUGCACAUCAUAAAGGAAUUGAAUGAGUCUUAAAACACAUAUUACAUCUGAAGCAUAAGUAAUUUUAUCUUACUAGGAUCAUACUAUGAAAUAAUGGGUAACUCUUUUAAUACUAAAAUAUCUACACACUCUGACAAAAUUUGUUUUUCAACUUCACCUUUUUUGAAACUAUUUAGAAAACUUCUUUGGAAAAGCCAAUUCUUUUUAACUUAGCAUAAUCAAUUAUGGUGUAUAGACAAUCGAUUAUGAAAUAUUAUUUUUUCUCUUUAAUCGAUUAUGAAAUAUUAUUUUUUCUCUUUAAUCGAUUAUGAAAUAUUAUUUGUUCUCUUUAAUCGAUUAUGGUUGUGGUAUAAUCAAUUAUGAGAUGUAUCUCGUUGAAUAAUUGAUUAUGGAUUGUGCAUAAUUGAUUAUGGUACAAAUUUGAGCAAAACUUUCAUAAAAUUUCUUCGCAUAAUCGUUUGUAGUCUUGUCAGAAUCAAUUAUGAAUUGAUUUUUAAUUUCUUUCAUUAUUUCUUUUUUGUGAAUCCUUAUGUUUGAUCUACUAUAUAAAAAGUUCCCAUGCUCUUCUGAAAAUACAAUUGCAAUUUGAAAACCUUUCAAAAAUCUUCUCUUAUUCUUUCACUUUGUUGUAUAAUUUUUAUACAAUUAAAAUAUAUAUUUUAGUUUUGAGAGAGAAAUCACAGUAUAGAUAAAUCCGUGAACAUCUAAUAAAAGUUUGUAUAAAGGUUGUAAGAUAAAUCCGUGAUAAAAAAUUGAUGUAAAAGUUGCAAGUUGAACACGUGUUAAAAGUUUGGACUAAAAGUUGUAAGUUGAACUCAUGAUAAAAGCUGGAUGUAAAAACUACAAGAUGAACUUGUCCUAAAAACUUGGUUGAUAGAGAAAAAUCUCAAGAUGCGAUUCUUGAGGACUAAAUGCAGGCCUCAUAGUUUUGGAUUCAACAAGUUUAAAUCUAGUGUGCAAUUUUCUUUAUCCCUAAUCUCUUUUAUUUAUUUUGUUCGUUAUCUAUCAUCUUUUCCUUCUUUUUUACCUUCUUCUUAAAACAUAACUUGAAAAUUUGUUUUAAUCUUAACUCUUUCAAAAAAAAAAUUAAAUCACAAUUCACCCUUUUAUAUUUAAAGUCUCUUGAUCAAUAAGGGAAAUCAGAUUAUAACUCUCAGUAUAAAAAUUAAUCAUCAAGAAAAAGGAUGAUUUCAAAUAAUUUUUUAAGUUUGGACUUUUUAUAAUCAGACCCACACCUUUUAAUGACCAUUCUAUAAAAAUUCUAUAAACAUAUUUCAUGGUUAAAAAUCCGUAGUCUAAACAAUUCAGCCGCAAUUUUUUCAUAUACACAUCUAUAAUUUUUCAAUUUUUCGUUGUUGUCUAAAUUCAUUUUUAUUGUUAUUAUUUUGUUUAAUUAAUUGUUUUCCCUCUUAAUAAGCCAUGAUGCAUUUAACCACAAGUCCAAUAAAAAAAUCCUAAGCCAUUUGAUUGUUUAAUUGUUGUCCAUAAAAUGUAAGGUUGAACACUUAAACAAGAAUGAGACAGUUGUCAGUCCCUCAAAAUUUAAAAGGUAUUGUUCAUAAUCAUGUCAUAAUAUAUAAAAUAUGCUAUAAAUUAUUAUCUAUGAUUUGUUAAAAUUCUUCUUUCACAUGUUCACAUAAACUUAAUCUGUAAUUUAUCAUAUUGUUAAGUUUUAUUUAACCUUUUUAAAAGUCUAAUAUGAUAUCUAACUUAUUUAAAAAACUAUUCAUAUCAACAAACUUUAAAAAAAAAUAGUAUAACCAAAGUUCAAAAAAUAAAAGACUUUUUCCGUCCAAAGUGUCCAAAGUUCAAAGUGAUCAUAUUCACAUAAAGUGAAUAAAUUAGAUUCAUAAUCACAUCUUAUAUAUACACAGUCCAAUGAUUUUUUUCUCUAUUCUAUAGUUAGUGUAAACAUGUAAAUGUAACUUUGUCACACACUCCACUCUCCAUGUACCUUAAAAACUUGUCCCAUUCAACCAAACCUUCAAAUUCACACAAAGUUAUAACUUUUGUUAAAAGGAGUUGGAAAUACAGACAACAAUAGAUCAUCAUUUUGACUCUCUAUUAUCGUAGGAUUCUCUCUUGCAACAGUUGUGAUAUUAUUAUGCCUUUGAGGUGAUCUUGGUGGAGAAGCAUAGAAGGUAGAAGCUUCUAGAACCUCUCUUCGAACACUUGCUAUCUCCUCCGACAUUCUUUGCGCGCGAAGCGCUGUUAGGUAUAAACCAGCAGCUAAGAAGACUGUUGUUAAGCCAAACACUCCUGCAGCUGAGAACAAACCUUCUCUUAUGGUGUAGCAACCUGUUCUUGGCUUAGACCAGUUUUUUAAAUGGCCUGAUUCUACACUUAGUCCUGCUAAUAGUAAAACCUCCGCAACCGCAAAGCAAAUCCUACGACAUAAAAAAACUGUUAAAUUAUGUUAUCAGACAUUUCGUAUUGAAGGUGUGUCUGGUGUCUGAUGCCACACACCAGACACGCGUAGAUAUAUAUAUAUAUUUAUCUUACCAAGUUGCGAUGAAGAAAAAACCAGCCAACCAUGUUAAGGAUUUGGCGGAAGGAGAAUCAGGAUCCCAAUUAAGUAAAGAAGGUGAUGAUUUACUCACUGCUAUUAACAUGUAAGUAUGCUCCAUAACCAAAGCAAUUGCUAAUCCAACAAAAGCAGCGGCAGCACAUAACAAAGGAACUUUGCCAUUACUAUUGUAAACACAUACCGAUUUAUUUCCGUUUUCUUUUCCGUCUCUAUUUAUCCAUGUCACCUAUCAUAUCAACCGUGUCAAAUUAUACGAAUAGUUUUUAAUUUAACGAAUAGAAACGACAAGAACUGAAUUCCUAUAAAAUAUUGUACCUCAGAACGUGUGGCUUCGGCUAUGAGACAUAAGAUGAAACAUAAUAAGCCUAAUAGAAUUGUGACGACCAUAAAAAAAGCCGCUGUCUUGCUACUCAAAUCGGUUUUGCUUCUUUUUGGUUCAAGGUCUGCAUGUGUAACUGCCAUUUUCUAUUUUUGAGAGCUCACACAAGAAAGAAAGAGAGAGAGAGUUUCUAAGAGAGAAAAGAAGAAGAAGAAGAAGAAGAAGAAGAGGGAAUGGAAUUUUUAGUUCAAAUGGAAUGAAUGUGAAAAAGAAGGAAGAGUAAUUCUAGAAUUGCUUGGAGCAAAGGUUGCUUAAAGGCUAGACAUUCCCUUCCAACGUGUGAGAUUUAAUACUAAGAAGUAUAUCACAAAGGCUAUUGUUAAUUAGCACCAUAAAUUUAUCUCUGUGAUGUUAUUAUGAGUGAUGAAGAUAAAGCUAAUGCUAUUGUGUUAUGACAAAGCAUAUACGUUUACAUUAAGACACUUUCACUCAUAAAGUUAAGUGUGCCUUUCAGUUAAUUCAGUUUUCUUAAUCACAAGUAGGUAAAGUAGUUUUUGCAUAAGGUAGUACAACUACAUGAACCUAAGCCAAUGGUAAAGGCCCUUUAAAUAGUUUAUUGUAAAAUCAAUUAACACAAAAAUGGAAAUUCAAAAUAAAUAAUGAAUAAAGUAAAUAACGAAUGCUAUAUUUAUUUAUUUUGGAUUGUUCGCAAGGCUCAAAGUAAAAGACUCGAGAGUGUUAUCAAGUGAAAGAGCGCAUAUAAUAGGCGGUCUCUCAUUCCAUCAAAAGAAUAUGAUUCUCUGACUCAUACAUGUUGAUUACUGCGUGAUUAGAUCAACUCAAUUAUUAUCCGAUUAUAUCCAACAAACUCCCUCCCGUACAACACACAUACACGGUUUUAACCGCUCAUAUUAUAUAAGGAAGAAAAUGCGUCUUUUUCAGAUAUUCAAAUUCAUUCUCAUCUUUACAUUAUUUAUUAUUCUAUCACUUACUUAAACGUUGAUGUAUUAAUCUUGCCUGUCAUCUUCUCCAACGCACUGCAAAUUUGAUUCAUCAAUCCAAGAUCUCGUCUCACCCGUCAUUUCAGGUUUCUAAGAAGGAUGGAGGAGCCACGCGUCGCUACGCUACCUCGAUUUUCCUAUCAUCUUUUGCGUCUAUGAUUAUACUGAAUACUUUUCUACAAAUUACAAAAGCAUUUCAAUUUCGUGUGAUUAUAUUAAUUUCUACUUAUGAUGUUUUCUUUAUGGCUCUUCCUCUAAAGGAAAGGAGAACAAAAAAGUUGAACAGUAUGGUGAAGUAAAAAGAUGCUUAAUAAACAAGACUUUCUAAACAAGGAAGAGGAGAAAUCCAAGGUAAAAGAAAAGGAAUAAAAAGUGUAAAAUAUUAGAAAGAGAAUGAAUUCUGUGCUUGAGACUUGGGGCAAAGCAUUAUAAGAGAUGAACGGUUAUCAGUAUUCUCUAGACUAGAGUUGAAUAUUCAAAAAAAGUGUUAUUCUGAUGUGGAAAAGUUUAAGAAUGAGAGGGACAAAAUUUAUCUAUGGCAGCCAAUAGACACUAUACCAAUGGAUUGUCACAAAAAUAAUAUAUAAUUCAUACAAUUGUUUAUGCAUAUGUUGUGCAUGCUAAUUGCUAAAAUAUUGGACUAUCUAAAAUGCCUUGGUUUUUUAUUUUAAACCUGUAAAUUUGGCUUAGAUUAAACUGUUGGAUCCCACCUAAUAAUACUCAUAAUCUAGCUACUUCUAUAAAAGUUUUCAAAUUGCAUGUCAUUGUCCUAACAUUUUGUAUGGCCCAUUUACAAGUCUUCUAAUCACAUAAUGCAACUUGUGUCAUGACACUUUGUCUAAAUAAUGAAAUACCAAAUAAAUAGGAUCUGGUAAUACACAUACAUACUUCACUGGUUCACUGAAGUUAAAAAAUUGAUACAUUCAUGCCUUCAACAUCAAAUUGUCUAUAUUAAAAGUUUAAUAUUUUUAUUUUAAAAUAAUUAAAAAUUACAUUAAAUUUUAAAUCAUGAUUUGAUAAAUCUAACGCGUCAACAUAGAGAGAGGAGAGGAAAGUAUGCAUUUUGAUCCAAAUAAAAAAGAAUUUUUCAUGUUUUAUGUGUUUAUGUGCAUAUUUAUGAAAAAGCCAUUGCUAAAAUUUUAAUUAUUCCAAAUUAACCGUAAUUUUUUUUAUAAAUCAUAAAUUAGAUGAUUUAAUUAACAAUAUCAUUUUAAUUAAAUUAUUAGGAUGUUACACUCUACCCUUCUUAAAAAAAAUUGUCCUUAAAAUAAAUAUUAAAAAAAUCUAAAAUAUGUGUAUAUGGUUAGCUAACAUCUUUGACUCGGGCUCUCAGUUGAGCUUUCCUAAUGGAGAUCCUUCUCAUAUUACCUUCACAUAGAGGACAAGAUUUGACUUUAGUUCCACAUUCUCAAGAUUUAAAGGUAGGAAAAAGUCUAGGGUGUACUUCUUGAGUUGUAAUACAUGAGACACAUCAAGUAGUCAUGAUAAAGUUAGGAGUUGUCAUAUUGCAAUGCUCCUAAUUUUGAUUUAGGACGUUACUUAUAAAAAGUUAUAUUUACUUUUAAAACACUAUUCUUUUUAUACAAUUAAUAUUGUUCUUGGUUAUUUUAGGUAAAAUAACAUGGAUAAAAUAAGAUGAAUUUGUGAAGAGGCAAUAUGUGGAAGAUGAUAUUCUAGCAUGUGCGUAACAUCUGUCCUCAAUCUGGAAGACAAAUUCAAUAGUAAAUUUGAGUGUAUUUUUUAUUGAUUUCAAGAAGAUUUGUCAAUUAUGUUUUGUAUCUUUUAGCAUUGUGCUAUUAAACAAGAUUGACUAAAAAGAUUGUUCAAGAACAAAUCAAAUUGAAUGAGAUCAAAUCUCUUAGUGGACAUUAAUAAAUAAACAAAUCAAAUAUGCAUCUAUUUUAAAUCUCCAUCAAAUCAAAUAUAUUUGCAUUUAAUUCAAUUGUCCGGGGCCAACAAAUGGUUUGCUAUAUAAGAAGACUUAUUUCUAAUGAAAAAAGGACACACAAGUAUUGAAGAUCUAGGGUGUUAGGAUUUGUUCUUUGAGUAUUUAUAUUCUUCUUGUUUAUUGUAAACCUCUAAAGAAGUAUAAUCUAAAUAUUCAAGGCAUAGAAGUUGAUUGUUAGUUGAGUUGUAAUUCAACAUCUUUAAUAUGUUAAAAGCAUAAAUCACUAGGGUAGUGAUUAAGAGAAAGUGAGAGGAGUCUCGUAUUUAAGGGGAGCCCUAAAUAGAAAGACACAAGUAGUAUUAGAAAGUAAGCAGUGAAUAAGGUUUGUUCAUCUAAGACUAAUUGUACUAAUACUAUUGAGAGUGAAUUUUCUUUCUUGGGCUGGAAAUCCCCCAGACAUAGGUGAUGUUGCAUUGAAAUGAAUUAAUAAUCCUCUUGUGUUCUUUAUUGCUUUCUCUUUUAAAUUUUUUAGUUUGUGAUAAUCUAUAUUAAACUAUUUUCUGUGGUACACAUUGUCUAAGACAUUAUGUCCAACAUGUGUCAUGUGUAGAACAUAAUUUCAAUUAGAAUUACAAGUUUGAAAAGAUAUGUGAUUUAUAGUAAAAACAAAUAAGUUCGGUAAAAGUCCAAUUUCCUCCCUGCGAUCACAUAAUAUAUACCAUUCCUGCUUUAAAUCGUCCAUUUAAUUGGUACCUAUAAUGUUUAGUGUAAGAGGUCAACUUCUAUAAUCUACAACCAUACAAAACUAAAUAAAAUAAAUAAUUAAAAAUCAAAAAAAUAUGAAGAAAUUUUUAUUCAAAUAAAUAUCUAAAAUAACCCACUUUUCCACGUAUUUCCCAAAGUAACUCACUUUCAAACAAAACAAAAAUUCUCAAAACAAAGGAGGCGCCAAUCCGAUCGACGCUUGUAUACAACACAUAAGAGGAGAUGUCAAUCCAAUUAACGAUAAUGUACAAACACGUAGGAGAGAGAAUGUACUCUCUCUUAUAUGUUUGCACACUAUCGUCAAUUGAAUUGACACCUUCUUUUAUGUGUUGUACACAGACGUCAAUUAAUUGGCGUUUCCUUUAUGUUAAUUUUUUUUUUAUUUGAAAGUGGAUUAUUUUUGGAAAUAAGUGAAAAAAAUGUGUUAGUUUGGGUAUUUAUUUAAAAAAAUGAGUUAUUUAGAUAAAAAUUUCAAAUAUGAAUACAUAAAUUUAUUUGUCAAAAAUGAAUUAAAUAUAAGAUUUUUUUACCCAAAUACCCCUAAUUUUCAAAAAAAAUCCCCAAAUAAUCCUGAUUUCAAAAAAAAUCCCAAACUACCACACUUUUAAGAGGAGGCACCAGACCAAUUGGCGCCAACUCCUAUAGUUAGAGAGGAGGCGUCAAUUGGAUUGGUUAGGGCACAUGGUGCUACCAAUCCAAUUGGCACCCAUGUGUUACUUUUGAGAGGAGGCGCCAAUUGGUCUGGCGCCUCAGUGCGAAGUGCAAUUUUUUUGGUUAUAAGUAGAUGUGUUGCGUAAAUUAUUUUUUCACAUCUCAUUUCAUCAUUUUGAAAACAUGUUUGGUGUUCGUCACCGCUAUGGAAAAGUGAUUUAUUUGAGAGACAAACCUCAGAUGUUGAUGCUCUUCUAGAACAUCACUACUUUCGAUCAACUGAAGAGGGAGUUGGUUCGUUGGUUAGAUGGAAAAAUACCAGAAGGGGAAAAAAUUAGAAGUAUUGAGAGACUCGACAAUAUUUUUGGUUGGGUGCAAAUAAAAAAUGAUAAGGAUGCUAGAGAAAUGAUGUUUGGACGACAUGACAUCAAUUUGAUUGUUGUAAUCAGUUAGAAAUAUUUUGUUUUAAGUUUGCUUAUGUUGUAGUGAUGUUUGUUGUGAACCUUGUUGUAACAAAAAGUUAAUGAUAUAUAAAAAUUGAAGGUUACAAAAAUCCAAUGUUACAAAAAGAUUAUGACUCAGAUGUUGAUUUAAGUUUGCUUAUGUUGUAGUGAUGUUUGUUGUGAACCUUGUUGUAACAAAAAGUUAAUGAUAUAUAAAAAUUGAAGGUUACAAAAAUCCAAUGUUACAAAAAGAUUAUGACUCAGAUGUUGCUCAUCGAUUGGGACAAUUAUUCUUAUUGUGUUCUGGUUGACGAUAUAUAUUACAUAGUCUUAUCAUGUUAUCUGUCGUAUCCAUUCCUGUUCUAAUACGCGUGUUAUUUGGUCGUCUUUUUUUCUUUCUACGCAUCUCGUCGUUGGGCCAAACUAUGUCACCUUCAUAUGGAGGCCAAUAUUCCUCCAUUGGUAGCACUGAGAAGCUUUUGUUAUACACAUUCAUGACGGUAAUGGUCUUGUAAACAUCAGACAGAUGGUUGUAGGCAUCCUGACGAGUAUGUGCGCAUGCCCCAAUGACAUGGGAACAAGGAGUGCAAAAGGCCUGGAACUUUCCACAGUCGCACCAACUUCUAUUUAGUUGUCAGCAUGGGAUAAAUUUGGUCUCCCCUCAUUGUGGUCCAUUGUUUCCUGUACGCUGAAAUUUUGGCAAUGACGGUCAAAGUCUGUUACCAUGUGUGUGCUAGCUUUGAUGCUCUCCUCUUUCAUCAUUUUCAUGCAACACUCACUGAAUAUUUUCCCAGACAUUGACACCUCACUCCAUCUUUCACCUCUGGUUGCGAAGGUAGAAAGCCAACCUAUAAUAGGUUGAUCUGACCAAGGCAGUUAUUGGCAGAUUUCUAAUGCCUUUGAAUACGUCGUUCAUGCAUUCCACAAGGUUUGUUGUCACGUGGCCCCAUCGACAACCUCCGUUAAAUGCCCUUGUCCACUACUCUACUAGUAUGUUAUCCAUCUAUCUUCCUGCAUCUUCAUUAGACAGUCUAAUUUCAUCACGGUAAUAUUGAAAUGACGGCUGAAGUUUUGUGCGAAGGUUCUUAUCUUUGAUUUCGCACAUGAAGUUUUGUGCGAUAUGUCUAAUGUAAUAGACAUGGGUAGAAGGAGGAUCAUGUCAUCCAUUGUCAUGGUUAUUGUAAGCACUCUCAAUGGCAGCAUGUCUAUCAGAAAUCAAACAGAGAUUGACUUGUCGAGUCAUAUGUGUUCUGAGAUGUCGAAGAAAGAAACCCUAAGCACCACCAGAUGUAAGAAAUUUGAAUUUCUCUUGAUCGUAAGUCGGAUGGUAUUGGUGUUUCGAAAAAAAACCCGUAUAACUCAGACUCAUAUGUCUCACCAUUGUAGUGAACAUUGACACUAUAUUUUGGUGAAGAUGACAUUGUAAUAUUUCUUGUGCAGAUGAAAAUUAAUUUCCUGUUGCAGAUGAAUGUGUGUUGAUUGUUGGAUGUAGAUAGUAAGACACUUAAAUAGGUAAGUGAUGUGUCUAACAUGCAAGCAAGUCCAAAGUGAUGUGUCAAAUAUGCAAGCAACUCAGACUCAUGUGUCAAACAUGCAAGUUAGACGGAAGUGAUAUAUUCAGCAUGCAAGAGAGAGGAAAGCCACGUUUCACACAUGCAAGCCCUAACUCCAAAUGAAUUGGCGCUUUCUUUCAAUGCUUACACAUGCGCGUCAGUCCAUUUGGCGACACCAUGUCUUGCAUGCAGACUUCGUAACCAAACAUGCAGAGCCAUGCAUGCGCCAUGCUAGGUAUAGAUGUGUCAUGCAUGAGCCUAGGGAGGCGCCAAUUUGAUUGGCGCUAGCAUGUAGCAAAUGCACAUGGGCGCCAAUUCAUUUGGCUAGCACAUGCAAUCACAUUUUUCCAAGCUUCCACGCUUUUGGAUGUCACACCUUAUAAAUAGGAAAUAGACUCUCACAUUUAUCCCACACCAACACUCACUACUUCCUCAACAACAUCAAAUAUUUCAUCUGCAACAACCUCUUUCAUUUGCACCAACCUCUUUCAUUUGCACCAACCUCUUUCAUCUCCGACAAGAUGUCUAUCCUCAUAAUGGAUGAAUCGCACAGAGGAACAGUUGCAAACAUAUCAACUUAUGUAAGCGCUUAGUUCUUUUGUUAUUUAUCUAGAAUACCUUUUAAUAACAUAUCAACUUAGUAACGUGUUUUGUUGUUUCCUUUAUAGGAUGUUUCAAUGUUCCGUACUCGGGUCCACGAAUAUGUACACAUGGACCCGAUGAUUCAACCGUAUGUCGAACUCGCCGGUUUUGGACAUAUAAGCAAAAUAAUGUCUUGGUCGGUGGAUAAUAAAUUCAUUCUUGCGUUAUGUGAAAGAUGGCUUCCCGAGACACACACAUUCUGGUUUUCAACCGGUGAGUGUACCGUGACAUUAGAAGACGUCUACAAGCUAUUGGGACUACCUAUCGAAGGUAAAGCUGUAAAUAGUAAAACCAACUAUGCGGAUUCAAUUUGUAUGGACCUCUUGAAUGUUUAUUUGUUAGAUGAUAACUCAAGAGGUCAAGGUAUACUUCUUUCAUGCCUUAAGGCAUACUAUAACAACUUACAUUUAGAUGAGCAUUCUAUCGAAGAGGCUCGAAUAAUAAAAACUAGGUGUUACAUUAUGUUUUUAAUUGGUUCUUUUUUAUUUCCCAAAGGUAGUGUUUCUAGUAUGCACGUUAUGUAUUUACCUUUACUAAGACAUGUAGAUAAAAUAGAAAGUUACAGUUGGGGAUCCGCUUGUCUGGCCUAUCUUUAUAGCUCUUUGUAUAAAAAUUCACACAAAGCCACAUCUACCUUUUCUGGAUGUGCUGUUUUGCUCCAAGCACGGGGUUGGUCAAGACUAUCGUCCCUAGCGCCCGUCAACAACAACCAUUUCACAUUCCUAUAUGCACAAAAGUAAGUGGUUUAAAAUGCUAUAUAUUUACUUACUUUACCGAUUAUUAUCUCUAACUAAUAUUUUUACCUUUAUGGUACAGAUGGUCGGCACGUGGUAUGAGUUAUAACAGAUGUCCUAGACAUUGUAUUACCUAGUAUCGCAAUCUCUUGGACCACCUUCGACCGACAGAUGUAUGGAUAAUAACCUAAUUAUUUCGUAAUAAUUUUUUAAUUUCUUCUACCAAGUUUAUAACCUAACAUACGUUCACAUUUCAGUUCAUUUGACGUCCAUACCUAAAUUUGGAUCAUGACCAUGAAAUCAACGAAGAAGACGCGGCCGUAUGGACUGCAUGCACACCAAUCAUAAGAUUCAUCACUGUGGAGAUGCACAAUAGUGAUUGUAAUACCCCAAAUUUUACCCUCAGAUUAGUCGAUUCAUGUCGCAUGUCAUCUCAUUUUCGCAUCAGCUAACUAUUAACGGGUUGUGUAGUUUUGUUUCGUUUUGCAGAAACCGCGUCUGGUACACUUUAGUUGUUAAAGGGCAAAAUGGUCAUUUUCACGUUGUUUACUGACAGUCCUCGAAGCUAAGUUAUCAUCAGGGAUUUAUUGAAUAAUUAGGGCCUUCGCUUCCGAGUUUUUUUAUUUUAUUUUCAUUUUCUUUGAGGAUAAACAGAGAUGCACGGUAACUUUUGGCAUCAGGAUUUUUGAGAUACGGUAAUUAAUUCAACGGGCUGAGACUCUGUCGUCAAUUGAGUUCCGAGACAUUUAUUUUGUCACUUGGGUUGGAGUAUGUUUGAGACAUUAAGCUGGUUCGGUUCAAAUCGGGACAAGAUUCCAUGCGGCGGAAUUUCUGUUUUAAUCAGUCUAUUUUUCUGUUCUUCUGCUAUCUGCCAGUUAUUUUUGAAGCCAAAGCAGUAGAAAUUCUGAUUCGGAUUCGGGUUUUGAUUGUUGUUUGAUUGAGGUUUAUGGGCUGAAUUGGUUUAUGGUUGGGUAUUUUAUUCAGAGACGCAAAUUGAAUUUUAAUGCGGAAUAUAUUUCUGUUUUCACUGUUAAUCGGUUUUCUCUGCUUCCUUCCUGUUUUAAUUCGUUCAAGACUAUCAUCAAUUCUAUCAUCAAGCGCGAUUUAAUUUGGAAAUAUUGGAUUGGAACUGAAGGUUACAUCAUGUUUUAAGCAACACGGUGUGAGAUGACGAAGUUUAAUUCAUUUGGGUUUUUCUGGAAUUUAUUCAUAUUGGUUUCAUACGGUGAAGUUGGUUUUAUUAUUAAUCGUCUAAAUUUAACUGAUUAAUUUCAUUCAGAGAAUUUUGACCAAGUUGAUUUUUAAUCAGAUAUUGUUUUGGGUCGUUUGGUUGCGACAAAAUUAAAUCAUGGAAAGAAGAAUUAAACGUUGUUCUUGGGUAGAAAUGUUUGUGAAUUUUAUUCAUAAAUAAUUUUAUUACAAAAUAUAAAAGGAAAUACAUUUUGAUUUUUAUUUCUAGGUCCUAUGAUCUUCAUGCCGGUUCUUCAUGUUUCUUCAUCCGAUGUUUCCUUCCGUACCUGCACACAGACAAAGAACAGAAAAGUGGAGUAAAAAAUGUUAGAAUUUAUUUUGACACCCUCAGAAAAAUGUCAUCACUGGGUGUCGGGAGGGCACGACAAUUGCCGAAACCAACUCCCAUUCCGAUUCACGACCUCGGCAUCAACCGGUAGUAUCCGUUCUUUUCGGGACAACAGAGAAGAAGAGAAAAAGAAGUCCUGGGCCAAAAAUGAUUUUGCCGGAAAAUUGUUUCGAACCCAAACGGAUUACCCACAUGAAUCUAAAAUCCAUAUCCCUCUAUCAAGUAAAUAUAUCCAAGACAAAUCCAAAUAUCCAGAUUUCAAAGCCAACCGAAAAUCCAAAUCUGGAGCUAUGGAUCCAAGAAUAAAUAUAUCCAAGACAAAUCCAAAUAUCCAGAUUUCAAAGCCAACCGAAAAUCCAAAUCUGGAGCUAUGGAUCCAAGAAGAAUAUUUUGGCAAAUCCAAUAUCUGAAAAUAAAACGGAUAUCCAAACCAACAUCAGAAAAGAAUCAAACUCAUCCAAGAUCCGUAAAUCAUAAUUAAAUCCAAAACAAUAUCAGCCAGCAAAUCCGAAAUAAAAUCAAUAAACGUAAAAUCCGGAUCCAAAAGCACAACAAUAACAUAACAAAGCCGUUCAGUCAAAGACUCAUUAACAAUCUGUUCCGAAAAUACCUCAACAAAUCUAGCAACAUCUUCAGCGGAAAUCAUGAAAAAUCAAAGCCCACAGUGGAUUCGAGGGGGAUAUAAAUAUUAAGAGGGAUCCGCAAUCCUGGGGGGGGAAGAAAAAAGCCAGAAUCGAAGCUUCGUCGUAACGGAUCAACGUCGGGAACUCGUGGCGGCCGUGGAUCCUUCCGAUUGCCACUACCACCGGGACCCAUUACCGUCAUCGAGCAACGCCUCCGUCGCAAAACAUCAUCGGCUAACGAACCUCAACAAACGCCGUCGAUAACAAACGCGUACAGGUAGGAUUUUAUUACCGUAAAUCGUUUUGCUCUUAUGUGUGCAUUUCAGGUUUAAGAAGAAGAUGCGUAGGAUAGAAGAAAGAAACAUGGAGCAUGCAACAAUGGCCGCCGCCGGCGGUAUAAGGAUUGACAAACCCUAGCAGCAAGCACAAAGCCAAAUGACCUUUUUCUUUUCACGUUUAUCUUGUCUGUUGGGUUUUGGUAAAUUGGUAUUAGUAAUUGUUUUAAAUAAAAAAGCACCACUAGUAGUCAAUUAGUCAUUAACAUAGUAAAUUGAAAAGAUUUCUCAUAACUUCUAAUUAAUAAAAUUAGUAACGUUAAUAAUUGCUAUUAAGUAAGAUUUUUUUUAUAUAUAACUUUUACGUACCAAAUUUCCUUUGUUUAAAAAAGCUAGGUACAUAAUUUAUAAUCAAGUUUGUUUUUGUUAUUUAGAUUAAUUUGUUUUUAUUCAUAAUUUAUAAUUAAUUUGUUUUAAAAGCUAGGUACAUAAUUUAUAAUUUGUUUUUAUCAUUCUCCACCGUUUAAAAAAGGAUAAUAAUAACACAGUUUUUUUUAAUAUUUAGAUUAAUUUGUUUUUAUUUAUUUACCGCAAAAGUUAAAAAUAAGUUCUUUUCUUAAUCAAAAAACCUUUCAAAUUAAAACAAUUUGUUUUUUAGAAAAAAGGCAUUAGCCUUAAAAUAACCCUUCCUUAUCAAAAAUAUAAAAAAAUAUAUAAUAACUUUUCUUUUCAACAAAGAAAAAUCUCAAAAAUUCAGUUUUGACUUAUCCGUUUCAUUUUCGUCUAACCCCCGUUAAUUUGUUUGUUUCAGUUUAUCAUUAUUAUUUCAUUUGUUCGUUUUUGUUCCAUGGAUGUAAUUUAUGCGAGGCCAUGGUCGCGGUUUAUUUUAUUUCGCAUUUUUGGGGAUUUGUAAUUUACGCGAGUGGUCGCGAUGCUUUCCUUUACUGCUUGCUUUAUUUUCAUAUUUUUUAUGCCUGCCAUGUAAUAAUUCUGUUGCUUGCAUGUUUUUACCGUCUUGCCCUCCGAAGGAAUUAGGUUUAGCAGUGUGACCGCCGAGUCAAUAACCCUAAAUUUUGACCCUUUUCAAACCCUUGACCGUUUCCAAAACCUCAAUAGCCUAGGCGUCCUGCCGUGGACGAAAACGCCCUUUACCCUAGCAUUAGGUCAAAGAGUCGCCGUACUCUGCUUUAGGGUUUCCCGCCGUGGAAUCCCUAAUUUUAGCCCUAAUUUCAAUUCAACGCCUCAACGUAGAAAUAGGAGUUUCAACGCUCCACGUAAGCGUUUCCUUAAGAAAUGCUUAUGCCCCAUCGAAACCUUGACCACAGUCAAGAAGUUUCUAGCCUCCCUUUCGAGGGGAACUACAAUUACUCUGAUUCCAUUCCCGUCAGGAUAUGUAGGCACAAGAUGCGACGUCUUGCCGAGUAAACUUAGGACUAACCCUUAGGUCUCUUUUAGGUCACUUUAUCCUUUAGCUCAGUACAUAUUCCAAACAGAUAAUAAAAAUAAAAAGACAUACAAUAAACAAAAGGUUCCUGUAGAGUACUACAGAAGUUUAGGGUGCUAGUACCUUCCCUAAGCUUAACCAACCCCUUACCUAGGUAUCUCCCCGCAUUGUGCUUACGAUGCAAGAAUAGGUUUUUCCUCUUUUGACCUUUUCCUUCGGAUAAAUCAAAGAGCGGUUGUGAAUUAAGAAUUGUGAUUCAAGCUAAUUAAUAGUUUGAUAUCCUAUUUCCACCGCAACAGAAAAUGGCGACUUCACUGGGGACGCUCAUAAUUAAGGGUUGCCCCUAUUUUGUUUAUUGUAUGAUAUUUUAUACUAUUAAUUGUCUGUAUAUAUUAUUGUGUAUUAUGGGGGGUAUCUUUGUUGUGAGAUAAGUCCUACACCCGGAUUUGAGUGAACUUAUUAUAGGAGGUGAUAGAUUCAACGAAGCUUAUAGGGAGUUGAAUCCCGACCAAGCCGACUUGAGAAUCACCGCUCAGUUGAGUCCCUUUUGAAAGGUAGUUCUGUUGAACGAGUAAUCGUGAAGACACUUACUAUCUUCGAUGGGAGCCUAUGACACUGGGGACCGUAGUUACCUUAACACCACUUUGGCCUUAUCUAGGAUGUAGUGCGGGGACUAUGAGGGAGUAAUCCCAAAAUAGUUGCUACGCGAUACCACACUCAAAAGAGGUUCUCUUGAGAAUAUUAUUAACCACCGAGUCAAUUGGGAAAUUGAUAAUAUCAGAAAGAUGGACUGAUGACUUUGGGCACUGAUUUGGAACCCUUGUUCUGCAGGUACGAUUAACCCUAUAGUACAUACCUCUGUGGGAUGGGUAGACCUUGACUUCUGCUCAUAUACCUUUAACCUAGGACUUUGUGUGUUUAUGUGCAUUACAUCCAUAAAACAUCACAUUGCAUUACAUCUCAUGGAAUUCAAACUUUAUUUAUGAACAUCGCAGGCUACCAUGGAUUACAAUAAGAGAAACACCUUGAAAUACUCUUUUAAGAAUUUUAAGUUGGAUGACCUAAGGAAGCUAGGAGCUUUGGUUGAAGAUCAAGAGGGGUUCAAGGACAAGUACGGAAGGCUAUUAUCCUUAUUGAGAAUCCAAGUGAAGGAUGGGCUUCUUUCUACGUUACUACAGUUCUAUGAUCNNNNNNNNNNNNNNNNNNNNNNNNNNNNNNNNNNNNNNNNNNNNNNNNNNNNNNNNNNNNNNNNNNNNNNNNNNNNNNNNNNNNNNNNNNNNNNNNNNNNNNNNNNNNNNNNNNNNNNNNNNNNNNNNNNNNNNNNNNNNNNNNNNNNNNNNNNNNNNNNNNNNNNNNNNNNNNNNNNNNNNNNNNNNNNNNNNNNNNNNNNNNNNNNNNNNNNNNNNNNNNNNNNNNNNNNNNNNNNNNNNNNNNNNNNNNNNNNNNNNNNNNNNNNNNNNNNNNNNNNNNNNNNNNNNNNNNNNNNNNNNNNNNNNNNNNNNNNNNNNNNNNNNNNNNNNNNNNNNNNNNNNNNNNNNNNNNNNNNNNNNNNNNNNNNNNNNNNNNNNNNNNNNNNNNNNNNNNNNNNNNNNNNNNNNNNNNNNNNNNNNNNNNNNNNNNNNNNNNNNNNNNNNNNNNNNNNNNNNNNNNNNNNNNNNNNNNNNNNNNNNNNNNNNNNNNNNNNNNNNNNNNNNNNNNNNNNNNNNNNNNNNNNNNNNNNNNNNNNNNNNNNNNNNNNNNNNNNNNNNNNNNNNNNNNNNNNNNNNNNNNNNNNNNNNNNNNNNNNNNNNNNNNNNNNNNNNNNNNNNNNNNNNNNNNNNNNNNNNNNNNNNNNNNNNNNNNNNNNNNNNNNNNNNNNNNNNNNNNNNNNNNNNNNNNNNNNNNNNNNNNNNNNNNNNNNNNNNNNNNNNNNNNNNNNNNNNNNNNNNNNNNNNNNNNNNNNNNNNNNNNNNNNNNNNNNNNNNNNNNNNNNNNNNNNNNNNNNNNNNNNNNNNNNNNNNNNNNNNNNNNNNNNNNNNNNNNNNNNNNNNNNNNNNNNNNNNNNNNNNNNNNNNNNNNNNNNNNNNNNNNNNNNNNNNNNNNNNNNNNNNNNNNNNNNNNNNNNNNNNNNNNNNNNNNNNNNNNNNNNNNNNNNNNNNNNNNNNNNNNNNNNNNNNNNNNNNNNNNNNNNNNNNNNNNNNNNNNNNNNNNNNNNNNNNNNNNNNNNNNNNNNNNNNNNNNNNNNNNNNNNNNNNNNNNNNNNNNNNNNNNNNNNNNNNNNNNNNNNNNNNNNNNNNNNNNNNNNNNNNNNNNNNNNNNNNNNNNNNNNNNNNNNNNNNNNNNNNNNNNNNNNNNNNNNNNNNNNNNNNNNNNNNNNNNNNNNNNNNNNNNNNNNNNNNNNNNNNNNNNNNNNNNNNNNNNNNNNNNNNNNNNNNNNNNNNNNNNNNNNNNNNNNNNNNNNNNNNNNNNNNNNNNNNNNNNNNNNNNNNNNNNNNNNNNNNNNNNNNNNNNNNNNNNNNNNNNNNNNNNNNNNNNNNNNNNNNNNNNNNNNNNNNNNNNNNNNNNNNNNNNNNNNNNNNNNNNNNNNNNNNNNNNNNNNNNNNNNNNNNNNNNNNNNNNNNNNNNNNNNNNNNNNNNNNNNNNNNNNNNNNNNNNNNNNNNNNNNNNNNNNNNNNNNNNNNNNNNNNNNNNNNNNNNNNNNNNNNNNNNNNNNNNNNNNNNNNNNNNNNNNNNNNNNNNNNNNNNNNNNNNNNNNNNNNNNNNNNNNNNNNNNNNNNNNNNNNNNNNNNNNNNNNNNNNNNNNNNNNNNNNNNNNNNNNNNNNNNNNNNNNNNNNNNNNNNNNNNNNNNNNNNNNNNNNNNNNNNNNNNNNNNNNNNNNNNNNNNNNNNNNNNNNNNNNNNNNNNNNNNNNNNNNNNNNNNNNNNNNNNNNNNNNNNNNNNNNNNNNNNNNNNNNNNNNNNNNNNNNNNNNNNNNNNNNNNNNNNNNNNNNNNNNNNNNNNNNNNNNNNNNNNNNNNNNNNNNNNNNNNNNNNNNNNNNNNNNNNNNNNNNNNNNNNNNNNNNNNNNNNNNNNNNNNNNNNNNNNNNNNNNNNNNNNNNNNNNNNNNNNNNNNNNNNNNNNNNNNNNNNNNNNNNNNNNNNNNNNNNNNNNNNNNNNNNNNNNNNNNNNNNNNNNNNNNNNNNNNNNNNNNNNNNNNNNNNNNNNNNNNNNNNNNNNNNNNNNNNNNNNNNNNNNNNNNNNNNNNNNNNNNNNNNNNNNNNNNNNNNNNNNNNNNNNNNNNNNNNNNNNNNNNNNNNNNNNNNNNNNNNNNNNNNNNNNNNNNNNNNNNNNNNNNNNNNNNNNNNNNNNNNNNNNNNNNNNNNNNNNNNNNNNNNNNNNNNNNNNNNNNNNNNNNNNNNNNNNNNNNNNNNNNNNNNNNNNNNNNNNNNNNNNNNNNNNNNNNNNNNNNNNNNNNNNNNNNNNNNNNNNNNNNNNNNNNNNNNNNNNNNNNNNNNNNNNNNNNNNNNNNNNNNNNNNNNNNNNNNNNNNNNNNNNNNNNNNNNNNNNNNNNNNNNNNNNNNNNNNNNNNNNNNNNNNNNNNNNNNNNNNNNNNNNNNNNNNNNNNNNNNNNNNNNNNNNNNNNNNNNNNNNNNNNNNNNNNNNNNNNNNNNNNNNNNNNNNNNNNNNNNNNNNNNNNNNNNNNNNNNNNNNNNNNNNNNNNNNNNNNNNNNNNNNNNNNNNNNNNNNNNNNNNNNNNNNNNNNNNNNNNNNNNNNNNNNNNNNNNNNNNNNNNNNNNNNNNNNNNNNNNNNNNNNNNNNNNNNNNNNNNNNNNNNNNNNNNNNNNNNNNNNNNNNNNNNNNNNNNNNNNNNNNNNNNNNNNNNNNNNNNNNNNNNNNNNNNNNNNNNNNNNNNNNNNNNNNNNNNNNNNNNNNNNNNNNNNNNNNNNNNNNNNNNNNNNNNNNNNNNNNNNNNUUCCUGAAGGUUAGGGAGAGAUAAUCAACGUCAAGACCAAAACUGAUCGCCACGGGUUGGGUUACAGACCAACUCAUGAUAAAGCUUCUACAAAUGUCGAAGGGCGUCCGAAGUUUUUUCAAGAAGUUUUUGUCAGCAGAGGUUUCCAAGUCAAUGCCAUCAGUGACUAUGAUGAAGACGAAGAUCUGAGUAACCUGGUAUUCAAGAGCGAUGCAGCUUUGAGCAACUGGGAGGCUAUAGAGAUUCCUAUUAUUUUUCCCGUUUCGAAGUAAAUUAACAGUUCCAUUUGUGUUUUCACAUCCAUAGCUCUGCCCAAGGCUAUUGGAUUGCUUUGUAGGGCCACCUUUCAUUUUUAAAACAAUUAUUAAUCAAUGCAUUUUGUUAUGCUUCCACUUUGUUCUAUUAGCAUUUUUUUUUCUCGUUUUCACCUUUUAAAAUGAAAUUGGCAAUCUUUUAAAAAGCUACAAAAUAAAGCAUUUCCACUCUCUUGUAUCUUUAUUUGAACAUUCAAUAAAACAAGCCUUUCAACAUGCAGUGACAUUACAACCCUUGUUGAAUCCAAUGACUCUAUCAUCUCUCCUGAUUGGGAUUCACCCAUUUAUCAAGCUGAAGAUGGGGGUGAAGAGGAUUUUGAAGUACCCGCAGAACUGACGAGAUUGGUUGAGUACGAGUACACAAAGCUUCAACCGCACAGGGAGCAGGUAGAUUUGAUUAAUCUCGGCACAGAUGAAGACAAGAAAGAGGUCAAAAUUGGCGCAAUACCUGGGGUCGAGGUCAAGCNNNNNNNNNNNNNNNNNNNNNNNNNNNNNNNNNNNNNNNNNNNNNNNNNNNNNNNNNNNNNNNNNNNNNNNNNNNNNNNNNNNNNNNNNNNNNNNNNNNNNNNNNNNNNNNNNNNNNNNNNNNNNNNNNNNNNNNNNNNNNNNNNNNNNNNNNNNNNNNNNNNNNNNNNNNNNNNNNNNNNNNNNNNNNNNNNNNNNNNNNNNNNNNNNNNNNNNNNNNNNNNNNNNNNNNNNNNNNNNNNNNNNNNNNNNNNNNNNNNNNNNNNNNNNNNNNNNNNNNNNNNNNNNNNNNNNNNNNNNNNNNNNNNNNNNNNNNNNNNNNNNNNNNNNNNNNNNNNNNNNNNNNNNNNNNNNNNNNNNNNNNNNNNNNNNNNNNNNNNNNNNNNNNNNNNNNNNNNNNNNNNNNNNNNNNNNNNNNNNNNNNNNNNNNNNNNNNNNNNNNNNNNNNNNNNNNNNNNNNNNNNNNNNNNNNNNNNNNNNNNNNNNNNNNNNNNNNNNNNNNNNNNNNNNNNNNNNNNNNNNNNNNNNNNNNNNNNNNNNNNNNNNNNNNNNNNNNNNNNNNNNNNNNNNNNNNNNNNNNNNNNNNNNNNNNNNNNNNNNNNNNNNNNNNNNNNNNNNNNNNNNNNNNNNNNNNNNNNNNNNNNNNNNNNNNNNNNNNNNNNNNNNNNNNNNNNNNNNNNNNNNNNNNNNNNNNNNNNNNNNNNNNNNNNNNNNNNNNNNNNNNNNNNNNNNNNNNNNNNNNNNNNNNNNNNNNNNNNNNNNNNNNNNNNNNNNNNNNNNNNNNNNNNNNNNNNNNNNNNNNNNNNNNNNNNNNNNNNNNNNNNNNNNNNNNNNNNNNNNNNNNNNNNNNNNNNNNNNNNNNNNNNNNNNNNNNNNNNNNNNNNNNNNNNNNNNNNNNNNNNNNNNNNNNNNNNNNNNNNNNNNNNNNNNNNNNNNNNNNNNNNNNNNNNNNNNNNNNNNNNNNNNNNNNNNNNNNNNNNNNNNNNNNNNNNNNNNNNNNNNNNNNNNNNNNNNNNNNNNNNNNNNNNNNNNNNNNNNNNNNNNNNNNNNNNNNNNNNNNNNNNNNNNNNNNNNNNNNNNNNNNNNNNNNNNNNNNNNNNNNNNNNNNNNNNNNNNNNNNNNNNNNNNNNNNNNNNNNNNNNNNNNNNNNNNNNNNNNNNNNNNNNNNNNNNNNNNNNNNNNNNNNNNNNNNNNNNNNNNNNNNNNNNNNNNNNNNNNNNNNNNNNNNNNNNNNNNNNNNNNNNNNNNNNNNNNNNNNNNNNNNNNNNNNNNNNNNNNNNNNNNNNNNNNNNNNNNNNNNNNNNNNNNNNNNNNNNNNNNNNNNNNNNNNNNNNNNNNNNNNNNNNNNNNNNNNNNNNNNNNNNNNNNNNNNNNNNNNNNNNNNNNNNNNNNNNNNNNNNNNNNNNNNNNNNNNNNNNNNNNNNNNNNNNNNNNNNNNNNNNNNNNNNNNNNNNNNNNNNNNNNNNNNNNNNNNNNNNNNNNNNNNNNNNNNNNNNNNNNNNNNNNNNNNNNNNNNNNNNNNNNNNNNNNNNNNNNNNNNNNNNNNNNNNNNNNNNNNNNNNNNNNNNNNNNNNNNNNNNNNNNNNNNNNNNNNNNNNNNNNNNNNNNNNNNNNNNNNNNNNNNNNNNNNNNNNNNNNNNNNNNNNNNNNNNNNNNNNNNNNNNNNNNNNNNNNNNNNNNNNNNNNNNNNNNNNNNNNNNNNNNNNNNNNNNNNNNNNNNNNNNNNNNNNNNNNNNNNNNNNNNNNNNNNNNNNNNNNNNNNNNNNNNNNNNNNNNNNNNNNNNNGAUUCGAGAUGAGGUUAAGAAACAGUUGGAUGCGGGUUUCCUUGCAGUUGCGAAGUAUCCUGAUUGGGUUGCCAACAUUGUUCCAGUGCCCAAAAAGGACGGUAAGGUCAGAAUGUGCGUAGACUACAGGGAUCUGAACAAAGCUAGUCCAAAAGACGAUUUCCCAUUGCCUCAUAUUGAUACCCUUGUCGAUAAUACAGCUAGUUUUGCAGUUUUCUCAUUCAUGGAUGGUUUCUCCGGUUAUAACCAGAUCAAGAUGGAUCCCGCCGACAGAGAAAAGACUACAUUCAUCACUCCUUGGGGAACCUUCUGUUAUAAAGUUAUGCCUUUCGGUUUGAAGAACGCAGGGGCAACCUAUCAACGUGCUAUGACGACUCUCUUUCAUGACAUGAUGCACAAAGAAAUCGAAGUGUAUGUGGAUGAUAUGAUUGCCAAAUCUCAUAACGAAGAGGAACAUUUGGUUCAUCUGUUAAAAUUGUUUGAACGACUCCGGAAAUAUCAGUUGAAACUAAAUCCCGCUAAGUGUAUUUUUGGUGUCAGAUCUGGAAAGCUACUUGGUUUCAUCGUCAACCAACGAGGAAUCGAGGUAGACCCUGAUAAAGUCCGAGCCAUUCAAGACAUGCCGGCUCCGCAGACCUAAACCCAAGUCAGAGGUUUUCUUGGACGUUUGAACUACAUCUCCCGGUUUAUAUCUAACCUGACUGCUACUUGUGAGCCGAUAUUAAAGUUGCUAUGCAAAGGCCAGACUAUUGAUUGGAAUCCUGACUGUCAGCGGGCGUUUGAAAAGAUCAAGGAUUACUUGCAAGAGCCUCCUAUCUUAAUCCCUCCUGUUCCUGGAAGACCUUUGUUCAUGUACCUGACGGUUCUCGAGAAGUCUAUGGGUUGCGUGCUGGGGCAACACGAUGAGACUGGAAGAAAAGAACAUGCUAUAUACUACUUGAGCAAGAAGUUCACCAAUUGUGAAAACAGAUACCCACUCUUGGAGAAAACUUGUUGUGCGCUAGCAUGGGCUGCUAGGCGUCUCAGGCAAUACAUGAUGUGUCAUACUACCUUGUUGAUUUCGAAGAUGGAUCCAAGAAAGUACAUUUUCGAAAAGCCUGCUCAGACAGGGAGACUUGCUCGUUGGCACAUGUUGUUAUCAGAAUAUGACAUCCAGUACGUACCUCAGAAAGCUAUCAAAGGAAGCAUCUUAUCAGAUUAUCUUGCGGACCAACCGGUCGAAGAUUACGAGCCUCUCAAGUUUGACUUCCCGGACGAAGACAUUAUGUGGGUAAAAGAUUUCGAGAAGCCAGAGCCCGAGGGGGGUCCCGAACCGGGUCUCUGGUGGAAGAUGAUGUUUGAUGGUUCCUCAAAUUACAGUGGGCACGGCAUAGGCGCCGUUUUGAUGAAUCCAAAAGGUGGCUAUACCCCAUUUACAGCAAGGUUAGACUUUGAAUGCACGAACAAUAUCGCCGAAUAUGAAGCAUGCAUCCUUGGACUUGAAGCAGCUAUUGACCUCCGAAUCAAACUUCUUGAAGUAAGCGGAGAUUCAGCUUUGGUUAUCUAUCAAGUGAAAGGUGAAUGGGAAACCAAGAAUGAGAAGCUAGUCCCUUACAAAGCCUAUAUUGUGGAGUUGAUUAAAUACUUCGAUGAGAUCAAGUUCGAGCAUGUUCCGAGGUCUGAGAAUCAUAUUGCUGACGCCUUAGCCAUGUUAGCAUCCAUGUGGAAGGUCAAAUUUGUCAAUGCAGCGCCACUCAUUCGAAUCGAACGUAGAAUUGAACCCGCCUACUGUCUGGUGAUUGAAGAAGAUGAAACUGAUGAAAAGCCUUGGUUUCAUGACAUCAAGAAUUAUUUGCUCACGCAAGAGUAUCCACCGGAUGCUUCUCAUCUGGACAAAAGGACUUUGAGAAGAUUGGCAUCCAAGUUCUUCAUCAGCAAUGACGUGCUAUACAAACGAAACCACGACAUGGUUCUACUUAGAUGUGUUGAUAAACGUGAAGCCGAUAUGUUACUCCAGGAGAUUCAUGAAGGGACGUUCGGAACUCAUGCCAACGGUUAUGCCAUGUCCAAGAAAAUCUUGAGGGCUGGAUAUUACUGGUUAACUAUGGAAUCAGAUUGCAUCCGAUACGCCAGGAAGUGUCACAAAUGUCAGGUUUAUGCCGACAAAAUGCAUGUACCUCCGGCACCGUUGAACGUUUUGACUUCGCCGUGGCCUUUCUCAAUGUGGGGCAUUGACAUGAUUGGGGCAAUUGAGCCGAAAGCUUCUAACGGUCACCGGUUCAUUUUAGUCGCUAUUGAUUACUUCACCAAGUGGGUAGAAGCCGCUUCCUAUGCCAACGUGACCAAGCAGGUUGUUGCUCGCUUCAUCAAGAGGGAGAUUAUCUGCCGCUAUGGAAUUCCGAGCCGAAUCAUAACUGACAAUGGUACCAAUCUGAAUAACAAGACUAUGAAAGAGUUGUGUGACAACUUCAAGAUUGCGCACCACAAUUCAUCUCCUUACCGUCCUAAGAUGAAUGGAGCUGUUGAAGCCGCGAAUAAAAAUAUCAAGAAGAUCCUACAAAAGAUGGUCAAGACUUACAAGGAUUGGCAUGAGAUGUUACCGUUCGCUUUGCAUGGAUACAGAACUACAGUCCGAACUUCAACAGGGGCAACCCCUUUCUCAUUGGUAUAUGGAACAGACGCCGUCCUCCCCAUUGAAGUUGAGCUACCUUCCUUAAGGGUAUUGAGGGAAGCCAAGCUAGAUGAAGCCGAGUGGGUUCAAGACAGAUUCGACCAGCUGAACCUCAUCGACGAGAAGCGUUUGACGGCUAUGUGCCAUGGUCAGCUAUACCAGAAACGGAUGAAGAGAGCCUUCGGCAAGAAAGUCUGAAUCCGUGAGUUUCAACAAGGAGAACUUGUACUCAAGAAGAUCUUGCCAGUUCACAAGGACAUGCGCGGGAAGUGGAUGCCCAAUUACGACGGUCCAUUUGUUGUUAAGACAGUCUUCUCCGGAGGAUCGCUAAUUCUUACAACAAUGGAUGGAGAAGAGCUCGCACAUCCUGUGAACUCCGAUGCAGUCCGAAAAUAUUAUGCCUAAAGAAAAUAAAAAACAAAUAAUACUAUGGCUUGCUAAGUUGAAAACCCGAAAGGGCGGCUUAGGCAAAAAUGAGCGUCCUGGUGGAUUGAAAACCCGAAAGGGCAGUCCAGGCAAAAGUUAGGGACAUGGCAUUUCACUGCAUCGGAUGACACCAAACAUCGCAGAUACAUUUACAGAAGUCCACUUCAAAUCCAAUCACUCUCUUCAUGAGCAAGGUUUUGGGUAGUCUUAGUCAUUAGGGAUAGUAGGUCGUUGGAUUCAAUGUAACCUUUCCCAUAUUGCCAAUUUAAAAUUGUAAUUUUCCAUGGAGCUAUGCCUUUAGCAAGUUACCAUUCUUCAAUAAAAUUUACCUUUUGCUAUUCAAUUUCCUUGUUCACAGUAUCUCCGUUUUAUUUUGUUAUGCAAUUUGCUUUUGUUAAUAAAAUUUGAACGUGAAAAGUGUUUUCAAAACCAAAAUAAUUUUCUCGGAAAUACAUUUGGAAACAAAAGUUACUUUGACUCAUGGAAAUCUGUGAAGGAUCUCUUCGCUCCCCGGUAAGUCUCGGUGUUGCAUAAGCAUUUGAUCAUUACCAUCAUAUUCCCAGAGACAGUCCCCAGCGAGAUUUUAAGUUGACAACACUUUUGUGAUUCAUUCGAUAAUCCCCAGUGACUCUCAAGACUGCAGAGCUAUCCCCGGUAUCCUCCAAGUGAUAUCUAUUCUGGAAGGCCCAUCCUCAAUGGGAUCAUCUGUUCCUCAGUAGAAUUGCCUUACUUGCCUUAGGAAUACUUCCCCCAGGAAUGUCUGUUGAAUUCUCCCCAGUAGGAAGCCGAGGUACUAUUCCCAGGAAGUUGCUACGUUGUCUCCAUGAAGUUGCGUAAUUCCAUAUCGUCCCCGCGAAGCGGAUAUUUAUCCCCGGAAGUCUCUGAUCCUAAGAGUUCUUUGGCUGACUAUGGUUCAUGACAGUUAUCCCCCACAGAUAGUCCUGACAUUGUAUCCUCAUGCAUAAGUCAAAGAUCCCCAGUGGAAGUCGUGAUAUCAUACUCUCCAGUAAAGCCGUAUCAUAUCCCCAUAUGAAAGUCACGAUAUUCUCUCCCUAGGGAAGUUAUACUUUGAAGCCAAAUUCGGUUCUCCCAUCAGCUCUUCUUAUCCCCUGAGAGGGGUACUGUUGCAGAGGUCCCCGGGUAUUCCCAUCGAAAUGCUUAUUUCAUCUCAGGUCCUCCGCUCGUCGGUUUUGUCAGCAUACGCAUGAGCCUAAGCAUUGCAUACUCAUUGCAUGACGUUUUCAUACACAUUUACAUACACAAUAGUAUACACUUUGGCAUGCGCAUUAGCAUGUUUGCUAUUCAUCGUCAUCCUUUGUCGUUACCUCCGAGUAACUAGGUUAGUCCGCUCUCUCCAAGUAGAUCGUCAGCCUAAGCAUAAAAUACUAUUUAUUUCCAGCUAAUCGCCACAGAGUUCAACCCUCGUGGGCGAUGGUUAUUUCAGCUAUCUUUCCGUGUUAGGAUAAGAUAAUCCCCAUUUGAGGUUAUUUCCCCAAUGGAGUCUUUCUAGCCCAGUUCUAGAUCGAACUUCGGUCCCGUCGGUCACUGAACCUACCUGGACGUGCAUUUAUUUUGCACUAUCUUUCAAGGAAAUCAUUUACAAUCCUUUGCAGACAAGCGACAGUUCCCAGCCGAGGAGCGUAUCACCUACAUCAAACCUUNGUGACAAUUCCCUCCAGCGGAGCUCAUCAAUCAAUCAAUUUUUCAUCUAUUAUCCACAGAUAAGCAACAACCUCUUUAUUGGAAAGCUUAUUUAGUUUGGCAUAUAAGUCCCUUCCAACGAUAAGUGGCAGUUCUCUCUCGAGAAAGCUUAUUAGGGCAUUUCCCAUUAAAGUCCAUUUAUUUUGGCAUACAACCGGUUUUACCCCGUAUAUUUCCUACGGAUUCCUAAAAAUUCCGUUUGAUCCUGUCACGAGGGAGAGUUUCCAGAAGCUCGGAGGUUAUGCUUUGCUCAAUGCUCCAGCAUCUUGUUAAUCGAUCCUACAGUCGUGCCGAUCCUACUUUUUUACCCUAGAGUAUCAGCCGGUCACACCUGAACCUGUUGAUCAUUUACUCUCAGAUAUUCCCCAGUGGAGGCCAUUCCAUCGGUGCCAUCUCCAUUGAGGAUCCCGUUUUACCAUUCCCUUUCUAAAAGUUACGGUUGGUCGUGCUCGCACCAGUUGACCAUCAUCUUUAGAAUUCCCCGUGUCACACUAUUUCCCCAGUGCGUCAUAUUCCCUAGUGUGGUUCGUUCAUUGCGUCUGUCCCCUGUGUCGUCGUAUCGUCUGUAUCAUUGCAUUUAUCAUUCCAUCAUCCGCAUCAUACGCAUCAUAGCAUGGUCAACAUUAUUCUAUUCCGUUUUGUCCCUAGCAGUGCAUAUCGCCGCAUCUAAGGGCAAAAUUUUCGGUUAUCUAUAUUUAAAUCUCUCCACCGUGAUUUCUCGAGUCUCUGCCGCUCAAAUCAUCCGGUGUAGCUAUUUAAAUAGGGGCAACUGUNACGUCACAUCCUUGCUUACCACAAGCCCACAACGCGCCCGUUCUAUUCCAAGCCUCACUUGUCGAGACCAGGUUUCUCUGUAUCUCGCCUCCGAUUUACCUCCUUCUCCGAAUUAUCACAAGCAAUCCAAGGUGUCGCCCAGUGCUGAGUCAAACGAACCGAGGAACAUGACCUCGCCAGACAUGUCUCCACAGGAGACCAGAUCCAUAGACUUUGUCCCCGAUUCCGAUGACUCACCGAGUUGUAUACCUAUACUUAGUGCUAACGCUGGUUUGGUCACACUACUCGAGGCCUGGUGUGCUUGGACCCGGCCUCCGAAUCCUUUGCCAAGCCAACCUAACAACGCCGCCGCUCAUGUAUUUUCGUGUUUAUUUCAUGAGGGGCGGUCGCCAGUCAGACUUUGGAGAACGGUUAUGCCCUUUUGAAAAACCUUGUAGGGAUUGAAUGAAAAGAAGAUCUGUCAUUCACAAUGGGUGCCGAUGCCGCCCCAAUGUCAAGAAGUAACCCCUUUGCCUGACCUGAGGCUGCCUUAAUAGCCAUUGAUCCUGCGUCUGAAAGAAAUGUCUACAUCUCCUUGCAUCGAGCUUCAGAUUUAUAGACUCCGGGCUCCACAGGCAAUUCCCAUUUCAAAGCGUUUAAAGCAAGCGCCUAGUACGGUGUUUCCCAACUCGUUGUACGAGCUGUAGGAGUGAUAAGGGUGUUGGUUCGGAAAGACGUUCAGUCUGAGAUUGCAUUUUGAUGAUUGAUUGGUUUUUGCAAGUAGUGGGUAACUGGCUAUGACGGGGCGCAAUGAAGUUUCAUGCUGGCCAGUAUCUCGAAGGGCCGAGCCUCAAAAAUCUGCACGGGCUACGACAUCAAGGGGUCAUAUGAUACCGUCUGUUUAAUUUCUGUGCCAGCCACCAACACACUUCCCUGUCUGCCAUCGUUGUGUUUUUUAUACCGUUGACAUCCCGUUACUCAAAUGGUUGAGCACGUUCCCUUCUAGCCUAAAAUCGAUUGAAUUAUCUUCAAAAACCAGGAGUCCAUUAUCCCUCAGUGAUCCCACAAGCACGUAACCCUGGUGAUAAGUUAUGCAUGAUUGUAACCGUAUGGACUUAAACGAAUCCUGGGAAGUACCGGCCAUAGAGAAGAAGUGAAAGGUUGAUGGUGAACCGGGACGUGCGGACUCAACAUAUUGCUGGCUGGUCGCCCUACAGGCAUUUGAUUCCGCGGUUGGGUGUCGGGCAUGUCACUCACGCCGUUUGAUGAGGCUCCCACCUAGAGAGAUCAUUAUACUAACUAAACACUUCGCUGGGUUGUGCUGCCAACGGUCUUGGGAAUAACAAAUUUAAAGAAUGGUUGGUACACCGUAAUGAUGAAUGUGCCAUUUGAAUUCUAAGGACACAGGAGAGUGAUUUACAAAGUCGUAUGAAUCUUUCUGCAGCUUCAAUCAGACCCCUUCGAAGAUCUCUAUGCGUCGUCUCGUUAUUUGCGAAUUUUCACUUUUUUCUCACUCAUUCUUGUAGGCUGCUUUGCCAGAAUUAGUAUUUGACGCAACGCUCAUGUCUGCUCAAACGAUACUUCUACUCACUCUUGGUCCAUUUGCAUAACAUGUGAUCGCCAAUUGAGUACCGAGCAUGUAAUAGCAUUCUUACUUCAGUCAAUUGAACGAGAGCCUACCCGAAGAGGUAGGCCCCGAAUGCCACACUCGUGCUCUGCACACCAUUACUUCAGCGAAGUGUCAAUUUGGAAGGAUAAUUUUUAGCACAGGGUUUCUGUGGAAUACUUCUUUUUCGUUGCUCGCUUCAUCAUCUUUGAACGUCCUACGCCAAAGCGAGUUUCUAGCAAGUGGCCUAUAUAAGAGGCUAUGGUGAAGCCUACUUUCUUUGAUUGUCAAGGCGCGUUUUGAUGGUUCUCGUGAGCAGCUGUAUGGAGAAGUGGAAACUUCCAAAUCUGAUUGGUCCGCAUGUGUCAAAUAUCACUUUCCCAAGUCCAUCGGAUAUCACUCCAAUUAUAGCUGUCCUACUGGGAAGACCUUGGAUGCCAUGCUGCUGGGCCGUGACUUCUACUGCACCAAACAGAUGAAGUUUGUUAGUUGCCUGAAUUAAGCUGGUGAUUAUUCACCGGUGAGGAGGAUUUAAUGUCGGUAAUUUCAUCUUCGAUUCCGUUUAUAUUGAGGCCGAAUGAAGAUGCGUUGAAACUUCUUUCCAAGCACACUUUGAGAUCGUCUCAAUCCGCGUUGUAGUGGAGGUCGAUUAGAGACUGUGGAGGCCAGAGUAAUCUCUUUGUGCAUCGCUUGAAGAGUAACCAAGAUGCAACAAAUUGGACAGGGGGGCAGAAUCCAUUGAAGAUUAGGUGAGUAGAUAAUCACAUCGUACCAGACCUUAAAAGCUGAUCGCCUGCACGGGUGGUAACCUACAGACCAAACUCAUCGAUAAAGCUUCUACAAAUGUCUGGAAGGCUCACCGAAGUUUUUCACGAAGUUUUUAUCAGUCAGAAGGUUUCCAAGUCAAUGCCAUCAGUGAACUAUGAUGAAGACCGAAAAGAUUCUGAGUAACUUGGUAUUCAAAGAAGCGAUGCAAGCUUUGAGCAACUGGGAAGGCCUACACUGAGAUCUAUUAUUUUUUUUCCGUUUCGAAGUAAAGUUAACAGUUCAUUGUGUUUUCACAUCCAUAGCCUGACCCAGGCCUUAUUGAAGAUUGCUUUUUGUAUGGGUCACCUUUCAUUUUUACACAAUUAACAUAAUUCAUGCAAGUUUGAGUAUGCUUUCCACUUGUUCUAUUAGCAUUUUUUUCCGUUUACCUUUCAAAAUGAAAUCUGGCAAUCUAUUAAAAAAGCUACAAAUAAAUAAAGCAUUUCCAACUCUCUUGUAAAUCUUAAUGUGAACCAUUCAAUUAAACAACCUCUGAUCAGACCAACAUGCAUGUGACAUUACCAAACCCUUGUUGAAUCCAAAUGACUCUAUCAUACUCUCCUGAUUGGAUUCACCCAUCUUAAUCAAGCUGCAAGAUGGGAGGUGAAAGAGGAUGAAAGUACCCGCCCGAAAAAAAAAAGAAAACUGACGAGAUUGGUUGAAGUACGAGUACACAAAAGCUUCAACGCGUACAAGGAAGCAGGUAGAAUUUUGAUUAAUCUCGCAAACAGAUGAAAGAACAAAGAAAGAGGUACAAAAUUGUCGCCAAUACAACACUGGGUCGAGGUCAAGCGGAGAUGGUCAAAGCUGUUGGAAGGACUAUGUUGACGUGUUUUCGCAUGGUCUCGUAUAGAAUAUUCCAGGUUUAAGAACACAUAUAUGUAAAGUUCAAACAAGCUACCGCUUUAAGCCAGAAUGUUCCUUCUAUAAACGACACCUUACGAAGAAACGAGAAACUGACCAGUGGCUUUGAAGGAUUCGAGAAUGAGGUUAAGAGAAACAGUUGGAUGCGGGUUUUCCGCGCCUCCGCUGGUUUCCUUGCAGUUGUCAAAGUACCCUGAUUGGGUUUGCCAACAUUGUUCCAGUGACCAAAAAAGGACGGUAAAGGUCAAGAAAUGUGCGUAGACUACAAGGAUCUGAACAAAGCUAAUCCAAAGAAGCGAAUUUUCCAUUGGCCUCAACUAUUGCUACCUUCUGUGUCAGAUAAUACACCUAGUUUUGCAGUUAUUCUUCAUUCAUCGGAUGGUUCUCCGGUUAUAAACCAAGAUCAAGAUGGAUCCCCGCCCGACAAGAUGAUAAAGACUACAUUUCCAUCACUCCUCUGGGGAAAAACCUUUCUGUUAUAAAUGUUAGCCUUUGUUCGGCUUUGAAGAACGCAGGGGCAACCUAUCACGUGCUAUGACGACUCUUCUUUCAUGACAAUGAAAAAUGCACAAAGAAAAUCGAAGUGUAAUGUGCGAGAUAUGGAUGCCAUAAUCUCAUAAGAAGAAGGAACACUGGGAUUUUGGUUUUCAUCAUGUUAAAGGAAUUGGUUUGAACAGACUCCGGAGAUAAUCAGUUUGAAACUAAAAUCACCGCAAGCUCGUAUGUUUUUGGUGUCUCAGAUCUGGAAAGCUUUUGGUAUUCAUCGUCAACAGCGAAUAUCGAGGAAUCGAGGUAGAGCCCUGAUAAAAAUCCCGAGCCAAUUCCAAAACGACAUGCCCGGCUCCAUCCCAGUCCGCAGACCCUAAAACCCUAGUCAGAGGUUUCCUUGACGUUUGAACUAAUACAUCCUCCCGUUUAUAUCUAAAACCUGACUGCACUACUUGUGAGCCCGUAUAAUUAAAGUUGCUAUGCAAAAGGGCCAGACUAUUGAUUGGGCAAUCCUGACUGGUCAGCGGCGUUUGAAAGUCAUCAAUGGAUUACUAUGCAAGAGCCUCGACUAUCUAAAUUAUCCCUCCUGUUCCCUCGGGACAGACCUUUGUUCUGUACCUGACGGUUCUCAUGAGACGUCUAAUUGGUUGCGUGCCUUCCGGGGCAACAGCACGAUGAGACGAAGAAAAUAACAUGCUAUAGAUACUUGAGCAAGAAGUUCACCAAUUGUGAAAACAGAUACCACUCUUGGAGAAAACUUGUUGUGCCCGCUAGCGAUGGGCGCUAGGCGUCUCAGGCAAUCACAUGAUGUGUCAAUACACCGUUUGAUUUCGAAGAUGGAUCCCAAGAAAGUAUCAUUUUUCGAAAAGCCCUGCUCAGACAGGGAGAUCUUUGCUUCGUUGGCCAAUACAUGUUUAUCAGAAUAUGACACUCCAGUAACGUACCUCAGAAAGCUAUCAAUAGGAACGCACUUAUCUAGAUUAAUCUUGCGGACCAAACCGGUCGAGAGAUUACGAGCCUCUCAAUUUUGACUUUCCCGGACGGAAAUUAUGUGGUAUAAAAGAUAUAUCAAAGCCAGAGCCCGACGGGGUCCCGAACCGAGGGUCCUGUGGCAUGAUGAAAUGUUUGAUGGCUCCGCAAAUUACAGUGGCACGACAUAGGCGCGUUUUGAGACCAUCAAAAGGUGGCGUAUACCCCAUUACAGCAAGGUAUAGACUUUGAAUGCACGAACAAUAUCGUCCGAAAUAUGACCAUGAAUCCUUGGGCCUUGAGCACGCUAUUGACCUCGGAAUCAAAUUCUUAAGUACAGCGGAGAUUCAGCUUGUUAUCUAUAAGUGAAAGGUGAAGGGAAACCCAAGAGAUGAAGCUACUCCCUAUACAAGCCUUAUAUUGUGGAGUUGAUUCAAAUUAUCGAUGAGAUCAAUUCGACUGUUCGAGGUCUGAGGAAUCAUAUUGCUGACGCCUUAAGCCAUGUUUGCAUCCAUGUGGAAGGUCAAAUUAUGUCCAAAUGCAACGCCACUCAUUCGACGAACGUGAGAUUGAACCAGCCUAACUGUCUGGUGAUUGAAAGAAGAUGAAACUGAUGAAAAAGCCAUUGGUUUCAAUGAACAAAGAUUAUUUGCUCACGCAAGACGUAAUCCACCCGGCAUGCUUCCUCAUCUAGAACAAAAGACUUUGAGAAGAUUGAGGCAUCCAAGUUCAUUUCAUCAGCAUGACUGCUAUAUCAAACGGAACGACCACGGACAAUGGUCUACUUAGAUAGUUGAAUAAAACGUGAAGCGAUAUGUUACUCCAGGAAGAUUCAUGAAGGGACGUUCGGAUCAGCCCAACCGGUUAUGCCAUGUCCAACGAAAGAUCUUGACGGGCUGCUAUACUGGGUUCUAAUCUCGGAAAUGCAGAUUGCAUCAAUACGCGCAGGAAGUUCCACAAAUGUCAGGUUUAUGCCGACAAAAAUGCAGUGUACCUUCCGGCAAUCGUUGAACGUCUUUGAUUCGCCGUCGCCUUUUCAAAUGUGGGGAUUGACAUGAUUGGGGCGAUUGAGCCGAAAUUCUACAGUCACGAGUUCAUUUUAGUUGCUAUGAUUACUUCAUCCCAAGUGGGUAGAGCCCCGCUCCUAAUGCAGUGACAAGCAGGUUGUUGCUAUCGCUCAUCAAUGAGGGAGAAUCUUCCGGCUAAUGCAAUUCCAGCCGAUCAUAACUGACAAUGGAUAACCAUUGGAAAUAACAAGACUAUGAGAUGUGUGGACAACUUCAGUUGUCGCACCACAUAUUCCUUCCCCACGUCUAAUGAAUGAGCUGUUGAAGUCGCGAAUAAAAAUUAUCAAGAAGAUCCUUACAAAAAGAUGUCAAGAGACUUAAGGGAAUUGGCUGAGAAUUACCGUUCGCUUUGCAAUGGAACAAAACUCGUCCGCAAUUAACAGGCCGCAACACCUUUAUGCACUAGUUUAUUGAAUGGAUGUCGUCCUCCCAUUGAAUGUUGAGCUUUACCUUCCUUAAGUGGGUAUUGAGGAGCCAAGCUAGAUGAAGCGAGUGGGUUCAAGACAGAUUUCGAACCGUAAGCCUCAUCGACGAGAAGCGUUUGACGGCUUCCAUGGUAGCAUACAAGAAACGGAUAGAAGAGCUUCGACAAGAAAUCCGAUCCGUGUAGUUAACAAGGAGAACUUGUCUAAAGAAAUUUGCCAGUUCCACUAAGUAACAUCGCGGCGAAGUGUGCCCAAUUCGACGGUCCAUUGUUGUUAAGACAGUUUCUCGGGGCAUCGCUAAUUCUAAACAAGUGGAUGGAGAGAGUUCGCACAUCUGUGAACUCGAUGCAGUCCGAAAAUAUUAUGCCUAACAGAAAAAAAUAUACUAUGGUUGCUAGUGAAAACCGAAGGCGCUUAGGCAAGAAAUGGCGCCGGUGGAUGAAACACCGAAAGGGCAGUCCAGAAAGUUAGGGACCUGGCAUUUCACCUGCAUUCGGAGGACACGAACAUGCAGUACAUUUACAGAGUCCUACUUCAAAUGCAAAAUCACUCUCUUCAUGAGCAAGGUUUGGUCAGUCCUUAGUUUAGGAAGUAGUGUAUGGAUUCAAGUAACCUCCAUUAUGCCAAUUUAAAAAUGUAUAUUCCAUGGAGCUAUGCUCUUAGCAGUUUACCAAUUCUUCAUAUAAAUUUACCUUUUUAUUCAAUUUCCUGUUAAGUAUCUCGUUUUAUUCUUUAGCUUUUGUUAUAAUUUUGAACGUGAAAGUGUUUUCAAAACCAAAUAAUUAUUCUCGUGAAAUUCACUAUUGGAAACUAAAGUACUCUGAUCAUGGAAUCUGUGAGCCUCUCGUCCCCGGUAAGCUCGUGUUGCAUACAGAUUGUGAUCUUCAUCAUCUUCCCAGAGACAGUCCCCAGGCGAGUUUGUUAUAUUGACAACAUACUUUGUGGAUAUAUUCGCAGUCAUAUCCCAUGCAUCUUCAAGCAGAAUAUCCCCGUAAUCAGUUCUCUACGUGAUAGGCUAUCCUCAUGAGGCAUCUAAUCGUCUCUCUGCUAGUAGUUGCCUUACUUGCUUAGUGAAUAUUCCCCCAAGGAUGUCUGUUUGAUUCCUCCCAGUAAGGACCGAGUACUAUUCAGAAUUUGCGUCGUUGUCUCCAGAAGUUGCGUCUUCGCAUUUCUAUCGCCAGAGGCGAUCGGUAUUUAUCCCGGACGUCUCUGAUUCUUAUAGAGUUCUUUGCUGAUAUGGUUUCAUGGAAUUAUUUUCCCCAAGAAUACUGUCUACUUGUUAUUCCAUCGAUAUAAUGUCAGAGAUCCCCAGUGGACAGUGCUGUAUAUAUCUCCAGUAAUGCGUUUGUAUAUCCCAUUGAGAAAAGUCACAUUUCUCAUCCUAGGGAGUUAUACUUUGAAGCCAAAUUCGGUUCUCCAUCAGCUCUUCUUAUCCCCUUGAGAGGGGUACUGUUGCAGAGGUCCGGGUAUUCCAUCGAAUGCUAUUUCAUCUCAGGUCGGUCAGCCGUCUCGUCGUUUUUGUCAGCAUACGCAUGAGCCUAAGCAUUGCAUACUCAUUGCAUACGUUUCAUACCCAUUACAUACCAAUAGUAGCACUGUGGCAUGCGCUUAGCAUGUUUGCUAUUCAUCGUCAUCCUUUGUCGUUCCCUCGAGUACUCAGGGUUAGUCCGCUCUCUCCAGGUAGAUCGUCAGCCUAAGCAUAAAAUACUAUUUAUUUCCAGCUAAUCCGCCAACAGAGAGUUCAACCUCCAUGGACGAUGGUAUUUCAGCUAUCUUUCGAGGAUAAGAAAUCCCUCAUUUGAGGUUAUUUCCCAAAUGAGUCUUUCUAGCCAGUUCUAGAUCGACUUCGCUCCACUGUCGGUCACUGAACCUAACUGGACGUGCAUUUAUAUUUUUUUGCACUUCUUUCAAGGAAUAUCAUUUUAAAUCCUUUGCAGACAAGCGACAGUUCCCGCCGAGGAGCGUAUCACCAUACAUCAAACCUAAGACGUUGAUCGCCGCACUAUCCUUAGAGCAUUCCGCCGUGGACAUAUCUUUCCUAAACCCUUGAGAAGGUGAGUCGCCGCACUCAUCUGCUGGUGUCCGCUGUGGACAUAUCUUUUCCUAAACUUCAAAACGUGGAGUCGCGAUACUCAUUCUUGGCCUCCCUCGUGGACCAUUUUAUCCUUUAGUAAAAGAAGGAACUGGGUCAGUUUAGGGUGCAGACCUUGACGUUGUAGAAAGUUCAUUUAUCCGUUAGUAAAAGAAGAAUCUGAAUCGUAUUCCGGCGCCGGACCUUAGAUAUGAGGUUUUUUAUCAGAGAGUGACAUUCCUCCAGCGGAGCUCAUCAAUCAACAUAUUUUUUCAUCUAUUAUCCACAGAUAACCCAACCUUUUAUUGGAAAGUUAUUUAGUUUGGCUAUAAGUCCCUUCCACACGAUUAGCGGCAGUUCUCUCUCGAGAAGCUUAUUAGGGCAUUCCCAUUAAGUCCAUUUAUUUUGGCAUACAACCGUUUUACCCUACGUAUAUUUCCUACGGAUUCUAAAAAUUCCGUUUGAUCCUGUCACGAGGGAGAUUUCCCAGAAGCUCGGAGGUUAUGCUUUGCUCAAUGCUCCAGCAUCUGUUAAUCGAUCCUACAGUCGUGCCGUCCUACUUUACCCUAGAGUAUCAGCCGUCACACCUGAACCUGUUGACAUUUACUCUCAGAUAUUCCCCAGUGGAGGCAUUCCAUCGGUGCCAUCUCCCAUUGAGAUCCCGUUUUACCCAUUCCCUUUCUAAAAGUUACGGUUGGUCGUGCUCGCACCAGUUGACCAUCAUCUUUAGAAUUCCCCGUGUCACACUAUUUCCCGCGAUACCGGUAUCUUCAUCCCGCGCUGCUAACGCCUAAUGGAUCGCCUAAUAGUGGCGUCAUACCGUUUUCGGUCUCCUGCCGUCUGUCCCCGUGUCGUUCGUAAUCGUGAUUCUCUGUAUCAUUGCAUUUAUCAUUCCAUCAUCCGCAUCAUACGCAUCAUAGCAUGGGUCAACAUUAUUCUAUUCCUUUUUCCUAGCAGUGCAUUAUCGCCGCAUCUAAGGGCAAAUUUCGGUUUCAUUUUAAAUCUCUCCACGUGAUUUCUCGAGUCUCUGCCUGCUCAAUCAUCCGUGUAGCUAUUUAAACUAGGCAACUAAUACCCCAAUUUACCCUCAGAUUAUCGAUUCAUGUCACAUGUCAUUCAUUUCGCAUCAGCUAACUAUUACGGGUUGUGUAGUUUUGUUUCGUUUUGCGAAACCGCGUCUGGUACACUUUAGUUGUUAAAGGGCAAAUGGUCAUUUUCACGUUGUUUAUGACAGUCCUCGAGCUAAGUUAUCAUCAGGAUUUAUUGAAUAAUUAGGGCCUUCGAUUUCCGAGUUUUUUAUUUUUAUUUCAUUUUCUUUGAGGAUAAACAGAGAUGCACGGUAACUUUUGGCAUCAGGAUUUUUGAAGAUACGGUAAUUAAUUCAACGGGCUGAGACUCUUGUCGUCAAUUGAGUUCCGAGACAUUUAUUUUGUCACUUGGGUUGGAGUAUGUUUGAGACAUUAAGCUGGUUCGGUUCAAAUCGGGACAAGAUUCCAUGCGGCGGAAUUUCUGUUUUAAUCAGUCUAUUUUUCUGUUCUUCUGCUAUCUGCCAGUUAUUUUUGAAGCCAAAGCAAGUAGAAAUUCUGAUUCGGAUUCGGGUUUUGAUUGUUGUUUGAUUGAGGUUUAUGGCUGAAUUGGUUUAUGGGUUGGGUAUUUUAUUCAGAGACGCAAAUUGAAUUUUAAUGCGGAAUAUAUUUCUGUUUCACUGUAAUCGGUUUUCUCUGCUUCCUUCCUGUUUUAAUUCGUUCAAGACUAUCAUCAAUUCUAUACAUCAAGCGGCGAUUUAAUUUGGAAAUAUUGGAUUGGACUGAAGGUUACAUCAUGUUUUAAGCAACACGGUGUGAGAUGACGAAGUUUAAUUCAUUUGGUUUUUCUGGAAUUAUUCAUAUUGGUUUCAUACGGUGAAGUUGGUUUAUUAUUAAUCGUCUAAAUUUACUGAUUAAUUUCAUUCAGAGAAUUUUGACCAAGUUGAUUUUUAAUCAGAUAUUGUUUGGGUCGUUUGGUUGCGACAAAUUAAAUCAUGGAAAGAAGAAUUACACGUUGUUCUUGGGUAGAAAUGUUUGUGAAUUUAUCAUAAAUAAUUUUAUUACAAAUAAAAAGGAAAUCAUUUGAUUUUUAUUUCUAGGUCCUAUGAUCUUCAUGCCGGUUCUUCAUGUUUCUUCAUCCGAUGUUUCCUUCCGUACCUGCACACAGACAAAGAACAGAAAAGUGGAGUAAAAAAUGUUAGAAUUUAUUUUGAACACCCUCAGAAAAAUGUCAUCACUGGGUGUCGGGAGGGCACGACAAUUGCCGAAACCAACUCCCAUUCCGAUUCACGACCUCGGCAUCAACCGUAGUUAUCCGUUCUUUUCGGGACAACAGAGAAGAAGAGAAAAAGAAGUCCUGGGCCAAAAAUGAUUUUGCCGGAAAUUGUUUCGAACCCAAACGGAUUACCCACAUGAAUCUAAAAUCCAUACCCUCUAUCAAGUAAAUAAUCCAGACAAAUCCAAAUAUCCAGAUUUCAAAGCCAACCGAAAUCCAAAUCUGGAGCUAUGGAUCCAAGAAGAAUAUUUGGCAAAUCCAAUAUCUGAAAAUAAAACGGAUAUCCAAUCAACAUCAGAAAAGAUCAAACUCAUCAAGAUCCGUAAAUCAUAAUUAAAUCCAAAACAAUCAGCCAGCAAAUCCGAAAUAAAAUCAAUAAAACGAAAUCCGGAUCCAAAAGCACAACAACAACAUAACAAAGUCGUUCAGUCAAGACAUUAACAACUGUUCCGAAAAUACCUCAACAAAUCUAGCAACAACUUCAGCGGAAAUCAUGAAAAAUCAAAGCCCACAGUGGAUUCGAGGGGGAUAUAAAUAUUAAGAGGGAUCCGCAAUCCUGGGGGGGGGGAAGAAAAAGCCAGAAUCGAAGCUUCGUCGUAACGGAUCAAUGUCGGGAACUCGUGCGGUCGUGGAUCCUUCGAUUGCCACUACCACCGGGACCCAUUACCGUCAUCGAGCAACGCCUCAGUCGCAAAACAUCAUCGGCUAACGAACUCAACAACGCCGUCGAUAACAAACGCGUACAGGUAGGAUUUUAUUACCGUAAAUCGUUUUGCUCUGAUGUGUGCAUUUCAGGUUUAAGAAGAAGAUGCGUAGGAUAGAAGAAAGAAAAUGAAGCAUGCAACAAUGGCCGCCGCCGACGGUAUAAGGAUUGACAAACCCUAGCAGCAAGCACAAAGCCAUGACCUUUUCUUUUCACGCUUUAUCUGUCUGUUGGUUUUGGUAAAUUGGUAUUAGUAAUUGUUUUAAAUAAAAAGCACCACUAGUAGUCAAUUAGUCAUUAACAUAGUAAAUUGGAAGAUUUCUCAUAACUUCUAAUAAUAAAUUAGUAACGUUAAUAAUGCUAUUAAGUAAGAUUUUUUUAUAUAUAACUUUUACGUACCAAAUUUCCUUUGUUUAAAAAAGUUAGGUACAUAAUUUAUAAUCAAGUUUGUUUUUGUAUUAGAUUAAUUUGUUUUUAUUCAUAAUUUAUAAUUAAUUUGUUUUAAAAGCUAGGUACAUAAUUUAUAAUUUGGUUUAUCAUUCUCACCGUUUAAAAAAGGAAUAAUAUAACACAGUUUUUUUUAAUAUUUAGAUUAAUUUGUUUUAAUUAUUUACCCGCAAAAGUUAAAAUAAGUUCUUUUCUUAAUCAAAAAACCUUUCAAAUUAAAACAAUUUGUUUUUUAGAAAAAAAGGCAUUAGCCUUAAAUAACCCUUCCUUAUCAAAAAUAUAAAAAAAUAUAAUAACUUUUCUUUUCAACAAAGAAAAAUCUCAAAAAUUCAGUUUGACUUAUCCGUUCAUUUUCGUCUAACCCCCGUUAAUUUGUUUGUUCAGUUUAUCAUUAUUAUUUCAUUUUUCGUUUUGUUCCAUGGAUGAAUUUAUGCGAGGCCAUGGUCCGCUGGUUUAUUUAUUUCGUAUUUUUGGGGAUUUGUAAUUUAACGCGAGUGUCGCGAUGCUUUCCUUUACUGCUUGCUUUAUUUUCAUAUUUUUUAUGCCUGCCAUGUAAUAAUUCUGUUGCUUGCAUGUUUUUACCGUCUUGCCCUCUGAAGGAAUUAGGUUUAGCAGUGUGACCGCCGAGUCAAUAACCCUAAUUUUGACCCUUUUCAAACCCUUGACCGUUUCCAAAACCUCAAUAGCCUAGCGUCGCCGCCGUGGAUGAAAACGCCCUUUACCCUGCAUUAGGUCAAAGAGUCGCCGUACUCUGCUUUAGGUUUCCCGCCGUGGAAUCCCUAAUUUUAGCCCUAAUUUCAAUUCAACGCCUCAACGUAGAAAUAGGAGUUUCAACGCUCCACGUAAGCGUUUCCUUAAGAAAUGCUUAUGCCCCAUCGAAACCUUGACCACAGUCAAGAAGUUUCUAGCCUCCUUUCGAGGGGAACUACAAUUACUCUGAUUCCAUUCCCGUCAGGAUAUGUAGGCACAAGAUGCGACGUCUUGCCGAGUAACUUAGGACUAACCCUUAGGUCUCUUUUAGGUCACUUUAUCCUUUAGCUCAGUACAUAUUCCAAAUAGAUAAUAAAAAUAAAAAGACAAUAAUAAAAAUAAAAAGACAUACAAUAAACAAAAGGUUCCUGUAGAGUACUACAGAAGUUUAGGGUGCUAGUACCUUCCCUAAGCUUAACCAACCCCUUACCUAGGUAUCUCCCCGCAUUGUGCUUAUGAUGCAAGAAUAGGUUUUUCCUCUUUUGACCUUUUCCUUCGGAUAAAUCAAAGAGCGGUUGUGAAUUAAGAAUUGUGAUUCAAGCUAAUUAAUAGUUUGAUAUCCUAUUUCCACCGCAACAGUGAUCGUGUGAAAUUGCAGUUCGGUAUGCUUCAACACAUCCCAUAUCCCCCGACAAACCUAGGAGAAUGAUAUUUAUGCAAAGUUAACGACCAAUAGAACUUCAACCCAUGGCAAAACUUUGCUAGAUCUGAGUGUCGCAAAUGGAAGCACUGCCAUGACCAUGUCUUAACUGACGUUGUGAUGCCAACUGAAGAAAAACCAAAUCGUACUUAUAUGGCUUGGUACAAAUCGGUUGGUUUUGAGUUCACCGUCGAGGAUAUGUACCUAUACGACCCACACCAGGAAACCUACACACCAGAUGCCUCAACAUCUAACCCCCAACAACAUUGUCAGACCGGCUACACACAACCCCUUAUCAGUCAAACUUCUCGUUCCACAAACUCACAACCCUAACAUGCCAUACACCCAACCACAAUACCAAAAGCAUACCCCGUACCACCACCAACAACUAGAUCAUCAACCAGAUACCCAACAUCGCUUCACACCCAACAUAUCACCCUACCAAAGCCGCCUUAGCCAAAACACCCAACGAUCAUUUAACAUCAACCGUCCCUCCUCCUACCAUAGCCAAGAAGCCCAAACAUCUCAAAACCGAAACCUUCAACAACCUUACCUCUACCAAAUACCACAACAAUCUUUCCAACCUUUCCUCGACGCAUCAUUCACACCAAUGUCUCCCUUCAAUCGUCCCGGUCGCCCACCAACAAGUCAAACACAACCCGACUACUCUGGCAUGGAUCAUGAACUCAACUAUGGCGGUACACCUUUUAUGGAUACACAAGACUAUGCUGAUUUGUCUGACUAUCUCAACAGGUCAUCUCAUGCAGUUGGUAGUGAUGUUCCUGGGCCCUCAAAUGCUCAAACACCUGGGGUGAAUCAUCAACGUGGGUUAGGGUCACGGGUUUGGGUAGCUAGGGGAUGUGGGACCAGAGAUCGGUUAGAUGAUCCCGGUCAUCAACAUUAGACUUUUUUGUGUACACGGGAAUUAAUAUUAAUAUGAAUUGGUCCGAUUUCGAUAUUAUGUAUCAUGUAGGUUAUUUUUGGAAAAAAAUACAAAACACACUAAGAUGUCAAUCCAAUUGACGCCUCCCUCUAACCUUUAUACAUAGGCGCCAAUUGAAUUGGCUGCACCAUGUGCCCUAGCCAAUCCAAUUGACGCCUCCAUCUAACCUUUAUACAUAGGCGCCAAUUGAAUUGGCUGCACCAUGUGCCCUAGCCAAUCCAAUUGACGCCUCCUCUCUAAGUUUAAGAGGAAGCGUCAAUUGAAUUGGCGCUUCCUCUUAAAAGUGGGGUAGAUUGAGAUUUUUUUUAAAAUCAGAGUUAUUUUGGGAUUUUUUUUUAAAAUCUGGGUUAUUUUAAAAAUUCUAAAUAUAACAUUACCAAAUCUUUUAAUUAGACGAUAAAAACAUAAUACAAUAUAAUCUUUAAAAAAAGUCUAGUCACAUCCACAUAGUUUAAAAUAAAGAUAUUAUCCUUUAAACACAGACAUAUUUUAACUUUUUGACCAAACAACCACAAAGUUGAAUUUAAAGUCUCAAUAUGCCAUCCUUUGAAAAGAAACUAUAUCCACAUGUCACAGUUUCACACUUUUUUCUAUUUUUUAUUUUAUAUGCCACACUCCAUCCUAGAUGACAGACGCGUCAGACCCCUUUCAGGGACCCGCCAUCCUAGAUGGAGUAUAUAUAUUUUUUGUUAUCAUUUUUAAUUGAUUUAAUUUAUUUAUUUUUAUAUAAAAAUUAAUAAAUAAUUAAUUAAUAAUAUAAUAGUAAAAUAAUAAUAAUUUUUUAUUUUUGUAAUAUGUUUACUUUUUUUUUGUAUUUCAUUAAAAAAUCAUAUUUAUUAAUAUUUAAAUUAAAAAAAUACUUUAUUAAUAUAAUAUCACAUAUUUAAUAUUUAUAAAAUGCAAUGUGGAAAUAUUUUUUUUGUCUUAAAAUUAAAAUAUAAUACUAAAAGUUACAAGUGGAUAGUUGCAUAAGUCAAAAGAAAUUAAUUCUCAUGUUGAUCUUCUUGUUGAGAAUAUUCGUUGAAGUAAUGACUAUUGGUUCCACGUCUGAUACGAACUUGAACACGCUGACCACGACCUAAUGGUUAUGUUGAAGUAAGUGGAUGAGGGGCUGAAGUUGUGGAAGGAUAGGUAGAUGUAUCAAAGAUGGGUAGCUGGUCAGGAAAAAAAUGGAAUGUACCGAAAUUUAGAGGAAAGUCGUUAUAUAGUUGUGUGAAUGAGGUGGGGUUGGGGUUCAAAGGUUCUAUGGUUGUAAUGUAAUAGUCUGAUACAUCAGUGGUUGAUGAUUGUUGAUUGGUGUUGAUAGGUGUAAUAUGGGGGACGAAGGCAUGGUUGUUCUUGGGUUUGAUAGGUGUAAUGUGUUGGUUGUUAUGGUGUUUUAUAUGUGUAAUUUGUUGGAUUUUGUUGUGUUUGUGAUUGUGAUUGGUAGUUUGAUUGUUGGUAUAUGGUGUAUUGUGUUUGUUGUUGGAAUGAAUGGUUGUAUGAGAGUUAUUAUUGUUGUUAAUUGGUUUGGUUAUAUUGUGUAUAAUAUUGGUUGGGAGUGAUUUGGAUUUGGGAUUUGUAAAAUUUGGUUGUGGUGGAGCCAACAUCUGUGAUGUGCAACAGUGUUGACGGGGGUCAUUUAGAAGUUGUGAUGUUGAUGCAUAUGUAAAUGAAAGAGAUCGAAACCAAUUCAAAUAGUCUUGAGUUUGCCUCAAUUCUUCAUGAAAUGCAUCCCCAAUCAAACACAGUUGGUGUUUAUUCUCCCACUGUUGUUGCUCAUUUUUAUUAAAAUUUUUGUAGUUGUACUUCAAGGACUCUUGCAUAGUCAUAUCAUGGUUUUUUAGGCAUUUUGGAGGGUUGGGUAUGUCUCAUAAGUAAAAUUGCAAUUUGAUCCUAUCAGACUGAUGCAUUUCGACGAUCCAUAAGCAUAUGAUGUACGUUGUUGCAUUUCAAAUCAAGUUGUCAUCAUUGUCUAAUGGUGGACAGUCAAGAUAUGACAUCCAUGUAAACCGGUACACUAUAAAUAAUAUAUGUUAGUGUAACAUAAGUAAUUAUAAUAAUAUACAAAAAAAUAAUAAUGACACUUAUAUUACGUUUUCUGGAAACAUGUGAUCAAUCAAAAAAUGGUAACCAACAAGAUGAUUGCGAGGGUUAUUAGCGUAAUUCUUCUUGGUCACAACCCAUCUGAAAAAAGUUGGAAAUAAAUAGAAAUUUUACAUAUUGAAAUAUCUAAAUUUUAAAUAAAGAUUAGCAAUAACAAAUUAAAACUAACCUUGAAGCAUAAAGGUGCUAGAAAUCACAGACGUGUAAACCCCAUGUUUGGAGCAAAAUAACACAUUCACCAAUUUUUUCAACAUGAACGUCAAUUGCUUUACACAUUUCUCAUUACUUCAACGAAGAUCCCUAACAAAAAUAUCGACAUAAGAAUUAAUUUCUUUUUACUUAUGCAAUUAUCCACUGGUAACUUUUAAUAUUAUAUUUUAAUUUAAUAUAACUUUUUUAUUUCCACAUUGCAUUUUAUAAAUAUUAAAUAUGUGAUAUUAUAUUAAUAAAGUAUUUUUUAAUUUAAAUAUUAAUAAAUAUGAUUUUUAAUGAAAUGCAAUAAAAAAUUAUAUUACAAAAAAAAUUAAUUUUUUUAUUAUUAUAUAAUUAAUUAAUUAUUUGUUAAUUUUUAUAUUGAAAAAUGAAUUAAAUCAAUUAAAAAUAAUAACAUAAAUUAAAAACGAGAAAAAAGGGUACUCCAUCUUGGAUGGCAGGCCCCUAAAAGGGGUCUGACACGUCCGACAUCUAGGAUGGAGUGUAGCGUAUAAAAUUAAAAAAAACAAAAAAGUACAAAAAAAGUAGCAUGUGGGGACAUUUUUUUUCAAAGGGUUGCAUGUUGGAACUUUAAUUUCAACUUUGUGGCUGUUUGGUCACAAAGUCACAUAUUUUAACACACAUAUAUAAAUAUAUUUUUAUAGUCAAGCUUUAUAGGUUUAUAGUCUAAUGUGAUGAUUGAUCUGAAAUGAUCAUUUAUAGGCUUAUAGUCUAAUGUAAUGAUUGAUAUGAAAUGAUCAUAUAUAGCAAGGACACAACUUCCUUUGUCUAAAAUAUUCCUCUCAAAUCCAACUUCACAAUCACCUUCAAGAACAUGUGGGCACCCUCUUCGAAUUCUAGAUUCAUAUAUCCUAUUACUUGAAUAACCAAAUUCAUGUAAGGUAUUUAUUCUUACUUUCUUGACUAUUAUGUUCGACAUAAGAGUGGUCACGAUACUUUACUUGGAUUGCUAGAGCUUUUGUCGUUGUUAAGUUCAUCUAAGCGAGACUAAAUUUGUAUUUCACUACUCGUGUUCUUAAAAAUACAAAGUUAAAGUUUAUCCUUGAGCUUUUGAUUGGUCUUAUUUUCGAUAACUCAUUAUAACUUACUUAUUCUUUAAAAAAUACGAUUAUUUAGUGGUUGGAAUUAAUAAGGUUAUAUUGUACUUAUCUUAACUUGUUGCUACAUAUUGCACCUUCAUCUUGUAAUUCAGAGUCAAGUUACAACUAACAAGAUGGAUAAUAUCAAUCUUUCUAAACCUCAUGUAAUCAUCUAUGGUUAAUUAUUAGAUUCUUUCUAAAUCGAGUUUUCCAAUUGCAAAAUUGCCACUUAUCUCCUAAUACUCCAUGUAACUAAUAUUUUAAGACCUCUCUUUAGCUGAUAAAAUCACCAAAACAAUAUUUUUAAGGUCUCAGUUGAUUAAGGGAGUGUUUGAUUGAUUGGAAGACUUUUCUAAUUGUCUAAUAGAUUAGACUAAUAACCUAAUUGAUUAUUUCACCAAGUUGAGACUAAAAUCGAUUGGGAAAAUCUCUUAAUGAUUGGUAACAAUUAAAUAUUAAAAUCUUCAAUAUGUGGCUUGAACAAUAAAUUAUUGUGGUCCAAUAACCAAUUAGCUUAAUUGAUAUGGCAUUGAUUUAAUCCAUAGAUUGUUUCCUUUUUUUCACCUAAUUUUAUUUUAUAUAAAUGAGACCUCUCCUCAUUCAAAGUCACACUAGAAUUCAGAGUUUUACUCUUUUUUAACAUUUUAUUAGUCUCCUCCUCUUUCUUUUAUAUUUUCUCUUCACCAAAGUUCCCUUAGUGCCAUGUGAGUGAAAACUACUUGUGAGGAAAAUGUUGUACUAGUGUCAUGCCAUUGUAUAUUUUGAGAGUGUGAUUCUCUCGAAGGUUUGUGUUUGGUUCUUGAGAUAAAACAAUAAAAAUCUCUGUUUGGUUCUAGAACUUAUUUAGUAAAAGUUUUGUUUGGUUAUUGAGAUUAGCCGAUAAAAUCUCUACUUUGCUCGUGAGUUUAGCUAGUGGAAAAAGCUCUUGUUUUGUAGGGGGAUAAGUCAGUGUAAAAUCUCUCGAUUUGCUUGUAUCAAAGGUUCGUGGGCAUAACUUGUAAAAGUUCAAGUUUUUAGUGAACUCUCAAUAAGAUCUCUUGAGGACAAGACUAAGCCAACAUUAAGCCAAACUUGUAUAAAUCUCGGUACCAAAAAAAAUUAAGUAAGAAUUUUUUUAAAAUCAAUCAUGAAUUUUAAAUACCACAAUUUACCACUUCUUAUGUUUGAAGUCACUUGUACAACAUUUUCUACUGAUAAUUUUUUAUUAGACUUGUUGAAUAGUAAUUCAGAUUCAAGUUGUAAUUGCUUUGAAUUUAGAUUGCAUUUAAAGUUCAUUUGAUUAGCAUUUGUAUUUUAGGUUGUGUAUAUAAGUUGAAUUUGCUAUUUAGUUUUAGUAGUUCUAACCAUUUUUCAUUUGAGUAAAAUUUAAUUACAUUCUAUAUUCUCUCUCUCUCUCUCUCUCUCUCUCUCUCUCUCUCUCUCUCUCUCUCUCUCAUUUUUCAUUUGAGUAAAAUUUAAUUACAUUCUAUAUUCUCUCUCUCUCUCUCUCUCUCUCUCUCUCUCUCUCUCUCUCUCUCUCUCAUCUUCAUCUUCUUCAAGCUUCUUGUGCAUCAAUGAAGGUGUAACUCCAAUAAUUGGCAUCCCGGGCUCCAGCUUGAUUCACAGGGAAACACAAGUAUAGUGAGGUGUAUGAUUGAUUUCGGUUUUGAAAUUCACGUUGAAUUGAAGUUCGAAAUUAGAGAGAAUCACAGAUCUUGAUUAUCAGGGUUUAGGAAACACGAGCGUUUGUGAUAACUAAGUGAUUUGCAUAAGAACGAUGAUGAACAGCAGAAACGGUAGCUUGAACACAAAUCUUCCAGUAUUCGAUGGAAAGAACUGAAACUGGUGGUCGAUUCAGAUGCAUGUGUUGUUUAAAGUUUAAGAUAUUCUUGAUCUCGUCAAUGACGAUUACACAUCGGUUGCAAAAAAUGCAAUAGAGAAUAAAGAAUUGCGCACCAUGAAAUGAGGAAGAAGGAUCAGAAGGCGUUGUUAUGUAUCCAUCAGUGCGUGCAUACAAAGGUGUUUAAGGAAAAUGCUUAUUCGAUGACGACUAAGUCGGAGUGGGAUAUAUUGGUACCGUGAUAUGAUGGUGACACAUCAGUGAAAAAGGUCAAACUUUUGUCUCUAUGUAAGCAAUAUGAAAAUCUCAGCAUGAAGAACAAUGAUAAGGUACCUGAUUACAUCUCUAGAGUGAUUAUGGUAACGAAUGAGAUGAAGUCUUGUGCAGAAACAUUCUUUGAACAAGUAAUCAUUGAAAAGGUAUUGAGAUCACUUACUCCUCAGUUUGAUUACAUAGGUUUAGCCAUAAAACAUUCUAAAGAUACCAACACCAUGAGAAUUGAAGAGCUUCAGAUUAGGUUAGAGGCACAAGAGUUGCAUCUAACUGAAAGAAAAUUUGAACAAGAGUUAGAACAGGCUUUGAAAGCUCAAACUCUAAAAGCUUCUUCUGGAAAGAAGAAUCAGAAGCAAGAAUGGAUAGAGGAGAGGAAUAAUUAUGGUGGUGGUGUUAAAAAGUUAGAACUCUCAAGUUCUGAUAAGAAACAUCAUAAUGUUCAGAAGGGAAAUGAGAAGUUUGACAAGAGAAAGGUUCAGUGCUAUAAUUGCAACAAGUUUGGCCAUUUUGCUGUUGAUGACCGGUCAAACAAGGUUAGAAAAGGUGAAGAAGCCAACAUAGCCAGAGCAUAUUAUAAUGAUGAACCUGUGCUAUUAAUGGAAUUUAAGAAUGUAGGUGGAUCAAUGGUAGACUGAUCGUAUAUGGACACUGGAUGCUUAAAACACCUAAAUGGAGAAAAGCAAUGACUGGUUGAUUUUGACUCUGGUAAAAGGACCAAGAUCAUAUGUAUUGAUGAUGAGUAUCUGAAUGCUCAAGGAAUGGGAAAUGUUAGAGUUAAGUUGAACAAUGGAAAAUUGUACUGAUCAAGGAUGUGUGGUGUGUUCCUGGCAUGAAUAGAAAUUUGAUGAGUGUAGGUCAGGUGAUUGAAAAAGAAUUUCCAAUAACCAUUAAGGACAAUAUCUUGAAGUUGUAUGAUUGUACUCAGCAGCUAAUUAUGCAAUCUAAACUAGGAAGAAACAAGACAUUCAAGGUGAAUGUUGCAAUAACAGACACUCAAUGCCUUAGUGCAAGAAGUACUGAAGGGGAAAGUGAGUUAUGGCACAAGAGAUUGAGGCAUCUGAACUACAGAAGCUUAAGGAAUUUGAGUUCAAAGAAUCUGGUACAUAGAAUUUCUAAGAUUAUGGCACUAGAGAUGUUAUGUGAUGUAUGCAUGAAAGACAAGCAACCAAGACUGCCAUUCUCAUCAGAAAUGCCUUCAAGAGUAACUCAUGCUUUAGGUUCGAUGCACUUUGAUACGUGUGGUCCAUUUGAGGUACAUUCACUUGUAGGGAACAAGUAAUUUAUGUCAUUUAUGGAUGAGUUCACCAUAAUGACAUGGGUAGCACUUAUUAAGUUCAAACAUGACGUGUUUGUUAAGUUCCAAAAGUUUAAAGUGAAGCAUGAAAAUCAAAGUGGAUAGAGGUUGAAGAUCCUCAGAACUGAUGGUGGAGGUGAGUUCAACUCAACAGAGUUUAAAAGCUAUCUGAGGAACAUGGUAUUGAGCAUGAGCUGACUACUUCAUACACUCCACAACAUAAUGGUCUUGCUGAGAGAAGAAAUAGAACUCUGCUUGACAUGACAAGGAGCAUCAUGAAGGAUAAGAAUUUGUCAAGUAAUUGUGGGGUGAAGCAAUUGAUACUUCAGUAUAUGUGCUUAAAAAGUGUCCAAAAAGAAGUUAAAGGAAGUAAGUCCUAUUCAGAUGUGUACCGGAAGAAAGCAAAGUGCAACCAUUUCAAGGGGUUUGGUUUAGUAUGUUACAAAUAUAUACCAGAUGCUACUAGAAAUAAAUUGAAUGAUAGAAGUAAGGUCAUGUUUCUUAUAGGUUACCGCAAUACAAGUGCUUAUAAGAUCUAUUGUCCAAUCACCAAUAAAGUUAAAGUCAGUUGAGAUGUCAUAGUGAAGGAAUCAAAAACAUGGGAUUGAAGAAAGUCUCAAUCCAACUCUAGUGAAGUGUCAACGCUAUAGUCUGAUUUUGCCUCUGAAGGAGAUUUUACAUCCGAAGGUGAUUCUGACUUUGAAGGACAGUCUGAAUCUGAAGAUGACUCUGACUUUGAAGGUGAGUCUAGCUAUGAAGAUGACUUUGACUCCGAAGGUGAGUCUGACUCUCAAGGUGAUCCAGCCUUCGAAGGUAGUCCAACCUCUGAAGGUGUUCCUACUUCUAAAGGUGGAGCUUCUGAAGGUGGUCCUACUUAUAAAGGGGGAGCUUAUGAAUGUGGUUCUGCUUCUAAAGUUUUCCAAAGGCCAUAAAAAGUUAGACAGAUACCAAUGAGGCUUGCAGAUUUUGAGUUGCUGCAAGAUACUAAGAUUGAUUAUGAAAGAGAAGUCAUACAUAGUCCCAUGAUGAUAGACUUUGAAACUAUCAGCAUCAACGAGGCUCUCAAGAAGAAGGUUUGGGUGAACGCCAUGAAGGAAUAGCUUGAAGAAAUUGAAAGAAACAAUACAUGGGAAUUGACUAUUCUACCUUAGAACAAGAAAGCCAUCAGUGUGAGAUGGGUUUUCAAGAUACAGUUGGAGCCAUAUGGUUCAGUUUCUAAGCAUAAAGCAAGGUUAGUAGCUAGAGGAUUCCUACAAAAUUAUGGUUUAGACUACUUUGAAGUGUUUGCACUUGUAACCAAACAUGAAACCAUAAGGUUGGUUAUUGCUAUAGCUACAAAUAGGAAUUGGCCUCUGAUACAUUUAGAUAUAAAGUUAGAUUUUCUAAGUGAUUCAUUGCAAGAAGAAGUUUAUGUGUUACAACCCCCUGUAUUUGUGAAAGAGAACAAAAAAAGGGAUGAUGCACAAGCUGCAUAAAGCCUUGUACGGGCUGAAACAAGCUCCAAGAGCUUUAAUAUGAAGACUGGUUCAUUUUUUAAGGAUCUUGGAUUCAAUAAAUGUGAAAUGAAAUAUGGUAUGUAUGUGCAACAUACUUCUGAUGGAAAUGUGAUUCUGGUGUGUCUUUAUAUGGAUGACAUACUUCUAAGAUAAACAAGUUUAAGAAGGUGCUAAUGAAUGCUUUUGAUAUGACUGACCUUGGAAAUACGAUAUAUUUUUUAGGAAUGGAGAUUUUGCAUUAUGAGAAGGGAAUUGUUGUGCACCAACUUAAGUAUGAACUUGAGUUGCUGAAGAGAUUUGAGCUGGUGAAUUGUAAGUCAGCAGUCACACAUGCUGAGACAAGUCAUAAGCUAGACUUUGAUGAUAAUGGUGAGGAUAUAGAUAGCACAACCAUCAAAUUGUGGUUGGUUGUCUGAGAUAUAUCUGUAAUACCAGGUCUGACAUAUGUUAUGCAGUUGGAAUGGUGAGUAGGUUUAUGAGUAAACCAAAGUGAUCACAUUACUAAGUUGCAAACAUGAUUCUAAGGGUAUGUUAAAGGAACACUGAGACAUGAAAUUUUGUUUCCAUAUGGAGUGUCAGAUGUUGCUAAGCUGAUAUGCUACUUGGACUUUGAUUGGUGUGGUGAUAGAGUGGACAGAAGAAGCAUUACAUGAUACAUGUUUAUGUAUCUGGGGCCCCCAUUUCUUGGUGUUCCAAGAAGAAACUAGUGGUUACAUUAUCAACCUGUGAAGCUAAAUACAUAGUUGUUAAUUUGUCAGCUUGUCGGGCUAUUUGGCUGAUGAAUUUGCUGCAGGCACUGAAGUUCAAGGUGAGCAAAUCAGUCAAGUUGAUGAUUGACAACAAAUAUGUCAUAAGUAUUGCUAAGAAUCCAGUGUUGCAUGGAAGAAGCAAGCAUAUUGAUAUCAAAUACCAUUUUCUGCUCAAUCAAGUUCAGAAUGAAGUACUUAAGGUUGUGCAUGUCAGCACUCAGAAGCAACUUAUAAAUGUGAUGACCAAGGAAAUCAAGACUGAACACUUCAUCAAUUUGAGGGGUGAAAUUGGUGUUGUUGACUUUAACUUGAAUAUGAAAUUAAGGGAUGAUGUUGAAUAGUAAUUCAGAUUCAAGUUGUAAUUGUUUUGAAUUUUGAUUCUAUUUAAAGUUCAUUUGGUUAGCAUAUGCAUUUGAGGUGUAACUCCAACAGAACUGCUGGAAAAUGCAAAUUAAUAACAUGUUAACAACCAUAAAAUUUUAACAAACUUCGACUUCAUAAUUACGAAAACUUAUAUAUAUUUUUAUGAAGGAUGGUCUAUAUGUUUGUCAUUAAUUGACUUUCAUAAAAAUGCAUUAGUUAUAUAGAUAUGUGUCAUGUUCGUGUAUGUUAUUUGUCUAAUUAAAAACGGUUAACCAUUUAGAAAUUUAGGUAGGAGGAAAAAAUUAGUUCGAGACAUCAACUUCAACACUUUCAUCUUGAUGUUGAUUAUUCAUAUUUAAAUAACUUGUCAACUACUACACAAAAAUCAUUAUUAGUUAAUUGAUUUGAUUAGUUAAUUUAUCUUAAGUUUUUAUAACUACUACACAAAGAUCAUUAUUACUAAUGAAGAUAAUCAAAACAAAAUCACAUAAUAAGAUUUUUUACUGACAAUAUGAUGAUUUAUAUUGAAAAGAAAAGUUGAACAUUUAAAUAUUAAUUUAAUCAUUGAUAAAUUCAAAUCUUUAAAAGAUAGGAAGAUGACACUUCAACUCAAAGUUGAAUAUCUUCUUUUAUAUAUUCUAUUUUUAUUAUUAAAGUUAUUUUAUAUUUUAAAUUAAGAAUAUAUUAUAAAUUUUAAUAAUAAUAUUUUAGCUAAUACCUGAUAUUUUGGGCAAGAUUCAUAAAUGACAGAAUUUAUCUAAUUAACUAAUGUUCAUAUACUCAAAGAUUUAUCAACAAGACAGCAUAUAAUGAUAUAUUUUCCACAAGUAAUAAACUUUUUACAAGUGAUUCCUUUUGCAUCCAUUAACCUCUCUGCUAUCCAACACAUAUUCUCUAUACGUGUCAUGUAUGUAAGUGGAAAAGUGUCUCUUAAAACCACCUUAAAAGCCUGACACCUUACACCUUCUUUCUCAAACAUCUAAUUGCUUUUGCAUAUAUAUGUUCCAAAACCAAAACCAUGGCUUCAGAGAAGGCCUCUUCUUCCAUCAACCAAGGACUCACUUCAGAAGAAAUUUCUGCCACAAAUGGUACAAAUAAAUCCAAUUUGGGGAAAGAACUGGCAAGGAGAGCAAUAUUGAGAUCACAUCUACGCAGAAAUGGGAAAAGAAAAAUUGUAAGUAAUAGCAUUAAUGCUAAAUUAUUGCCAAGUAGGUUAAGUAAAGUUUCUUUGGGAGAUCAAGAUUCUUCAGAAUGAAUCAUAGGUAUGGUAAUGCCCAAAAUGUAUAAUUCUAUAUGUUGUAAUAAGGCACAAAAAAUUGUUUCAUAGUUUCCUAGGAAUGAUACUGAUAUAGUGAUAUAUAUGUAUGUACACAUCAAAUCUUAAAAUAGCUUAGAAUAUAUUAUGAUAUAAUUAAUCAAUUAUUGGAUGAAGAAGAAAUUGAAUCCUUACAAGUAUUCUUUGAGAUUUUGUUUUACACGGCAGAGCUAACUUCAGAGAGAAUUAUAAAGAAAUGCUUACCUGUUUUGUAGGGUACUUUUUAUUAUAGAAUUUUUGUUUGAAUAUUGUUGAUUUCAUUUCUUAAAAAUUUUAAAAAAAAAAUCUUUUUUGAAAAUAUAAUUAUUAUUUUUGAAACCGUUAACAUGUGUUUUUAAAGAAUAAUUUAACAUGUAUUUUGGAUUUAAAGACAUGUGUUAUACAAAUAUUGUUGAUAAUUUAUUAGAAAUUUUAAAUGAGGUAAAAUCAUCAAUAAAGAAGAAUCAAUUCAAAAUGAAAUAGAAGAAAAUGAAAAAUAAUUUCAGACUCAAAAGGUCCGUGAAUAUUAAAUUCUCUGCUCCUAAUGGAUUAAACCUAAACCUAAGACAUAAUUGAUUAGAAAUUUUUUAAUCUAAAAUUAUAACACCUUUUACUCUAUUAAACUAAUGAUCUAAUCGAUUAAAACCUCAAAAGUUGCAACGGUUGUCAAUAACCAAUCAGAAAUCGAUUAGGUAUAGUGCUCUAAAAAAUUAGAGCAACUUCUAAUUAAUUAGAUUACUACUAUAAAUGGUUAGCUCAUUCUUUCAUUCUUCUUCAUUCAUUAUAUCUUCAUCUUCUCUCUAUAUUCUUCUUUUUCUUCUUCUUGUUUUUGCUACUUUCUUGUUACUAUUUUAUCAUCAUCACCACCAAAUGGCACCUAAAAGGAUUAGUACCUCUACAAGAUUUUCAUUUAUGAGUCUGGAGAUUUUUCAUCUAAAAUUCAAUAAAACUACUUUAAUAAUCAUUUCAUCAACCUUCAUAUUCUCUGACCUCACUAUGUUGAUGAAAAUUACUUUAGAAGGUUUGAGUUUCUUGACUACUUUAAUUAAGAAAGUCUUAGAACCUCGCCAGGAGCAAGCCAAAGGAAGUGUUUCCAAUAUUGGUAACAACUUUCUACUCCAUUCUAAAUUUUUAUUGAAGGGAUAAUCACAUCCAAGAUACGUAAAACUCAAAUCUCUCUGUGUAUGUGUGUGCGCGCGCGUUAAAGAAUUUGGGAAUAUUUGUGAUUUACCUUAUUCUCACUCCUUGUACACUUCUGAUGUUCCAAGUGCUAUGGAAAACUUCAAUUUUCUAUCUUCUACUCAAACUCUUCUUUUUUAUUCAGUGAUAUGUCAUAAAUCCCCUCUCACUAUGGGGUAUAUGACUCUGAAUUGAAGUCUCAUUCACUAUGUGAUUACCUAUGAAUUAAUCCAAAGGAAAUUUAAUCUCAGGAAAAUUUUAAGGACCUAUGUUAUGGUGACUUGACUACUAGUCCACAAUAUUGAAACCAACUGGGUCAAUGAGGGUAAUUCAACAUAUGUUGAAUUGCCUAAGAAAGGGGAACUCGUGGUUACCAUGCAGUGAUUUGAUCACUAAAGUUCUGCUUCAUGCUCGAGUCAACUUAGAAGGGAAAAUGUUUGUUGAUAUAUGCACAAUAAUUGGGAUUAAUUCCUUAAAUAAAAUUCAAAUCAUAAAUAAGUAGGGGUCUUAGAGCAUAUUCCCCCCUUUAUAAAUUCACAACCAGCAUCCCAACAACAAGCCUCUCAACAAUCAAGGCCUUCAAAACUGGAAGAUUUUGAUUAUGAGAUUCAUGAGCCUCCUCCAAUAGAAGUCUUUCGUAACUCCAGCUUUGCAAAUACUCAAAGUAACAAUAAGAUGCUUCAAAAUGACAUCAGAACUUUCUAUCUAGUGAAUACCCAAGUAUCCAUCCUUGCAAAUCACAUGGCUAACUCCUGCUAAUUCCUCCUGGGUUGUUUGAUGAUGAUAAUGAUGGAAACAACGAGUAGUUAUUUUUUUAUAUUUGUUUAUCUUGCUUUAUUUUGUUUGUUUGCUCUUGUUCCUCUCUUUCAUUUUGUAACCCUAUUUUUUUAUACGAAUGUUGUUUUCUCGUCUGUCUGUUUUCUCAAACAUGUUAUAUGUGUUUUAUGUUUGGCUUAUCUGCUAUCUUUUUGAUAAUGAUAAAUUAUGAGAGGUAUACACCUAGAGGAGUAGAGUAUACCCUAUUUACCUAUGAGGGAAAGUUAACUACUCCAUGAGACAUGCGUUAUCAUCAUCAAAAAUGGGGAGAAUGUGCUUCUAUGUAUUGUCCAGGUUAAAAACUUUAUGAGGUUUGAUGAUGAUAACUCAACCAGACAAAAUUAAUCAUAACCAUCAUUAUACAAGAAGCUAUUAAAAAGCAAAGUUGAUCAAGUUACAAUGUUGAGGGCAAAAUAAGGCAAAUCAUUUUCAAAUAUCAACAUAAAAAAGAACUAAAGACGUGAAAGUCGGCCUAAUCUUGUGCUUAAAACUUUUAGUCUUGUUGAAUUAGACAAUAUAAUUGUGUGAUCUUCAUUAACCAACAAAAAUAUGCCAAAAUAAUCUUAUAGAGAUUUGACAUGAAAAAUUGAAACAAAGUUUGUAAUUUCUUGCACUUGAUGGAAAUUGUGUAAAGAUGAAUAUGAAAAUGAGGUUGAUGCUAAGGGAUACAAAAAAGAAAUUAUGGAAUAUCUCGUGUAUCUACUUGCAAUUAGAUAUGAUUCGUGCCAUUUUAUGCAUGAUUUUCAAAUAUGUGAAAAUUUCAACUAAAAUUCACAUGGAACAACCAAAAGAAGUCUCUAGUACUUAGAGAGUACCUCAAGCCAUUGAGUGUUGUGUGAAAAGGGCAAGGAAGGAACCCUUUUUGGAUGGUCUGAUUCUAAUUAUAAAGGUGAUCGUGAUGAUAAAAAGAGUAUUAUUGAUUUGUCUUCAAAUUGAAAUCAGGUGCAAUAUCUUUUUCCUCAAAGAAAGAAGUAAUUAUGACUUUGUCAACUAUUGAAGUUGAAUUUUUAAACCCACCUAAACAACAAAAAUUAACAUAUAAAAAUAAGGUACCCUAUUUUAUAAUAAAUUUACCUUCUUUUUUCUUUUGUAGACUUAAUAUCUUCGAGUGUUCAAUGACUUUAUUUUUCAUGUUUAAAAAGACAAAAUAUUUACAUAAGUUUAAUAUAUUUUUGAAAAUUAAAAGUGAAAAUUUUGUUUGAAUUUAUUAUUUUGUUCUAUUUUUGAAUAACUACACAAAGAAAUUUCAACAACACAUUUUCUCUAAAAUUUUGAAAUAUUAAAUAUACAAAUAGUAUUUUUUUUCUAUCUAUGUAACAUUCUGUUUAUGCAUCACCAAUGUAAUACUAAUUGUUAACAUUUAAGAUAAUGCUUAAUUAUUUACGGGUCCCUUAAUUUAAUUUAAGGUUUUGUUUUAGUCUUUUAUCUAAAAAUAUUAUUUUUUAUUCUCUCAAAAACUAGUAUGUUAGACAAAGUAGUCCCUUACGUUAACUUUUAACUAUAAAUAUCUAAGAUGGAGUAAUAUUAUUGAGUGUCCAUCAUGGAUCAUAUUUUUUAAAAACAAUUUAACCAUUCGAUCUGAUUAAAAAAAUACCAAAAAAUUGGACAUUGAAAGUCUAUUAAAUCUAACAAUGAACCACCAACAUCUAAUAUUUUUUUUGACAUUUAUUCAUCUUCUUCAUUUUUAUUCUCCUUCAUCUUCAUCACCACCUUAAACACAU
This 122778-nucleotide long non-coding RNA is filed under the name Lathyrus oleraceus (garden pea). RNAcentral's name for it is "Pisum sativum (pea) long non-coding RNA (PSAT_LNC003206)". The record is from RNAcentral. Lineage: Eukaryota; Viridiplantae; Streptophyta; Magnoliopsida; Fabales; Fabaceae.